Molecule: long non-coding RNA, 146404 nt
Filed under: Malus domestica (apple)
Lineage: Eukaryota; Viridiplantae; Streptophyta; Magnoliopsida; Rosales; Rosaceae
Description: long non-coding RNA (MDOM_LNC007116)
Source: RNAcentral
GACUCGGAUAAAUUAAGCUCUUCUAACUCCUCCAUACCUUCUGAAAUCUCUGGAAACAUCUCAAAAUUGGAGCAGCCAAAAAGAUUAAAGGUUUUGAGAGAUCUCAUACGAAUUUUAUUGGGUAGAAUCUUAAGUUCCUUGCAAUAUGAUAGGUUCAAAUGACUCAACCCCGUGAGAUUAUUAAUUGACUCAGGCAGUUCUUUAAUUUUGGACUCGGAUAAAUUAAGCUCUUGUAACUCCUCCAUACCUUCUGAAAUCUCUGGAAACAUCUCAAGACUGGAGCAUCCAUAAAGAUUAAAGGUUUUCAGACAUUUCAUAUGAAUGCAGCUUGGAAGACUCUUAAGUUCCUUGCAAUCUCUUAGGUUUAAAUGAAUCAACCCCGUGAGAUUAUUAAUUGACUCGGACAGUUCUUUAAUUUUGGACUUGGAUAAAUUAAGCUCUUGUAACUCCUCCAUACCUUCUGAAAUCUCUGGAAACAUCUCAAGGCUCACGCAGCCAAAAAGAUCAAGAGUUUUGAGAGAUUGCAUACGAAUUUUGCAGGGUAGAAUCUUAAGUUUUUCGCACCCUUUCAGAUCCAAUAAAACAAGUUUUGUAAGAUUCGAAAUAGAUGGGUGAACCUUAACUAACCCUCCACAACCAUGAAGAAUUAGCCUCUCAAGAUUUGGCACAUUUGUGAAGUCAGGGGUUUCCUUAAGGUAUGAACAAUAACUUAAAUUGAUGAAUUUCAACUUUUCCUGCGUCUGUUAAAACAUUCAGGAAAACAUGCAUUACUUAAUAAGACAUCUCACUCAAAGCCCAAACAUUUAAAAGAAACAAAUACAUGUAAAUGAUUGCACAUACCUGGGUUCCUUCCCAAAGUCGGUCAAUGUGGCUAUAUUGCAUGUCAAGUCCAACAAGAUUUUCGAAUUGAAAGUUGGAUGGCAAAGACUUGAGCGGGAAACAAGACCAGGAAAGAAACCUCAACUCACUAGAAACAAACUUUAAGGACCCAGUCAGGUGUUGUAUGCUGAAAGUACCGAUCUUGAGAAGUCUUAGUUUAGUCAUCCUAUCAAAAGCUUUAACAAUUAAGCAUCCCUCAUAUGAGUGCCCCAAAUCUAGGAUUAUGCUUUUAACUGUUUCUGUACCCUGUGCAAAUCAAAGGGAAGGAAAAAGCAGAGAACCUUAGUUUAGAUUAUGAAGUUAAUGGUUGUUUCUUAAGGAGUUGUUUGAUAAUAAUUUUGUUUUCACUUUUCACUUUUGUUUUGAUUAUUUAUUUAGAAAUCUGAAAAUUGAAAACAUAUAACUUGUUUGUAAUUGUUUUCAAUUUUCAAUUAUUAAAAAAAUGAAAAUUAAAAAUUAAAAAUGGAAACAAAAGUGGUUAUCAAACGAGCUUAAGAAAUUGAUUUUGGUCAAAAGUUGAAGCUUUCUACUAAACAUUGCAUAAGAAGAGAAAUUAUCACCGUAUUUUUAGUUAUCACAUGAAGAACAUCUUCAUAACUCCACAACCUACUUCGUUUCCCAGGCUCUUCGAUAGAUUCUUGCUGGACGAUUUUCCGACCCAUUUCCUCUAGUAAAUCAUGCAUCUCCAGUUCCCCCUUCCAUGAGACAGUUACUAGAGCUCGAUCGAUUAAAACUUUUAUUCCAAUAUCAGGAUAGGAACCACAGCUGUGCAGAACUUCGGUUGCAUAGUCUUUUCUCAUUCCUUUAAAGAAACAUGCAAUAUCUAGAAAGAUAUCCUUCUCCGUGUCAUCUAGUCCAUCGAAGCUUGUUUUAAGCACAUCAUGAAUUCCCUUUUGCGGGAUUUUCUUUAUUUUUUCUAACUCAUUUUCCCACUGGCGUACAUUUUUGUUAUCAAGAAAAGCUCCCAAGACUUUGAGUGCUAAAGGCAGACCUUGAGCAUAUUUUACAGCACGCCUCGAGAGAUCAUCAUAAUCUCUGUUGGGUUGGUUUUUUCUAAAGGCGUACCGCCUAAAGAGUUCCAGAGCUCCAUUAUCACUUAAAAUCUUGGGAUUAUAUAUCUCAUCAGCUAUGCUUAGUAAUUGCGAAUCUCUGGUUGUUAUAAUAAUUCUGCUUCCACCACCAAAGGAAUGUGGUUCUUUAAGUAAAGCUUCAAUUUGUUCUAAUUCUUCCACAUCAUCAACAACAAUAAGAACUUUUCUCCGACCUAGGCUAUUUAACACCACCUGGAAACCUUUAUUCGAAACGUCGGAACUCCCCACCUUGUUGUUCGAGAUACUCGAUAGAAGUUCUGCCUGCAUAUAUAGUUUGCCAUGCUUUAUGAAACCUUCCUUGAAAUUUUCAAGAAAGCAACAAGCUUUAAAUCCACCAGAGAUUUCAUCAUAAACAGCUCUAGCGAUGGUUGUUUUGCCUAAACCACCCAUACCCCAUAUUCCAACAAUGCGAACAUCAUUAGUUUCAACUCCAGGAGGAUACAAUAAUGAAUGCAUGUUAUGCAUAUGAGAGUCCAUUUCAACCAAGCCAUUAUCUUUGCUUGAUGAUGAUGAGAUGUGGAUCAAUUUCUUAAAAACAUCUUCUACAAUUUUCUCAAUAAGCUCUGCAUCAUCCCUGUCAAAUUUAAAAAACAAUAUAAUAACACCACCAAAUAAUACUUAAUGGGUCUUUUUCAUCUGUUAGUUUAAAAAAAAUAGAAAUUAAAACUAAAACUAAAAUCUAAACGUUAUAAAAAUCCCAAAAAUUAAUAGGAAACUAAAACAAAUUAGAAUUUACUCAUAUUUCGCGAAUCCCAGCCGGAUAAACUGGUGGCAAUUGUAAGAGCGGAUCUCCAGCUCUGAACCUCUUCCAUUUCAGCGUUAGAAUCACGAUCGUGCUGAGCAAAAGCUUCCUCGAAUUUUCUCUUGAGUUUACGAACGUCAGACGGAUCAACUUCAUAGAAAAUGGGGAGUACAAUCUGGUUAUUGGUAUCCUUGCAUUUCAAGAUUUGCACGAGUUCUUUCAAGCACCAAGUGGAAGAAGCAUAGUCUUGAGAGAAAACUACAAUCGAAAGCCUUGACUCUCGAAUCGCUGUCAGGAGCUCAGAAAGGUGGUCGCCUUUUCUGAGCUUCUCGGCAUCAAUGAAGGCGUUGAUUGGUUUCUUAACCAGAGCGUUGUAGAGAUGGCUGACGAAGCCCCUGCGAGUGUCUUCCCCUCUGAAAUUGAUGAACACAUCGUAUUUGCAACCAAGGCCAGAAGAAGAUGAAGAAGAAGAAGCAGCCAUUAUUAAUCGAUCGCACCUGGUCAGCGACGAUCGAGCAGCUAAGACUAAGAGAAUUGUAAGUACAGAGAUACUCAAUAGAUCUACAAAUUGGAUCACCGGAAAUUAGUCUGAUCGAUACCAAGUCAAUGAGUCAAUGCAAAAGUAAAAAGGGGAAAGGGAAAUUAUGCUUUAUGUUUUUUCACAUCUUCUUCGGGGAAAUUUCGGUGUGAAAGGAAUCUUAUCCUUUUGAUUUUUUAACCGAAGCAAAUGCGAAGAAAAGGGUCAAAGUGGUAAAUUGAAUAUACACUUGCCUAUCCAACAACCUCUUAAUUUAAUAUAUUUAAUUGAGAAAAGUAGUUUAGAGGAAGAGGUAUUCAUCAAUUCCCCAUAAACUUGUGACCAUUGGCCAAUUUUCCCCCUCAACUUUAAUUUUGGCCAAUUUCUUCCCUAAACUCUCAUAAUUAGUUAAUUUCCCCCAUCAACUUUAAUUUGGUCAAUUUCCCCCCUCAACUCUCAUAAUUAGUCAAUUUGCACCCUACUGUUAAUUUUUUAUUUAUUUUUCAUCUAUUCUUUUUUUUUUCUUUCAAUCUUUCUAAUAACUUCCAACAAAAUACUAAAAUUAAUAUAAACUCACCUGCAUAAUAUAGGGUAAAAUGUACAAAAACAUAAUACCAUUAGUAUGUGAUAUGGGUUGAUUAUAAGAAAAAGUUAUGAAUCGGGUUUAAAUCAUGUAGAAGAAGAAACAAUAAUCCUAAACUCAUGGAUCAGACCUAUUUCAAUAAAAUGGGUUAUUCUUAAUAAGGAGUCGAAAAUUAUGAAUUGACUAGCCAUUUUUGCACUAAACCUCGAUUCUCCGCAAUUUACUUGAACUUAGCUUUCACUUUUAUAAAGAAAAUUGUAUUCACAUACAAAAAUGUACACAUCAAUCCUUUUCGUUAUCAAUUUUGUAUAGUAAAAAAUCAAAUAAAAUUACUCCAUACUAAUUUAUUAUGACUAAUAAUACUAUUUAUGAUAAAUUGUAAAAUUCUAAAUUUUAAUCUAUUUGUAAUAGGAUAAAGACAUAGGAAAAUGAUUAACAUACAUCUUAUUUAGUUUCUUACACACACUUGUUUAAUUAUGAUCAAAUUAAAAAAUUAACAGUAGGGUGCAAAUUGACUAAUUAUAAGAGUUGAGGGGGGAAAUUGGCCAAAUUAAAGUUGAGGGGGGAAAUUGACUAAUUAUGAGAGUUGAGGGGGGAAAUUGGCCAAAAUUAAAGUUGAGGGGGGAAUUGGCCAAUAGUCACAAGUUCAUGGGGGAAAUUGAUGAAUACCUCUUAGAGGAAUGAUGGUAUCUCUUUUUCUUCUCACUCAAUCUUCCAGCAUGCGAUUUAAUCAUGAUUAAAGCCAAGCUUAAUAAUAGGUCGUAUUAUUUAGGUCGUUUUGGAUUAUAAGUUUUUGUUGUGAACUUGUGAUACGAUAGUUAGAAAAUUAAAAAAAUUAUAAUUUAAAUAUAUGUGGUGAAAUCUGUUAAGAUUUAGAUUCAAAAUUGAAAAUUUCAUUAACUUCAUUAAUUAUUAGCACACGAAGCUUACAAAUGAAAUAAAAAUAAUAAAAUUAGUCUCACAUGUAAUCUCUAUGCGCUAACAAUUAAUAGAGAGAUUCAUUUUAACCUAAAAUGUGUGACUUACGUACUAAUAAUUAACAAAAUAUUGACAAAAUUUUCAAUUUUAAGCAUAAAUCUUAAUAAACUUCAUCUCAUAAACUUAAAUCCUAAUUCAACAAUCUUCUCAUUACCUUACCACUGCAAACUACCUUGCCACUACAAAAAUUAUUAAUCAAAUUAAACUUAUUAUUUACUUACAAAUACGUAACUCAAUCACCGAAAGCUAUCUCCGUUGCUAUCUCCGUUUCUUUGCUGAGUGGACAGCUGUCUCUUUGUCUUCUUUUGGCAGAUAGCUACUAGACUCCUAGUGGCCGGCCUAUUUUCCACAGCUGGUUAUAGGACUCAGUUGCUAUUCAAGAAGUGUUAUGUUGUAAUUCAAUAUUGAUGGAAAUCCAACAGAAUCUUCUUCGAAUUGUUGUGAGCAUUUUGGGAUAUUUUUUAAUCAUAUUCAUUUAUCGUUGUGGGAUCAAUUUUAUUAAAUAUUAUUUAUGUUUAAUUUUAAAUAAAUAAAUUUAAAAUAAAUUUUUAUCGCACGAUAUACUAUGAACGAAUACGAUUCAUAGAUCUCCAAUAUCUUCACAAGAAGAAUCCAAAAGGAUCCGGAUUCAAUGGAAAUAAGCUAAUUUUGAAUCAAAUAACAUUACUUUAUUUUGUAAGUAAAUUAAUUUUAAAUCAAACAACAUUCAUUUAUUAUGUAGCUAAUUAAUUUUGUAUGUGUCAUCAUAUAUAUUAGGCACAUUUUAUUAUAGGUGAUUUUGUGGUAUUCAUUUUCAUUUGUAAGUAAGAGGUCUUAAGUUCGAUUUUCAUCAAAAACGAAUUUAAACUAUAUUAUUGCUAGUCCAUUAUGAGGCCUAACCCACCCUCCUCCCCCUUAGUGUAGAUAGAUCGUUUGUUCAAAAAAAUAUAUAAUCAAAAUAGAAUGUGAAGCGAAACAAUAGAUCAACAUUAUUUAUGUUAAUUAUAAAUAGGUCAACCAUGUAUGUGAUACUUAAAUCAUUUAAAAUAAAAUAAAAAUUACAAAAUCUGCCAUUACAGCUGGCACACACUUUAAUUAACACUUUCUUUCUCAUAAUUUUUAUAUUUGGAAUAAGUCAUACGAAUCAAAUACUACAAUGUAUUAUCUGUUUUUUAAUUCUAUUUUUUACAUUUGGAUUCAGACACUGCGUUGUAGUGUCCAUUUACUGAUUUUGUUUUUUCCAUCACUCACAUGCCUCCUAUAUGUUCCUUUGUACAUUUGGAUUUAGACAAUGCAAUGCAGUGUCUGUUUCUUGGUUCUGGUUUUCUCUUUUGGAUUCAAACGCUGCAUUGCAAUGUAUGUUUCCUAGUCCUAUUUCUUUCAUCAUCCACACGUCUCCUACACUUCACACUUUCAUGCGACUCCUGAUUUUUACAUUUAGAUUCAGACAUUGUAAUGCAAUGUUCAUUUCCUACCUUUGAUUUUUACAUUUAAAUCUAGGGUUAAACUCUGUUUACUACCCUAAUGUUUCGUGGUUUUCUACAUUUAGUACAUCAAAUUUUUUUCAUCCCAGAGUCAUACCUAAAGUGUUAAUUUUGGGACAGUCUCAUACAUCCAUUAGUCAAACUGUUAGUUCUCACGUUAAGUGAUGAUGUGGCGCCCAUGUGGACAAUGACUGGGCCCCACGUGUCAUUAAAAAAUAUUAAAAUAAUUAAUUAUGUAACACCCGCCCCCACUUAUAAAAUUAUAUGUGUGUAAUAUUCCCUAAAUAUUCUGAAUCUAUCAAUUUUACCCUUUUUGGACUACCCUAUCAGGAUCUAAACAUUGGAUCCUUCUUUCUUUUCAAACUGCCACGUGGCAGCUCCCUAGCAAUUUCCCUGUCUUCUCUCUCUGUCCCCCCCCCGUGACUCCUUCUUUCUCUUCUUCUUUUUCUGUUUUCUUUUCUUUCUUCUGUCUGUCUCUCUGUCCCUCCCGACUCUAUCUCUUUCUCUCGUCUCUCUCUCAUAGCUCCCUCAUCUCUCUUCUCUGCAGCAACCCGCACGCACGCACCCAUCUCCCCCGCGCGAAGAAGACCCAUCUCCUUCUUCUCUCUCCCUCUGUCCCGUGCUGCGAGCCCAGAAACCGGAGAGGAACUCCGGCGAAACCUUUAUUUUCCCGGUUGGGACGAAUCGAAGCCGGGUGUAAGCACACCCAACUCCGGCGAUCCCGAGGGUGUCGGGGCUUUUUCCGGCCAUCUCCGAUCGUUCCACGACGAAAGGAAGGUGCAAUUAUUAACGGUGAUUCUGUUAUACCUUCUUGGUAUAGCUUUGCACCGUUGGUGUACGGUGAGUGGACCCCUUCAAAAUCAUGUUUUAACAAUAGAAAUGCAUACAUGAAAAGCAUGAUUUAAUACUUAUGUUUUACGAAGUACUUUAUGAGAUAUAUGCUUACUGAGGCUAGAUUGAAUUAUUACUAUUUUUCCUAUAACCCAUGUUCUUAUAGAAUAUCCGAUGGAUGACGAUAUGAUAUUAGAACAUGUUUAGAACACCUCUUUGUAGUAUAGAUGAUGGAUGACUUUAUACUACGAAGUUGUUUUUCAAUAUGUUAUGCUCAAUGGUUUUGUACUUACCUAGUGGUCCUUUCCGCUACGGGACGUAGGGAUAGAUUCCGGUCCGUCCCGAGCGACGGUUUGGUGUUGGCAUAGGGCCUGGAGUGUGUUUCCUCUGGCUAUUUAGCACAGGGACGGGGAGCCGGCAUGGGGUCUGUAGUGUAUUUUCCUCUGACUGUCUGCUCAGAGACGGGGAGCUGGCAUGGGGCCUGUAGAGUAUCGGACAAUUCACUAGUGUUUAUUACUUAUACAAGUUAUGAAUUUGAGAUAUUGCACGGCAUGCUAGGUUUCGGAAAAUCUAUUUUGAUCAUGAUAUAUGUGUUUUCAUUAAACCUGGGGGUUAGUAUGUUGAUAACUGUUUUAUUAUAUUUAUAUCAAACUGGUCCACUCAUGUUUGUUUUGCGCCCCCUUCAGGACCUACGAACGAGGAUUACGAUAUAAGCUACGAGGCUUUUCCCUAUCAGUGAUCCAGUGCUAUACUUCUUCUGCUUCGAUAUCUUUUGUAAUAUAGCACAUCUCUAUUUUAAAUUCUGUUUGUACUCUGUAAUAGAUGUAUGCUUUGACAUUAUGCGUGGAUCCUAAUGUUGUAAUUAGAAGUUGAAUUUGUAGUAUUAUUGUGGCUAGUCUUGCUGCCUGUUUUAGCUUAUUUGUGAGUUUUUACUUAAAUUAAUGGCUUUCGUCACCCUUUGGGUGUCGGCCAGCACGUGAUAAUCCCGAUGUCACGAGGACAUCGGGAUCGGGGCGUGUCAGAUUGGUAUCAGAGCAUGAUUCAUUCAGAGCAUACUUAGGAUUCUUUUCCACCAUUUGGUAAUUAUAAUUCCCCUUAUAUCCUUAAUUUUCUGUUGUUCUAAAUCUUUCUUGUUUCUUAUCAGAAUUAUGGAUCCCGCUGGUGGGCAUGUACCUCGUCGAGCUCGUUUUGGUAUAGGGGGAGGACUUGAGCAAUUGGCUAAUGUUUUGCGAACUGCCCUUACUGGUAGAUCAUCGAAUCGCACCUAUAUUGAGAUUGCUACCAGUCAUGGUAUUCCAGAGCUUAAGGUAGUGGGAGCCUGUCCGGAGGCUGAGGAAUGGUUAGAGCAGGUGGAAGAUACUCUGGAGGGUAUGAGAUGUCCACCAGGUGAGUGGGCGGAGACUGCUGGGUUUUUUCUUAAGGGUCCUGCAAAGAUUUGGUGGAAAGGAGUGAAGCAUUCUCGUCCACGAGGCACUUCGAUGACUUGGGUGGCAUUCCGGAAAGCUUUCAGUGCACAUUUUCUGAGUCCCAGUUAUCAGUUGAGGAUGAGACAACAAUUUCUGGAGUUUCGUCAAGGCGAUCUGAGUAUCACAGAGAUGGAUAAUACUUUUCGACGCCUGUCGAGACACCAUCCGGUGACUUAUGAUAACCCGAGUGAGAAGAUGGUUCAGUUGCUGGUUUGUUUGAACCCUGAUUAUCGUGAACGAGUGGCAGCUAUAAGGCACAGAAGUUAUGAGGAAAUGAUUGAGACUUGUUUGAGGAUUGAACAAUCUAGGUGGGAGACUCAGCACCAGGAGGAGCAGGCGCAGUAUCAGGAACCACCCAGAUAUCAGGAACAACCUCGGAACCAGAACCAGAGAGGUCAUGGUUUUAGAUCUCGGAGUGUGAGGAAAUCUGGUAGCUCUUCUAACUUUGUUGGCCCUAGACACUCUCAUUCCUUCAAACGUCAGGGUCAAGGUUCAGGUUCUUCCAGCGAGGGUUCGGGUAAUGAAUCAGGGAGGCGAUAUUUCAGUCAUUUUCGAUCGCAGGUUACGUGCCACAGGUGUGGAGGCAUGGGACAUAUUGCCAGAUUUUGCCCUUCAGGACAGCCUGCUGAGAGUUAUGCAUCGGUGCCGAGUUAUGGUGGAGGGAGUAAUCCGAGUUCUAGCUAUGGAGGUAAUUACACUCAGAGUUAUGGUGGAAGUGGAAGUGGAAGUCAGAAUACCCAAUUUUCCACUCAGAGACAGCCGCAACAGUUUGGUGCAGCUUCGAGUAGCCGCUCUCAGGGGAAUCGAGCAGGCCGUAAUAAUCAAGGUUUCAGAGCUCGUGGUAACCGUAACAGUGGUGGAGGACGUCAGUUUCAUGGACGUAUCAACGCCAUGACACAGCAGGAGGCUGAUCAGGAUCCUCAAGUCAUUACCGGUAUGUUACUUAUUUGUGGUAACUGGGCGAGGGUUCUAAUCGAUCCGAGUGCUACUUUUUCUUUUGUGUCUUCAUCUUUUGCACCGAAUUUAAAUGCACCACCUACACCUCUUGGUUAUGAUAUGCUUGUGCAAAUGCCGCAAGGGGAUCUGUUUUGUGCUCAGUGGGAGUAUAAAAGUUGCCCAGUGGUAGUGGAAGGGGAAAUGAUGGAGGCUAAUCUGGUCCCUUUUCAUUUGGCGGAGUUCGAUGUGAUUUUGGGGAUGGAUUGGCUAUCCAGGCACCGGGCCUAUGUCGCAUGUUGGGAGAAAUCUGUGACGUUCAAUCGACCUGGACGACCGUCAAUCACAUUUCAGGGUGAGCGACGAAUCCUUCCUAGUAGUAUUAUUUCCGCUAUUCAGGCUACUAGAUUGUUGAGUAGGGGAUGUGUGGGAUUCUUAGCUCAUGUAGUAACGAGGGAUAAAUCUUCGUUACGUCCUAAGGAUGUGCCAGUGGUGAAGCAUUACACCGAUGUUUUCCCGGAGGAUUUACCAGGGUUACCGCCUGCGAGGGAAAUUGAAUUUACCAUCGAUUUACUUCCAGGAACAGACCCUAUCUCUUUAGCACCUUAUCGCAUGGCACCGGCGGAGUUGAGGGAAUUGAAGGUUCAACUUCAGGAAUUGGUGGAUAAAGGUUACAUCCAACCCAGUAUGUCUCCCUGGGGUGCUCCUGUUUUAUUUGUUAAAAAGAAGGAUGGAUCGAUGAGACUUUGCAUCGACUAUCGGCAGUUAAACCGGGUGACGGUGAAGAAUCGAUAUCCUUUGCCUCGGAUCGACGAUCUGUUCGACCAGCUGAAGGGUGCUCAGAUAUUCUCUAAGAUAGAUCUUCGCUCAGGUUAUCACCAGUUGUUAAUUCGGGAGGGAGAUGUACCGAAGACUGCUUUCCGCACUAGGUAUGGACACUUUGAAUUUCGUGUCAUGCCUUUCGGACUGACGAAUGCACCUGCAGCAUUCAUGGAUUUGAUGAACAGAGUUUUCAGACCGUAUUUGGAUCGGUUUGUGAUUGUGUUCAUUGAUGAUAUUCUGAUCUUUUCCAAGAGUGUCAGCGAGCACAAGAAGCAUUUGAGGUUGGUGUUGGAAAGGUUGAGCAGUGAGCAGUUGUAUGCUAAGUUUAGCAAGUGUCAGUUCUGGCUAACCCAAAUUAGCUUUCUCGGUCAUGUAGUAUCUGCUGAGGGGAUUAGUGUGGAUCCUCAGAAGGUGUCAGCAAUAACUACGUGGGAGCAACCGAGGAAUGUUACUGAAGUGAGGAGUUUUCUAGGUCUGGCUGGCUAUUACCGAAGAUUUGUUAAAGGUUUCUCAGCCAUUGCCUUACCUCUGAAUAAGUUGACUCGAAAGGAAGUGGAGUUUAAGUGGGAUGAAGAUUGUGAGCGGAGUUUUCAGGAACUGAAGCGAUGUCUUACUCAAGCUCCCGUUCUUACUCUUCCAGACGAUAGCGGUGAGUUUGAUAUCUACACGGAUGCAUCAUUAUCAGGUUUGGGUUGUGUACUGAUGCAGCAUGAUAAAGUCAUUGAUUAUGCUUCCAGACAGCUCAAAAUUCACGAGAGAAACUAUCCCACUCAUGAUUUGGAACUUGGUGCAGUAGUGUUUGCUUUGAAGAUCUGGAGACAUUACUUGUACGGUGAGAAGUGUCGUAUCUUUACUGAUCAUAAGAGCCUCAAGUAUAUCUUUACUCAGAGGGAUUUGAAUUUGAGGCAGAGAAGAUGGAUGGAACUUAUCACUGAUUAUAACUGCACGAUCGAGUAUCAUCCCGGACAUGCCAAUGUAGUGGCAGAUGCACUUAGUCGGAAAUAUCAUGGAUAGCUUGCAUCUCUCCAAGCUAUUCAUGUUCCACUACUAUUUUCUCUUCGAGAAACAGGCUUGUCGGUGAGACCGGGUGAGCAAUGAGCGUGGUUGGCAAAUUUCCAAGUUAGACCUGUUUUGGUGGAUAUAGUCAUAGAAGCUCAGGAGCUUGAUCAGGAGAGUGCCAACAUUAAGGUCUCGGUGGAAAAAGGAGAAGAGAAGCAUUUUAUCAUCCGAAGUGAUGGAGCCUUGAUGUGGGAAAACAGAUUGUAUGUUCCUCAUGAUAACGAAGCAGUGAAAAGAGCAAUUCUGGAUGAAGCACAUUUGUCAGCUUAUGCCAUGCAUCCGGGAAGUACUAAACUGUAUCGCACUAUCCGUCUGUUCUAUUAUUGGUUGGGAAUGAAGCGGGAUGUGGCGGAUUAUGUGAGUAGAUGCAUCAUUUGUCAACAAGUAAAGGCAGAGAGGCAAAGACCUGGAGGAUUGAUGCAGAAUCUUCCGAUACCAGCAUGGAAAUGGGAAGACAUCACCAUGGAUUUUGUGUAUGGUCUGCCGAGGACGCGGUCGAGAUUGGACGGCAUAUGGGUAAUUGUUGAUCGACUGACUAAGACCGCUCAUUUCUUACCUGUUCGACAGACCUAUUCAAUGGAGAAAUUAUCGAAGUUGUUCAUCGAUAAUAUUGUUAGACUUCAUGGUGUACCUGUCUCUAUUGUUUCAGACAGAGAUCCCAGAUUUACUUCCAAAUUUUGGAAAGCUUUUAAUACUGCCAUGGGUACUCAGUUGCUGUUUAGUACUGCUUAUCAUCCACAGACUGACGGUCAGUCCGAGAGGACAAUACAAACAUUGGAGGACAUGUUGAGAGUGUCUGUUCUUCAGUGGAAGGGUAGUUGGGAUAACUAUCUGCCGUUGGUUGAAUUUGCAUACAACAACAGCUACCAUUCGAGUAUUGGUGUGGCACCUUAUGAAGCCUUGUAUGGGAGAGUGUGUCGAACGCCGUUGUGUUGGGCAGAGGUCGGCGAGCGAGUAUUGUUGGGACCGGAGAUUGUAGACACUACCAAUGAGAACAUCCAGCUGAUAAAGAGAAAUCUCAAGGCAGCUCAAGACCGACAGAAAAGCAUAGCGGACAAACAUUCCAAAGAUCGUGAGUACAAGAUUGGUGACUUUGUAUUCUUGAAGUUGUCUCCCUGGAAGGGUGUGGUUCGUUUUGGUAAACGAGGAAAGUUGAGUCCUCGAUAUGUUGGUCCUUAUCAGAUUACGGAGAGAAUUGGUGCAGUUGCCUAUAGAUUGGAGUUGCCACCGGAGUUGUCUCAGAUUCACAAUGUUUUCCAUAUUUCUAUGCUUCGGAAAUAUGUAUCAGAUCCCUCUCAUGUUAUUCAGCUAGAGCCGCUGGAAGUAAGUCCGGAUGUUAGUUAUGUUGAAGAACCAGUGGCUAUUCUUGACCAGCAGAAUAAAGUGUUGAGGAACAAGGUCAUUCCGUUGGUGAAAGUGUUGUGGAGGAACCACGCUACUGAAGAAGCGACGUGGGAAACGGAAGACCUGAUGAGGAGUCAGUAUCCGUAUUUAUUUGCUUGAAGUUGUAAUUUCGGGGACGAAAUUUUUAUAAGGGGGGUAGAUUGUAACACCCGCCCCCACUUAUAAAAUUAUAUGUGUGUAAUAUUCCCUAAAUAUUCUGAAUCUAUCAAUUUUACCCUUUUUGGACUACCCUAUCAGGAUCUAAACAUUGGAUCAUUCUUUCUUUUCAAACUGCCACGUGGCAGCUCCCUAGCAAUUUCCCUGUCUUCUCUCUUUGUCCCCCCCCCCGUGACUCCUUCUUUCUCUUCUUCUUUUUCUGUUUUCUUUUCUUUCUUCUGUCUGUCUCUCUGUCCCUCCCGACUCUAUCUCUUUCUCUCGUCUCUCUCUCAUAGCUCCCUCAUCUCUCUUCUCUGCAGCAACCCGCACGCACGCACCCGUCUCCCCCGCGCGAAGAAAACCCAUCUCCUUCUUCUCUCUCCCUCUGUCCCGUGCUGCGAGCCCGGAAACCGGAGAGGAACUCCGGCGAAACCUUUAUUUUCCCGGUUGGGACGAAUCGAAGCCGGGUGUAAGCACACCCAACUCCGGCGAUCCCGAGGGUGUCGGGGCUUUUUCCGGCCAUCUCCGAUCGUUCCACGACGAAAGGAAGGUGCAAUUAUUAACGGUGAUUCUGUUAUACCUUCUUGGUAUAGCUUUGCACCGUUGGUGUACGGUGAGUGGACCCCUUCAAAAUCAUGUUUAACAAUAGAAAUGCAUACAUGAAAAGCAUGAUUUAAUACUUAUGUUUUACGAAGUACUUUAUGAGAUAUAUGCUUACUGAGGCUAGAUUGAAUUAUUACUAUUUUUCCUAUAACCCAUGUUCUUAUAGAAUAUCCGAUGGAUGACGAUAUGAUAUUAGAACAUGUUUAGAACACCUCUUUGUAGUAUAGAUGAUGGAUGACUUUAUACUACGAAGUUGUUUUUCAAUAUGUUAUGCUCAAUGGUUUUGUACUUACCUAGUGGUCCUUUCCGCUACGGGACGUAGGGAUAGAUUCCGGUCCGUCCCGAGCGACGGUUUGGUGUUGGCAUAGGGCCUGGAGUGUGUUUCCUCUGGCUAUUUAGCACAGGGACGGGGAGCCGGCAUGGGGCCUGUAGUGUAUUUUCCUCUGACUGUCUGCUCAGAGACGGGGAGCUGGCAUGGGGCAUGUAGAGUAUCGGACAAUUCACUAAUGUUUAUUACUUAUACAAGUUAUGAAUUUGAGAUAUUGCACGGCAUGCUAGGUUUCGGAAAAUCUAUUUUGAUCAUGAUAUAUGUGUUUUCAUUAAACCUGGGGGUUAGUAUGUUGAUAACUGUUUUAUUAUAUUUAUAUCAAACUGGUCCACUCAUGUUUGUUUUGCGCCCCCUUCAGGACCUACGAACGAGGAUUACGAUAUAAGCUACGAGGCUUUUCCCUAUCAGUGAUCCAGUGCUAUACUUCUUCUGCUUCGAUAUCUUUUGUAAUAUAGCACAUCUCUAUUUUAAAUUCUGUUUGUACUCUGUAAUAGAUGUAUGCUCUGACAUUAUGCGUGGAUCCUAAUGUUGUAAUUAGAAGUUGAAUUUGUAGUAUUAUUGUGGCUAGUCUUGCUGCCUGUUUUAGCUUAUUUGUGAGUUUUUACUUAAAUUAAUGGCUUUCGUCACCCUUUGGGUGUCGGCCAGCACGUGAUCAUCCCGAUGUCACGAGGACAUCGGGAUCGGGGCGUGUCAAAUUAAAUAAAAGUUAUAAAAAAAAAACCGAAUCUGCAACCCAGAAGAAGAACCUUCUGGGUACGUGUUUGCAGUUGCGGGGCGAAUUCUAGAUCUUAAUUGGAUUAUUAGUUUCUGUUGUAAUAUGGUAGUUAGAAGAUUAAAAAAAACUAUGAUUUAUGCUUCAUAUGCUAACAAUUAACAGAUAAUUAAUGAAAUUUUUAAUUUUAAAUCUAAAUCCUAACAUAUUUUACAAUAGAAGCUUAAAUCUUAAUUUACUCAAUCACAUGGAUUAUUUUAUAACUACCUUACUAUUAAUUCAAUUAAACCUAUUAUUUCUACGAAAACUAACAAAAAUUUCAAAAAAAACUUUAGUUUUAAUGAAAAAAGAAAAAUGAAGAUUUGGUAAAUAAUACCAAAAAAAAAAUAAAAAUAUAAAUUUUCAUUAAAAAUGAACAGCAUCAAAAGUGUUUUAUUAAUACUCCAAUUAUUUAUUUACAAAUACGUGACUAAAUGAAAGGGAGCACUCAAAAUGAUGAAAAGCAGGAGCACCGAAGGCUAUCUCCGUUUCUUUGUUGAGUGGACAGCUGUCUCUUCGUCUUCUUUUGGCAGAUAGCUCCUAGUGGCCAGCCUAUAUUCCACAGCUGGUUAUAGGAUUCGGUUGCUAUAUAAGAAGUGUUUUGUUGUAAUUCAAUAUCGAUAGAAAUCCAAUAGGAUCUUUUUCAAAAUUUUGUGCGGAUUUUGGUAUGUUCGUAAAUCGUAUUUGUUCAUAUUAUACGCUCAUUUUUCAUGGAAUAUUAUUUUUGUUUAAUUUUAAAUAAAAUAAUUUAAAAUAAUUUUUUAUUGUAACAUGUACAAUGAACGGAUAUGAAUUGAUUCACAGAUCUUCAAAAUCCUUACAAAGAAAAUCCAAAAAUAAUCCGAAUUCAAUGGAGAUAAGUUAAUUUUGAAUCAAAUAACAUUAGGAAAAAAAAUUAACAUUAGACGGUUUUAAAUAAUUUAUUGUAUAUUUUUAGGGAAUUGUUAUUAGCACUUUAAAAAUCUCAUUUUACACUCCAAACUUUUUAUAUUAGAAAAGAAAAAUACACUUAUGAGGAAUGUAGAAUAAGAUUUUUGAAUUAACCAUGCAAAAAUGUAAUGUUAAAGCAUCAUGUCAUACAGACCUCUUCAAGGUACCAGAAAUUUUUGCACUAAAGAUGUCACAAGCAGCUGAUAUGAAGCUGCAUUUUCUGUGAGUUGAAAUUUUGUCAAUAUAAUCGAUCACCUGAAGAGAGAGAGAGAGAGAAAGACAGUGAUGUCCAGAGAUGUGAGCCUAAAUGCUGAGUGUGUAAAAAAAGAAGAUUAAAUGGAUAGCAAGAAUAUACAACUUUAAUGCUGAAAAGAACAUUGAAUAUGAUGCUCAUUCAUCAUUGCCAUUGAACGUGUACCUUCUUCUUUUCCUCUUUCUCAAAAGCAAGUAGAGCCUUGAAGACUUGCCUAUAUGAUCCAUCAUCACAACCAGGCAAAGUUGUUUUAAUCAUAGCAACAAUGGCUCUAACUAACUACCUGCCAUAAGAAACAUGCUACAUCAACAAGAUCACAGAGUGUACCAGAAACCGUAAUGUAGCAAAAUCUUAGAUAAAAUAGCUGGCCAAAAGGGAAUGGAAAAGCAAGCACAAAAAACAAUGAAAAGGACCAGUGAUGCCAAAAUUCUGGUGGAAAAGGUGAAAAGCUUAUGUCUAUUACAGUUCUUGUAUGCAUUCUUUAUAACUUAAGUUCUACGUAGCAAAAACCACCUUAUGCACAACAAUAUUGGAAAAAUUAGAUACAUACAACUGAGAAGAUAGGUUUUCAUAAUCUGGACAAGUGCUAACUACCUUCUUCCUAUAAACUGCCACUCCAUGAACAUUAAAUGGUAUUUUCCUUUCACGCAAGGCUGUCUGGAAGACUUUUCCUGAUACCUGUAGAAUAAAUUACAAAAGAAAAUGUGACCAAAAUGUCUUAUAUGAUUCACCUCAUUCACAUUAGCACUAAGGCAAGUAAGCUUGACCUGCCUCCGGUAAAGGAUUGCUAUAUUUCCAUAGGAGCACCCUGCUUCUGACCGUUUAGAUGCAGUCUCCAGGAUCUUGUCGACAACAAAGGCGCAUUGUGCAUCCUCAUUGUGACUUUCCUUGAUAAUUACCUACAUUUUGCCAGUAAAACCAGUGUCACUAACUAAAAGGACUGAAAAAUGACAUCAAAUUGUACUUGUUGGAGCAAGGAAAGAUUAAGUACCUUAGACCCAGAAGAAUUGUCCGUGUCAACAUUCUUUAGUUGGCAUCACUUCUUAUUGUUUUUUAUAACAGAAGAUGCAGCUUCCACACAAUAUAGCGUGUGGACCGAAAGUUCUUAUUAAGCCUAAUCUGAACCAUAAAGUUAUGUCAAAUCCCACAGAACCCCAUAAAAUAAAACUUACUUUCCUGUAAUUGUACAAUAUAUUUGUUCUAUACUAUAUAUAACGAAAAAAGACACCGUGAAUGACAUAAGAUAACAUAGCAGUCAAGUGCGAAGCGAACCUCUUUGUAAUUUGAAAAAUCUUUACGAAAAGAAUCAAAUCCAGAAAUGUCCGCCCCAUUGAAACUGAAAAUGGACUGCAGCAGGAUAUAUGUUAUUUGAUUUAGAACAGAUAAGGGCUGGAUUAGAAUGAGCUGAGAGAGGGAGAGAGGGAGAGACGGAGCAAUAACAUUGGAUUUCCAUAAUAAAUCAACAACAUGCCUGAUCAUCAUCACCAACAAUGGUUAUGUGGUUAUGAGAGGCGAGAAUCCGCAAAAGUCUAUAUUGCAUAGCACUUGUGUCUUGAAACUCGUCUAUUACAAUAGCUUUCCAUGACUCCUGGCACUCCUUCAACACUAAUUAAGAGAACACCAUGUAUCAACAUUUAGCAUUACUUGUAAAACUAGAUAAAUCAAUGAAAUAUACUUAGAUGAUAGAGACCUUCAGGAAAAUCACUUAGCAGCUUCACAGAGCAGCUAAUUAAGUCGUGGUAGUCCAAAGCGUUGCACGAUUUCAAGAUAUCAUUGUAAUUCCUAAGAAUUUCACCCUGAUUCAGAUUGAGAGCUAAAACUCAUAAGCAAUAGUUUCAAAGAACUGAAAUGAUAUCUGAAAUUCUAGUUCUGAGCGUACUCCUGUCACAUCACCCAUUCUUUGGCAUUCAGCGGGAGUUCUUUCCAGAAGCUUUUGCCUGAAACAUAAAUAAAUUUAUUGCCUAAUGCCACAUAUUGUAAGACACACCAUUGUAUUGGUCACUCUAGCUAAGCACAAUGAGCUUCAGUGGCAUACGGCGGUCACACAACACGCCGGAUGCACUCUUCCACUUCAUCCAUCCAGCUUGUAUUCUAUGGUUGAGAUCUCCAUCUAAUUCUCCGUUCUUUUGCAAAAUAGAUCCUAGGUAACGAAAACGGUCGCUCUUUGAUAUUUCUUGAUCUCCGAUCCUCACCCCUAAAUCGUUUUGGCCUCCAUUUGCACUGAACUUGCACUCCAUAUAUUCUGUCUUUGAUCGGCUUAGGCGAAAACCUUUAGAUUCCAACACUUCUCUCCAAAGGUUAAGCUUUGCAUUUACCCCUUCCUGAGUUUCAUCUAUCAACACUAUAUCGUCUGCGAAAAGCAUACACCAAGGAAUAUCACCUUGAAUAUGUCCUGUUAACUCAUCCAUUACCAACGCAAAAAAGGUAAGGACUUAAGGAUGAGCCUUGAUGUAAUCCUACAGUUAUGGGAAAGCUUUCGGUUUGUCCUUCAUGAGUUCUUACGGCAGUCUUUGCUCCUUCAUACAUAUCUUGUAUAGCUUGGAUAUAUGCUACUCGUACUCCUUUCUUCUCUAAAAUCCUCCAAAGAAUGUCUCUUGGGACCCUAUCAUACGCUUUUUCCAAAUCUAUAAAGACCAUGUGUAAAUCCUUUUUCCCAUCUCUAUAUCUUUCCAUCAAUCUUCGUAAGAGAUAGAUUGCCUCCAUGGUUGAGCGCCCUGGCAUGAACCCGAAUUGGUUGUCCGAAACCCGUCUCUUGCCUCAAUCUAUGCUCAAUGACUCUCUCCCAGAGCUUCAUUGUAUGACUCAUUAGCUUAAUACCACUAUAGUUCAUGCAAUUUUGUACAUCGCCCUUAUUCUUGUAGAUAGGCACCAAAGUGCUAAUUCGCCACUCAUUCGGCAUCUUCUUCGUUUUCAAAAUCCUAUUGAAAAGGUCAGUGAGCCAUGUUAUACCUGUCUCUCCCAAAACUUUCCACACUUCGAUUGGUAUAUUGUCUGGGCCUACUGCUUUUCUAUGUUUCAUCUUCUUCAAAGCUACAACCACUUAUUCCUUCCGGAUUCCACGAUAAAAAAAGUAGUUUCUACACUCUUCUGAGUUACUCAACUCCCCUAAAGAAGCACUCAUUUCAUGUCCUUCAUUGAAAAGAUUAUGAAAAUAACCUUUCCAUCUGUCUUUAACCGCGUUCUCUGUAGCAAGAACCUUUCCAUCCUCAUCCUUAAUGCACCUCACUUGGUUUAGGUCCCUUGUCUUCUUUUCCCUUACUCUAGCUAGUUUAUAGAUAUCCAACUCUCCUUCUUUGGUAUCUAGUCGCUUAUACAUAUCGUCAUAAGCCGCUAACUUAGCUUCUCUCACAGCUUUCUUCGCCUCUUGCUUCGCAUUUCUAUACCUUUCACCAUUUUCAUCGGUCCUAUCCUUGUAUAAGGUUUUACAACAUUCCUUCUUAGCCUUCACCUUUGCUUGUACCUCCUCAUUCCACCACCAAGAUUCCUUUUGGUGUGGGGCAAAGCCCUUGGACUCUCCUAAUACCUCUUUUGCUACUUUUCGGAUACAACUAGCCAUGGAAUCCCACAUUUGAUUAACUUCCCCCUCUCUAUCCCACACACACUGGGUGAUUACUUUCUCUUUGAAAAUGGCUUAUUUUUCUUCUUUUAGAUUCCACCAUCUAGUCCUUGGGCACUUCCAAGUCUUGUUCUUUUUUCUCACUCUUUUGAUAUGUACAUCCAUCACCAACAAGCGAUGUUGAUUAGCCACGCUCUCUCCUGGUAUAACUUUGCAAUCUUUACAAGUUAUACGAUCCCCUUUCCUCAUUAGAAGAAAAUAUAUUUGUGUUUUUGACGACCCACUCUUGUAGGUGAUCACAUGUUCUUCUCUCUUCUUAAAGAAGGUGUUGGCUAAGAAGAGAUCAUAUGCCAUUGCAAAAUCCAAGAUAGCUUCCCCAUCCUCGUUUCUCUCCCCAAAACCAUGGCCACCAUGAAAACCUCCAUAGUUGCCUGUCUCCCUGCCCACGUGUCCAUUUAAAUCUCCUCCUAUAAAUAACUUCUCCGUCUGAGCAAUUCCUUGCACCAAGUCUCCAAGGUCUUCCCAAAAUUUCUCCUUCGAACUCGUAUCCAACCCUACUUGAGGUGCGUACGCACUAAUCACAUUGAUAAGUUAUUGUCCUAUUACAAUCUUGAUUGCCAUGAUUCUAUCUCCUACCCUCUUGACAUCUACAACAUCUUGUGUCAAGGUCUUGUCCACGAUGAUGCCAACACCGUUUCUCGUUCUAUUUGUGCCCGAAUACCAUAGUUUAAACCCUGAGUUUCUAGAUAUAUAUAUAUAUAUAUAUAUAUAUCAAAUGGCCCCUAAAUGCUAUUAAAAAUCUCAAAAAUUAACAGGAAACUAAAACAAAUUAGAAUUUAUUCAUGGUUUCGCAAUUCCCAGCCGGGUAAACUGGUGGCCGUUGUAAGAGAGGGCCUCCAGCCGGAUAAACAUUUUCGAGUUAUAUGAUAUUUGUAUAGCAAAAAUACUUUAAUAGCAAGUGCGCGUGAGUGAAGAAAUUGAACUUACUUAUAUUCUUUCGAAUCCCAACCGGAAAAAUUGCAGGCUCUGGGAAGAGCGGACCUCCAGCUCUGCACCUCCUUCACGUCAACGUUAGAACGACCUUCAUGUUUAGCAAAAGCUUCUGCAAAACUUCCCUCGAGUUUACGAAUAUUGGACGGAUCGACUUGGUAGAAAAUGGGGAAUACAAUCUGGUUCUUGGAAUGGUUGCAUUCCAAGAUUUCCACGAGUUCUUUCAAGCACCAUGUGGAUGAAGCAUAGUUUUCAGAGAAAACUACAAUCGAAAUCCUUGACUCUCGAAUCGCUGUCAGGAGCUCGGAAAGGCGGUCGCCUUUUCUGAGGUCUUCGGCAUCAAUGAACGUGUUGAUUGGUUUCUGACGCAGAGCUUUGUAGAGAUGGCUGACGAAGCCCGUGCGAGUGUCUUCCCCUCUAAAAUUGAUGAACACAUCGUAUUCCCAACCAAGGCAAGAAGAAGAAGAAGAAGCAGCAAUUAAUCGAUCGCACCUGGGCAGCGAUGAUCGAGCAGCUUAAGACUAAGAGAAUUGUAAGUACAGAAACACUCAAUAGAUCUACAAAUUGGAUCACCAGAAAUUAGUCAAUGAGUCAAUGCAAAAGGGAAAAGGGCAAUUAUGCUUUUUGCGUUUUCACAUCUUCUUCAGGAAAUUUCGGUGUGAAAGGAAUCCGCAUACUUUUGAUUUUUCAACCCAAGAAAAUGCGAAGAAAGGGGACAAAGUAGUAAAUUUAAUCUACAGUUGCCUACCCAACAACCUCUUGAUUUAAUAUAUAUUUAAUUAGGAAAAGUAGUUUAGAGGAAGGAUGGUAUCUCCUUUUCUUCUCUCUCGAUCAGUCAAUCUUCCCGCGUGCGAUUUAAUCAUGAUUAAAGCUAAGCUUAAUCUUAGAUCGUAUUAUUUAGGUCUAAUUGGAUUCUUAAUUCUUGUUGUGAUAUAGUAGUUGGAAGAUUAAAAAAAAUUAUGAUUUAAAUGUUUGUGGUGAAGUCUGUUACGAUUUAGUUUCAAACUUGAAAAUUUCGUUAACUCCGUUAAUUAUUAGCACAUGAGACUCACAAAUGAAACUAAAAAUAUAAAGUUAGCCUCACAUGUAAUCUUCACGUGCUAACAAUUAAAAGAGAGUUCCGUUUUAGCUUAAUAUAUGUGACUCACGUGUUAAUAAUUAACGGAAUAUUAACAAAAAUUUUAAUUUUAAGCAUAAAUUCAAAUAAACUUCACCACAUAAGCUUAAAUUCUAAUUUAGAUAUCUUCUAACUAUCUUAUCACCAUAAAAAUUAUAAUCAAAUUAAACUUAUUAUUUAUUUAUAAAUGCGUAAUUAAAUCACAAAGUGUUGAAUGAAAGGGAGCACUCCAAAUGAUGAAAGAUGUGUGAUAUCCACACAUCUUUUUUUUUACUUUUUACACAUCGUUUUAAUUUUCGACUGUCGGAUCGAAUUAAUUGAAGAAAAUCAAAGGAUAAAAAUCAACAAAGGGUGUGCAAGAAGUAAAAAUGAGUGUGUGGAUAGUCAUCCCAUGAAAAGCGGGAGCAUCGAAAGCUAUCUCCGUUUCUUGUUGUCUAUUUGUCUUCUUUUGGCAGAUAGCUCCUAGGGACCGGCCUAUUUUCCACAGCUGGUUAUAGGACUCAGUUACUAUAGAAGGAGUGUUUUGUUGUAAUUCAAUAUCGAUGGAAAUCCAACAUAAUCUUUUUCAAAUUUUUGUGAGGAUUUUGGGGUGUACGUAAAUUGAUUAUGUUCAUCGUAUAUUAUGUGACCAUUUUUUAUCAAAUACUAUUUGUGUUUCAUUUUAAAUAAAAUAAUUUAAAAUAAUUUUUAACUGCAAGAUGUACAAUGAACGGAUAUAAUUCACAAAUCUCCAAAAUCCUUACAAAAAAAUCCGAAAAAGAUCCAAAUUCAAUGGAAAUAAGCUAAUUUUGAAUCAAAUUACAUUACUUUAUUUUGUAAAUAAAUUAAUUUUGAAUCGAACAACAUUCAUUUAUUAUGUAAGUAAUUCAUUUUGUAUGUAUCAUCAUAUAUAUUAGGCACAUUUUAUCAUAGGUGAUUUUGUGAAAAAUUAAUAAAAAGUUACAAUAUUAACAAUAGAUCAAUAAUAUUUAUGUUAAUUAUAAAUAGGUUAACCAUAUGUUGUGAUACUUAAAUACAUUUAAAAUAAAUAAAAAUUACAAAAUCUGACAUCCACUGCGACGUAGGAGCCACGGUGCAGCCCAAACUUUGCAGAUAAGAAAUCUGGUAAUUCACAGCAUGACAAACAAAUUACUGGGUCUCCUGACCAUCGUUGAUGCCAAUGUGUGCACAAGGAAAGGAGUAAGGUAAUCAAAUGCGUUAGUCUUGUGUACCUGUUUCGGUGUUGGUUUGGAUGAACCCAUUGAGUUCUCGAUCCUUAACUUCUGGAAAUGCUCCUGAAAGCAUAAAUAUAUGUACGGAUUUAAACCAAUGACAAAUGGACAUAAUUUACGGACAAUGAUUGAAGAAAAUACAGAUAUAAACGCCUCAGUAUUCCAUUGACGAAAGUUCUAGAUUUGAUGAAUCAAAAGUCCCACGUUGAGACUGCGUUAAGGCAAAUGGUUCUCAAAACCUGUUUUUCCCUCAUCAAAUGAGCGCGUUGAUCUGCAGGUAUUUUCUGCCAUCUCAAAACCUGUUACAAAGAAAUAUAACGUUGAUGUCGAGCUGGAUAGCAUAUUAUACCAAUUAUGUGUACAAACCUAUUGAAAUAAAGUAGCUGUAGUUGCAUAUUACGACAGAUAUUAACGAAAACAAAAGAAGGCUCGCCUAUUCAAGAUCCUAAAUCCCGUGAUUCUUUUGUUUUUAGUUUCAGAAAUUUUCAGAGCAAACUGGAAAGUACCAAGAUACUUACAUAUUGGGCAUAAUGAAAUGCAUCUUCAUCUUUCAAGCAAGAUUUGAGUGAGCGCAAACCGUCCUGAGAGUUACAUAAGUCAAUCAGUAAUAUAAAAACGUAGACGCAUCACAUCCAAACACAAGUAUUCAAACACCAACAACUUCUUCAUGCGGUGAGGCAUGUUAAAAAAUAGGGAAGAACAGUUAUUGAAUAGGAAGUUAAAGGACUAAAUUUAUGACCUUGUGUUUGUAGUUCUUGGCUCGUAUGCGUUCAUCUAUUACAAAACCAAUCUGUAACAGGUACAACAGAAAAUAUAAGCAGUAGUCAGAACAUUAAUCUUCGGCAUUCACAUUGCCACCAAUCCAAAGUUAAAAGUCUGAAGGCAAAACAGUAUGAUUCUUAUCUCUCAAACAAAAAUGAAACUAUACCCCGGUCUCAGACAUAAAUGAAAUAAGUUCUACUGCCUCAACUGAGUACUGUGAUUAUAUAUAAAUCCAAUUCACCUUGUCAAGUAAUCUCUUAGGAUCUUGAAAUGCUUCCUUCUUAGCCCAGUCAUUAAAUACAUGCGAGAAAAUUGAUCUCUCAUCCACACUGAAUCUAUUGCACAGUGACAGAAGAAUAAAGUUAAACAUGAACAUAACCAACCAAAAUGCUAGUUAUAAUAGUACACCCAUAAUUGCAAGCAAAACCUUUUUAAGAAGCCAUUUCCAUGGUUUUCCUCCCAAAUUCCAUCAAUUCUGCAGAGGCAACGUCAAAUUUACUAUGAUGGAGAUCAUUUUGCACUGUAAUAACUUCAGAAGGUAGGAGAUUUGGUUUCAGAUCAUCUGUUGACGGAGUAGUUUCUUUUGAAGUGUCAUGAUGCUUUUGAUUGCAAGCCUUCUGUACUUACGUCAGCCUACAAAACAAAAAUUGCAUUCAUCCACACUAGACUUAAUAAGAUUAGAAACACUUCAGAUUCUUCAUUAUUUGUAUUUUUGACUAAACAGCAGAACAACUGAGGAUAAUGAACAGUAAUACACACCUGGACUUCUCGUAGAUGAUUUGGAAUUUCUUUCAGAAAUCGCGAAGGUUGAAGCAUCUGAAGGAGUCACCUUCUCAGUCAGAGCAACAACAACAAAUAAGGAGGACAGGAAUUCAAGCUAAAACGAACCUGCCAACUGGAAUCCAUCGUAACAUAAAGAAUGAAAAGCUUUUUUCGAGCACGAGUCAUUGCAACAUAUAAUAGGCGUCUCUCCUCCUAUGAUUAGAGUGGGAUUAUUGAGUUAUUGACCAAAAGAAAAAAGAGUGGGAUUAUUGUGAAAAACAUGUCAAAGCUCUGCAUAUAACUGAAAAAUGUUGAACAAUUUACCACACACCUCAAUGGAGGUCCCAUUUUCUUUUGCAACCCCAUUGAAUUCAUGCAACAACGGGAUCUCAGAUUCAUUUACCUGUGUUAUUGGCAUGAGCAUUAAAGCAAGCUAAGAUGAUUUGAAGAGGUUGAUAUCGUCAUGAAUAUAGUAGAACAGAAUACCAAUUUCAAGCCAUCAAUUAGGUAUAGCAUUGGCAUGUUUAAUCCGUAAAUCUAAUGACAGAACACCUCAACUCUACACAUAAAUAAAUAAACAACCUGAAAAAUAUUACAGCCACAUGUUAAGGCAAAUACCUUAAUUAUGAAAACUAUAUCCCACUCUAAACCUUUUGACUGCAAGAGAAUGAAAAAGAAAGACAGUAAGCCAAGAAUGUUUUGUAGAACUCCAAAGGAAGUCCAAUAGGGAAAUCAUCGCAAGUAUAAGAGUUAGCGAGGUUCGCAUAAGAGGAUAUCAAAAAGAUCUAGAACCUGAUGAAUAGUAGUCAAAGUGACAGAACUUUGGUUGUCAUGUCUUCGGGAGUGAAAAUUUUCACUCUCCUGCUCAGAUAUGUAGUCGAUGAAAGCUUUGAGUAAAUUAACGCAGCCUUUUUCUUCUGCUACGACUUCUCUCUCCCCUUUUCCCGCAACAAAAUGAGUUGAUAAGAAAUCAGAUACGUCGUCUAGUAGGUACUGAAGAACCUGCAAUGAGAAUAAUCGCAUCACAGCAACAGGGUUGGACCAAGAUUUAAGUGACAACAAUGAUUAACUAACUAAAAUAGAGAAAUUAUUCAUUUAAGACCUUGUUGACGGAAAAAAGGGUUUUCCAAGCAGCGGGUCAUUUAAGCUUAUUGUAUAAAUGACAAUCAUCACAAACGGCAAACUUACAGAUCUCACGUCAUUGUCUUCAUUCAGCAGUUUUCCUCCAUCUACAUCAACGACUGCACGUUGCUCAAGACGGUACUUCUAAAAAUUGAAAGUCAACAACAACAACAACAACAACAACAAAGCCUUUUCCCACUAAGUGGGGUCGGCUAUAUGAAUCCUAGAACGCCAUUGCGCUCGGUUUUGUGUCAUGUCCUCCGUUAGAUCCAAGUACUCUAAGUCUUUUCUUAGAGUCUCUUCCAAAGUUGUCCUAGGUCUUCCUCUACCCCUUCGGCCCUGAACCUCUGUCCCGUAGUCACAUCUUCGAACCGGAGCGUUAGUCGGCCUUCUUUGCACAUGUUCAAAAUCACCGGAGCCGAUUUUCUCUCAUAUUUCCUACAAUUUCGGCUACUCCUACUUUACCUCGGAUAUCCUCAUUCCCAAUCUUAUCCUUUCUCGUGUGCCCACACAUCCCACGAAGCAUCCUCAUCUCCGCUACACCCAUUUUGUGUACGUGUUGAUGCUUCACCACCCAACAUUCUGUGCCAUACAACAUCGCUAGCCUUAUUGCCGUCCUAUAAAAUUUUCCCUUGAGCUUCAGUGGCCUACGACGGUCACACAACACGCCGGAUGCACUCUUUCCAUCCAGCUCGUAUUCUAUGGUUGAGAUCUCCAUCUAAUUCUCCGUUCUCUUGCAAGAUAGAUCCUAGGUAGCGAAAACGAUCGCUUUUUGUGAUCUUCGCUAGAUUUCUCCGGUCAUUAGUGUGGAUAAGUAUAUAAAUGGAUAGAGAUAGGAAAGCAAACACAAGAUGUACGUGGUUCACCCAGAUUGGCUACGUCCACGGAAUAGAAGAGUUCUCAUUAAUUGUGAAGGGUUUACACAAGUACAUAGGUUCAAGCUUUCAUUUAGUGAGUACAAGUGAAUGAUUUUAGUACAAAUGACAUUAGGAAAUAUUGUGGGAGAAUGAUCUCGUAAUCACGAAACUUCUAAGUAUCGGAGUGUGGUGUCGUCUUGACUUGCCUUAUCUGUCUCAUAGGUAGAUGUGGCAUCUUCUCUGGAAGUACUCUUCCUCAAACGAUAAAUUAUUAAGAAGCAUUGAAUAUAAGCAUGAAACGAAGAAAAUGUUAUGGAAUGGUGAUCCUCAUCCUCAAAGAUGAUUAAAAGCAAUUUGAUUCAAAAAUGACAUAUCAACUCUGGAGAAAUGGAAGACAAACCUGUGGUACCAUAUUCGCAACUGAGGUUAUGACAGCUGAAAUCGAUUGUUCCUGUGUGCAUUGAUAAGUGAGACUACCAUAGAGAUUCACAACUAAAUAAAGACAGGUAUUCCACAGAACAACCUUUACCUCUUUGGAAACACAGAUCUAACAAAAACUAUAACAUUUUGGAUUAAUAUUGACAAAUCAAGAAUAAUGCAAGGGAGCAAGAGAUACUCUUCCUUCUAAUAACAAGGAGGCGUGAAAAGUAUACAGAGUUCCAACAAUUAGAGAACUAAAAUCAAACUAAAAAAAUCACCAAAGUAGACAGAAUCUCACUUCGCCAAAAAUUUGAAAAUAUACCUUUUUAUCCAUUGAGAUUCAUGAACUACUACUACUACAUCAUGCCAAUAAGCAAUGCGUAAGAGGAGCUACAAUUUACCGAAUAUAUUUACCCUGAGAACAAGUUUUGAAAUCAUCUCUAGUGUUAACAGCACCUUGCGUCCUUGGGUAAGCUGAGUCCUAUUAUCAAGUAAAGAGACCAAUCAGUACAUAUCCAAAAGAUCUUAAAUGCUUGUAAUACCAAAUAAGAAAGAAACAUGAGUAUAUCUUGAAUUAACCAUGCAAAAAUGUAAUGUUAAAGCAUCUUGUCAUACAGACCUCUUCAAGGUACCAGAAAUUUUUGCACUAAAGAUGUCACAAGCAGCUGAUAUGAAGCUGCAUUUUCUGUGAGUUGAAAUUUUGUCAAUAUAAUCGAUCACCUGAAGAGAGAGAGAGAGAAAAAGACAGUGAUAUCCAGAGAUGUGAGCCUAAAUGCUGAGUGUGUAAAAAAAGAAGAUUAAAUGGAUAGCAAGAAUAUACAACUUUAAUGCUGAAAAGAACAUUGAAUAUGAUGCUCAUUCAUCAUUCCCAUUGAACGUGUACCUUCUUCUUUUCCUCUUUCUCAAAAGCAAGUAGAGCCUUGAAGACUUGCCUAUAUGAUCCAUCAUCACAACCAGGCAAAGUUGUUUUAAUCAUAGCAACAAUGGCUCUAACUACCUGCCAUAAGAAACAUGCUACAUCAACAAGAUCACAGAGUGUACCAGAAACCGUAAUGUAGCAAAAUCUUGGAUAAAAUAGCUGGCCAAAAGGGAAUGGAAAAGCAAGCAUGAAAAACAAUGAAAAGGACCAGUGAUGCCAAAAUUCUGGUGGAAAAGGUGAAAAGCUUCUGUCUAUUACAGUUCUUGUAUGCAUUCUUUAUAACUUAAGUUCUACGUAGCAAAAACCACCUUAUGCACAACAAUAUUGGAAAAAUUAGAUACAUACAACUGAGAAGAUAGGUUUUCAUAAUCUGGACAAGUGCUAACUACUUUCUUCCUAUAAACUGCCACUCCAUGAACAUUAAAUGGUAUUUUCCUUUCACGCAAGGCUGUCUGGAAGACUUUUCCUGAUACCUGUAGCAUAAAAUACAAAAGAAAAUGUGACCAAAAUGUCUUAUAUGAUUCACCUCAUUCACAUUAGCACUAAGGCAAGUAAGCUUGACCUGCCUCCGGUAAAGGAUUGCUAUAUUUCCAUAGGAGCACCCUGCUUCUGACCGUUUAGAUGCAGUCUCCAGGAUCUUGUCGACAACAAAGGCGCAUUGUGCAUCCUCAUUGUGACUUUCCUUGAUAAUUACCUACAUUUUGCCAGUAAAACCAGUGUCACUAACUAUAAGGACUGAAAAAUGACAUCAAAUUGUACUUGUUGGAGCAAGGAAAGAUUAAGUACCUUAGACCCAGAAGAAUUGUCCAUGUCAACAUUCUUUAGUUGGCAUUGCUUCUUAUUGUUUUUUAUAACAGAAGUUGCAGCUUCCACAAUAUAGCGUGUGGACCGAAAGUUUUUAUUAAGCCUAAUCUGAACCAUAAAGUUAUGUCAAAUCCCACAGAACCUCGUAAAAUAAAACUUACUUUCCUGUAAUUGUACAAUAUAUUUUUUCUGUACUAUAUAUAAUGAAAAAAGACACUGAAUGACAUAAGAUAACAUAGCAGUCAAGUGCGAAGCGAACCUCUUUGUAAUUUGAAAAAUCUUUACGAAAAGAAUCAAAUCCAGAAAUGUCCGCCCCAUUGAAACUGAAAAUGGACUGCAGCAGGAUAUAUGUUAUUUGAUUUAAAACAGAUAAGGGCUGGAUUAGAAUGAGCUGAGAGAGAGAGAGAGAGAGGGAGAGAGGGAGAGAGGGAGAGAGGGAGAGAGGGAGCAAUAACAUUGGAUUUCCAUAACAAAUCAACAACAUGCCUGAUCAUCAUCACCAACAAUGGUUAUGUGGUUAUGAGAGGCGAGAAUCCGCAAAAGACUAUAUUGCAUAGCACUUGUGUCUUGAAACUCGUCUAUUACAGUAGCUUUCCAUGACUCCUGGCACUCCUUCAACACUAAUUAAGAGAACACCAUGUAUCAACAUUUAGCAUUACUUGUAAAACUAGAUAAAUCAAUGAAAUAUACUUAGAUGAUAGAGACCUUCAGGAAAAUCACUUAGCAGCUUCACAGAGCAGCUAAUUAAGUCGUGGUAGUCCAAAGCAUUGCACGAUUUCAAGAUAUCAUUGUAAUUCCUAAGAAUUUCACCCUGAUUCAGAUUGAGAGCUAAAACUCAUAAGCAAUAGUUUCAAAGAACUGAAAUGAUAUCUGAAAUUCUAGUUCUGAGCGUACUCCUGUCACAUCACCCAUUCUUCGGCAUUCAGCCGGAGUCUUUCCAGAAGCCUUUGCCUGAAACAUAAAUAAAUUUAUUGCCUAAUGCCACAUAUUGUAAGACACACCAUUGUAUUGGUCAUUCUAGCUUGAUUGUAGCUAAUAUUUUUUAAAUCGAAUGAUUAGAGUUCUUAAUCCACAAUAAUCUGAACAUUAAAUUUGGUAUUCAAGACUAACCUGUGUCACCAACUACAGCCAUUUCCUUGAUGCAUCCUUAAAAUGAUGUGGAGAUGUUACGCCGUUAGACUCUUCCCCAUCUAUAGCAACAUUAAGAUUCGUUUACUCUUUUCAUCUUCUGAUAACCGCACAGCUUCAAUGAUUGCUCUUCUCUGUUGCCCAUGUCCAUAUAUCAAAAAUUCUGGUCUGCGCUCGAGUCUAAAACACAAGCCAACAUAACAGACUCAGCUAUACCACCAAAUGUAUGGUGUUCAAAAUCAAGGGAGGUGAAUCAAUAGCUUACUUCUCAGCAUGUGAUCGGCAAAGUUGCAAUGAAAAUGAAUGAAAUGUACUGAUUGUUAGUAGUUUUGCCGUUGCUUUCCCAGUCACAGAUCCAAUUCGAUCUCUCAUCUCGGAAGCUGCUGCUGUAGUGAAAGUCAUUGCUAGAAUGUUCGACGUGCUAAUGCCCUAAGAACACAAAAAAAAAAAAAAAAACGUAUAAGAUUUCGAUCAUAAACAAGAAAUGUAGAGAAACACACAAUUACGAAAGAAAAAGUUAGAGGGAAAGUAGCAACACCUCAUUGAGCAGCAUUAGAACGCGCCCAACUAUCGUUGAAGUCUUUCCACUUCCAGGGCCGGCAACAAUCAUCAAAGGUACUGAAAUAUCGCUGCAAGCUGCCUCGCGCUGCCUUUCGUUGAGAGAAAGCAAAUACUUCAAUACUCAUCCGGCAUGUUAGGCAAUCCAUGGUUAACAGAAUCUUUUUGGUUUUCACUACUCAAAGGUGGCGCUGAUGCGGCACUAACGUCACUACCACAACUCCCAAUAUCAUCACGCUGAAUGUCCACACUCGGUUUCUGCUCGAUUAAAGCGUCAAUUUCCUGCAAAAUACUCUCGUCGAAAUCAUCAUCGUUAAGAAUUCCAGAUGCAGAGAAAGAAUCAAAUGAAGUCAGAAACUGCGGUUGUCUGAUUGGAGUUGUGAAAGAAUCCGAUUUUGACACGCUUGAUUCGGUCCGGCUAACGCUUAAGCUCCCGGAACACGAAGCACUGCCAUAUUCACCACGCGUUGAAUUGUACCGGCUUGCGGAAAUCGGAGGCGGUGUUCUUUGAACUCUAUUGAGCUGAGUUGGCGUUUGGAUUCCAUUUCCGCCACAGAUUCUGGAAUUUGAAAAACACAAUUGAAUUGAUUUAAAUUGAAGCAAGAAAACAGCCGAGUAGCAAAAAAAUAGUAAGAAGAUGAAACCUUUGAUUCCUGAACGACUUACUUGGUAUGAGGGAGGUGAUGAUCAGGUGAAACGGCGUCGUUGCGGGGGCGUUUGCGAUCAAUGAGGGCCUUGGCGGCUCUGAAAUUCCGAGAGAUGCGGUUUCUUUGUUCCGCCGUGAGCCCUCCGCCGUACGCCUGAACGUUUUCCUUGGACAUUGCUUCGAAGAUUCCAACGGAGGAUUUGGCCUGACGGCCUGACCAGGCUGAUAACAGUGUAAAACCUUAGGAGCUAAGGAAAACUAAGAGAUAGAUCGUAGAGAGGGAAAGUUUUUUCUUUUUGGAAACUAGUAGGGAGGGAAAGUUUGUUAAACCUGAAUAAUAUUCUUUUCAUUCAACUUGUCUACAAUAAUUACCACUCUUGGUAUUUAUACAUUUCUAACACACCUCACUAACUAACUAAGACCACUACCAAUCAUACAAAAAUAAUUGUCCUUUGAUGAACUCUUUCACGAACAAAGUGGCAAUCAAUCUCUACAUGUUUGGCUUUAGAGUGCAAUACAGGUUUAGUGGCAAGAGCCAUUGCUUAAAUGUUAUCACAAUGCAAAACUGGAACAGAAGGAGAACCAACAUGCAAAUCUCGAAGAAGAUGUUGUAUCCAGAUAACCUUAGCAGUGGUUGUAGCCAUUGCUCUAUAUUCAGCUUCAGUGGAAGACCCACUCACUGUAUGCUGCUUUUUAGAACUCAAAGAGAUAGGAGUGACAAAACCCAUGGUUGAACGACGAUCAUUGUGAUCCCCUGCCCAAUCAGCAUAUGUAUGAGCUUUCAACUAAGAUGAACCUGAUUUAAAACACAAUCCCAGAGACAUAGUGCCUCUGAGAUAUCGCAGAAUACGUUUCACAGCAGCAAAUGAGUGGCUAAUGGUGAAUGCAUAAACUGACAUACUUGAUUGACGGAAAAAGAAAUAUCUGGUCUUGUAAAUGUUACGUAUUGUAGUGCCCCAACAAUACUUUUGUAAGUGGUAGGAUCAGAAACAGGUUCACUACCAUGAUUCAGAAGCUUUUGAUUAGGAUGACAAGGUGUGGAAAAAGGUUUACAGUCCAGCAUAUGCAUCUUUUGAAUGAGUUCUUUGACACACUUGGUCUGAUGAACAAAGAGUCCCUGUUCUUGAUAUUCAAUCUGUAAACCAAGAAAAUAAUGCAACACACCCAGAUCUUUCAUGUCAAACUCACUAGUUAACUGACUAAUAACAUUCUGAACCUUCACAGCAUCAUUACUAGUGGGAAUGAUAUUAUCAACAUGUAAUAAGAGAACAAUAAUUGAUGAACCAUCACACUUGACAAAUAAAGAAGGAUCUGCAUAUGAUGACUUGAACCCAAGCUUAGGCAAAUAACCUGAAAACCUGUCAUGUUAGGCUCUGGGAGCUUGCUUGAGUCCAUAUAAAGACCUCUCUAGUUUGCACACAUAAUCCGGAUAGGUAGAAUCCACAAACCCUUGGGGCUGAGACAUAAAAACUUCUUCCUCAAGAAAGCCAUGCAAAAAAGCGUUCUUGACAUCUAACUGUUUGAGUUUCCAAUUAUGAGAUGCAGCCAAGGAUAGAACCAAUCGAACUAUGUUUGGUUUGACCACAGGGCUAAAGGUUUCAUAAUAGUUAAUACCAACUUCUUAAGAAUACCCCUUAGCUACAAGUCUAGCCUUGUACCUAGCCACUAAACCAUCUGGAUUUCUCUUAAUCUUGUAGAUCCAUUUACAACUAACAAGAUUUUUGUCAGGUGGUAAGGGCACAAGCCUCCAAGUAUGAUGUUGAAUCAAAGCAUCCAUCUAUUCUUUCAUGGCAUUUUGCCAUUAAACACACUUGACAAUACUAGAAAAAGACUGAGGUUCCUUGAUUUCAGAAGCCUGAUCCACCUUAGCAGAAAACACCUUCUUUUUCAUAAUCCUAGACUUAGACCGGGUUUGCAUGGGAUGACAAUUUUGAGCAUUGAUACACACUGGUUGGAGAUCAUCCACUUGAGACAUUGUAGUAUUUGGAUGAUCUUUUGAAUACACAGUAGGCAAAACCUCUGAAGAAGGCACAAAACUUGUGGAAGAAGAGACAAGAUCACCAGAACUAGUGGGUUGAGAGGAUGAUGACUGAGUAACAUGUUGUGAUUUAGAGGUAAGAGAAGUGGGACCAAUAAAUGGAAAUGUGGAAGAAACACUAGGUGGAUGAAUGAAUGUGUUUGAAUGCACAACAGACAUUGGUGAGGAAGAAUGACCAGAAGUAACUUGAGGAUUGAAACCCAAAGCAUUAGAGUCUGUAGGAAACUUGGAUUCAUCAAAAAUAACAUGUCUAGAUACUAACAGUUUCUGAUCUUUGAGAGAUAAGCAAAUAUACCCUUUGUAUUGUGUAGCAUACCCCAGAAAAAUACACUUAGUAGUUUUAGGUUCAAGUUUAUUGCUUCUAUAGGGUUUCAAUGAAUGAUAGCAUAAACAACAAAAAAUUCUCAAAUGAUCAAGCUUAGGUGGAGAUUUAUAUAGCAUUUCAAAAGGAGACUACAUAUGUAGGGUAGGUGUGGGCAUUCUGUUUAUAAGAAAAGUAGCAGUGGCACACGAAUGGAACUAGAAUUUUGAAGGUUGAAACUUGUUGUAAAAAGGUAAUAGCUGUUUCGACAAUAUGUUGAUUUUUUCUCUCAGCCAACCCAUUAUGUUAUGGGGUAUAAGGACAAGAUUUUUGAUGAACAAUGCCUUUGGUAAGAAGAAAUUGCUUAAACUGAGUAUUAACAUAUUCCCCACCCCCAUCACUUUGCAAAAUUUUUACAUAAGCAUCAAAAUAAUUCGAGACAAAAGCAAGAAAGUUGACAAAACAGUGAGGGACCCCAAACAUCUAUGUGAAUUACUUCAAAUGGAGUAAGUGACUUCGAAGCAAUUACAGGAAAAAUGGAGCUUGGUAAAAUUUGCCUUGCAAACAAGCUUUACAAGUAUGAGAUUGAGAGUUACAAGGAAAAGAUAUACAAGACUUAUUAAGUGCUGCAGUGACAAUGGAAUGUGCAGGAUGGCCUAAUCGACAAUGCCACAAUGUAGAAUACAUCUUUUGACCCACAAAUGCAAUUGGAUUAAAAACAGGAGAAAUAGACCUAUGUGGUUUGAUUAUGGGAAGUGGAUAGACAACAUUAUUACUCAGCCCUUGGAAUAGCACUUUCCCGGUGACCUUGUCUUGUAGAUAGAGAGAAACAUCAUCAAUGAUACAAUGACACUGAUUAUCUUUGCACAACUGAUUCAUAGAUAAUAAGUGUUGUGACAGUUUUGGAACAUGUAACACAAAGUUUAACUUGAAAUUAUGUGACUUAGUGAGAAGAGAAGAGGAACCAAUAUGUUUGAUAGCUAAACCUUCACCACUAGCACUGGUCACAGUAUCAUUUGAUGGAUAAAUUUGUUGCCAUGUGCAAGUUUGACAAAUCUGAGGUCAUAUGGUUAGUUGCUCCCAAGUCAAGAAACCAUAAAUCUUGUUGAAGAGUUGAGGAUGAUGCACCAGCUCGUGCUUGUAUAGCAAGAGGAGGAUUUUGUGAGGAUAUAGUUGAGAGAUACAUAUGUGGUAUGACAUGAUACUGAAACUGGGAGCUAUUAGACCGUGGAAUCAUGCCUUGUGAAGGACCACAUGGAUUCUAGCUAGGUGCUUCGCCAUAUGACCCAGCAGGCAUUGGAGUUGGCAUAGAUGAGGAUAAACCCUGAGAGAAAUGCUUUGAUGUGCCUGUGAAAUUCUUAUUUCGAUCAAAGCAAGUAGCAGCAACAUGGCAAUUUCUGUGACAAAUUUGACAUCCAUGUUGAAAACAAUUCAAUGCAAAAUAAACUUUGCGAUCACAUAUUUGCAGAAAGGCCUUUGCAACCCUAGAAAGAAGAAGGAGCAAAGAAGACCAAAUGUGUACGUUUCUCUUUGGUUUUUUUUCCCUCUUAAUCACGCUGUUCGAAAUCACGGACCUCGGGCCUGGGCCUAGUGGGCCCAAUUAUGAGGCCCAUUAUCUCCGGUCUUCUCGUUCUACUUCUAGUUACCCAAAUUAAGAACGUACUGGUUCGCUUUUAGCGCGAGAGAGAAAUGGAGGCCCUGAUUGCCUCGUACGGAGACUCGUCGUCGGGCUCAGACUCCGAGUCGCCGGCUCCACCUCCAUCACCACCUCCGGAGCUCAACAACCCUCAAGAACCGACCCCUGCGCUGCCUCCACCUCCUCUGUCACUUCUCGACAACCCCAAUUCCUUCGGUAACCUCUGAUUCCCAUCAAUUUUCAUCUUUUAGCUUUCUGUUGUGAUGGCUUUUUCCGAGUUGCCCACCAAGUAUUUGAUGUUUUGCCUCUGAAGGAUUUCUGGACUUCUCGGCAAGCGCCCAGCCGAGCAGAGUUCGGAACUUUCCUCACGUCGAAGGGAACUACGCAGUACAUGUAUACAUCCCAGGUUAUCAAAAUUCUCGAAAUUUUCAGCUCCAUUAGCAAAUGCGAUCGCUUUGCACUUAGUUUUUGCUUGUUUAAUUCUGUGGUCAGUUUAUAUACCACCAGCACCAAGGAAAGAGAUGGCCUUGUUUUUGAACAAGCUAGCUUCUCUGGUGCCUGGUCUCCAUGCGGUUGACGUUGACUUCCUGCUUGACAUUCUGCGUAAGGACGAGCACAAGCUUGAACAAGUUGCUUUAGGCAGAGAGUUCCAUAUAAGUCUCGGAAGAACUGUUCCGAUUCGGGUGCACCAGAUUGAUUCCUUGGUGACAAUGCUGCGGCAGAAGCUUCAGAUUCAGAGGCGGUAUGGUUACAUUUACAUUCUCUUGUCUGCAUUGCGUGAAUUUAGUUCUGUUAUUUAACAUAAUUCUGUAAGCCUGCAAAUUUUUCGUCCAUUUUCAGUUUAACACAUUUUGUUAUUGUGAAACAAGUAUUGGAUUGAUUUUAGCAAGUGGUAGGUUUUUGUUAAUGAUGAUCAGACCCGGACCUUUGUGUCUAUCGAAAUCAUUGCUGCUGGGUUAGCUGAGGUAUGAUUGCUAGCUUUCUCUCUUGGUGCAAUUCUAAAUGUUUUCAGUUGUUAUAUGGGCUUAAGAUUUAGCAAGGACUUGCCGAAAGUCAUGGGAUUUUGAAAUAUCGAGAUCUUGCUUGCUUAUUAGCUUAGAUUUGGUCUUCGAUGCACUUGUAACAUGAAAAACACAAACGAAAACUAAUGCAUGAUAUGCUCAUGGUUUUAACAUGUGUUGUCCUGGCGUAAAUCAUGUUCCUAAUCAUGUCAUGUGAGUAUAAGCCUAUGAAACUUAGGGCAUGUUUGGCGGGCUGGACAAGAUUGGAAUUGGUAUUUCAGACUAGUUAGGUUAGGAUUGAACUGGAUAGGAUAGGUUUUUUGUCUAAAGAUUGGUGUAGACUGUCUUAACCAGACUAGGAACGAUGGGAUUUAAAACGUGAAACAGAUCGGCGACAUCCCAACGAUGACCCGCCCACCCAACAACUCUGCUCGUGACUUGCAACACCUCUCGUACCCUCCACGCCCCUUGCGGCCCGUCAGACCACUCUGAUAUCCUGGAGGAGUGAAACGUGGUUACUAGAAGCAUACCUGUUUUCGUAUUAAUGCACGGUUGAAUCAGCUUUCAUUGUCUACAAGUCUGAAAUAUUUUAACUUCCAUUGAUUUCAGAUAACAAAGCAGAUUCAAGCUGUGAAUGAGGUGUAUAAGCUUCACAAUCAUCCUAAAUUUUACAAGGUUAGCUUUUUCGUCCUUUUCAAACUCGAAUCGCUUCCUGAAUAUAUGACAAUAUAUUGGAUCAAAUGAUUUCUCAAAAAACUAAUUCACUUGAUGGGGUCUUGGUGAUCACAGGAUCCACGCCCUCACAUCUCGGUAGCUUGGGCAUUGGGUGACAUCAGCAAUUCCCUGAACAAAGUGGUUGAAGAAGAAAGACGAAGAUCUACCAUCGGAGGAUCGUUACAGAAAUGUAUUUUUACCAGUAAAUUCAAUGGUAUCGAAUGUAGGAUUGGUAAUAAGACACACAAAAUAUGUAAAUUUUCUGAAGAAUAAUGUAGCCAUUUAACUGUAUUGUGAAAUUCCGAGAAUAUAUCACUGAGCAUUGGAUGAGAAGACAUUUCUUCGUUGGUGUCGAACUUCUUGUCGAAGGUAUUGGCACCAGUGUAAACGUCAUCAUCCAUGUUGAUGGUAAUUACUUCCCAGCUACUAAGGGUGUCGGAACAGCCUUGCACGCAGCCUCCUGUGCAUUACUUGGUAUUGUCUCAGAUUCUCCAAACUUGAAUGCUAAUGUAAACCCACUCUUGACCUUUCCGUCAUCUGCGAUUACCGGAAUGCCGGCUUGGAUGUUGCCGUUGACCUACCGAACUUAAAAUACCGACGAAAUGUUGGAGUACUUAAGUGUACUACUCGUUUUUGUAUGCGAGAGCUCCACCUCUAUCGUUGUAACAGCAUCUGAUGCGGACUAGUCCUUCAUUCCCGUUACUCUUUGCCAUCUCCACUUCGAACUUGGCGUGAUGGCUCCCGGCCUCCUCUCCGGUGAAAUUGAGUAACCCCGGAGCUGGCGUGCCAUCAAGAUUUCCGUCGUGUCUCUAUUUGCUGUUGUGGUUUGGUUUCACCACUAUAAACUUGGCAGAGUUGGCAUUUUCAUUCUGUUGUCUGUAUAUCUUGAUAUUACAAGUAUUUGUUGUGCAAAAUGCAUGCUAAGUUCAACUUAUGUUUAUAUGUGUGUGUGUGUGUGUUGCCACUUUUCCAACGUUUUCUCCAAAAUUGUGACGAGCAACAAAGCAGUUUUGAUUCCGUGCACAACAACGAUACCUCGAAAGAAAUUGAUUCUUCCCCAGAAAGAUGUUUUAAAACAAAGUUGAACAAGGGAAGAAAACUUUUGAAUCGCAAUCAGAUGUCUGGUCAAAUUCUUUAACAGUUGAUGUAUACAGAAGUUCCUUGCUUAUGACACGACUUAUGAGAGGAUGUAUGUAUUGCAUUUGCAUCAAAAGAAAGAAAGAAGGUUGUAAGUGGUAAGGGAACGACUACCGAUGCCGCUCCACUUCUAAUCAAAGGGAUCGAUCCGAGGGUCGUGUUCACUUGCCAUCGCCAUUCCAGUGCAAAGGCAUGUCGGGCACAUUACCUGCCACAUUUACAGACGCAAUGUUAGAUAUAGCUGCCAUUUGGAAGUCAUCUCUCAAAAUUUUGCUACUAAAUCAAUCUUAAACUUCAUUUCCAGUGCAAUUUUUUUCUUCUGAAUUGUCUUUCACAUGCCCGACAAAUAGAAGUAUCACCAAACAUGUGAAUAUAGAGCAUCUAAGCGGCAGGCACUAAAAGGAAUUUAGUAUGCAAUAAACAUUCAACGGACAUAAUUAUAUGUCUAACCUUUCCCGCUCCUGAGCAAUUUGAACAUCGUUCAGUUUUUGGCAGAGAUAGGGGUUGGUUUCCGCCAUCAGCUGUCGAUACUGGUUCAGUAAGAACAAGGGUUCCAGUGCUGGAGCAACGAGCACAAGCAAGAGAUCCUGCGUAAGUAUCAAAUACACAGGUAAGUUGACAUACGAAACCAAUCCGAACAUCUCCAUCGUAUAUAUUUAAAGCUACAGUACAUAAACUAAAAGUCAGAAAUAUAGGACAUUAUCACACCAGUUCCAAGACAAUAUUUGCAUCGUUUAUGCUCCUGCUGUUUCACAUUGUUUAUUUCAACUACCAUCAAUGCUGAGAUCACUCCGACUGCUCCUCCAGAGAAUGACGCCACUAUGGGAUCAACUUGACUGCAGUUUGAAAGUAAAGGAGAUCAAUAAACGAAACUGGUAACAACAUAGUAUCAACAUUAUUUAGCUUCGUUUCAAGAAAGAUGACAUCCUAGGUUUUUCUAAUGUGUAAAAAUUGAGGAUCCUCGUAAAAUUUGACCAUAUCGGUUCCCAAAGCAUUUGAUUCCUACGUUACAGACGGAAAACAGCAACAAUCGAAUUUAAAGAUUCAUAACACGAUAGAUGGUACAAAAUUUCAAAACGAUAAUUACUAGAGAACAGGAGGGUUAAUAGCCUGAGAUAUGAGCAAUACCUCAACUGCAACGGCAGAUGCAUAUUUACUAUAAAGUCUUUAUAUGAUGUGCCUCCUAUUCCCAGCUUCAACUCCAACUGAAAGAUGUAAAGGUAAUUGUAGGCAAAGAGUUACAAACAUAACCGAAUCCAUGUUUUAUAAGCAACAACUACACUUAUUUUGAUAUGUUUCCUCAUUUUUUACUUGCAAAUUCCGAACCAUAUUGUCGGACCAGUAAAAGAAAAUAAUGUUUAUGAUAACUGUUAAAACUAAUUACAACAAGUUAAUGCAUAAAGAACUUACGGAGGGUGCUAUGAGGCCACCGAAAAGGAUAAACCCCACAAUAAUUGAAUAACAAACAGCAUAAUACUGCUUAAGGUUGUCUGAACUCUGCAAGCAAUGAAUUCACCUUGUGAUUAAUACUUUGCACAAACACUAGUUUUCGCAAUUUUUUAUGAAUCGACAAAAGGCUACAACAAAAUAUGGCUAAAACAUGUCGGGGAUAUGAAAAUACAUGUCUUCACAGGGGCACCAGCUUACCAGGGGAGGCAAAAAUGGAAUGAACGAUGGAAAACUAGGAAGUUCGUUUUCUUGAUCUUCAUUUACCGCUCCAAGCUCUGCACGUUUAAUCCGCUGUUGUAUCCUCAGCCUGCGAACCUACGCAUAUCGAAGCUCAUUCUUAAAGAACACAUUUCUAAUGGCAAUUGGAGAGUAAUUUAAAACAUGCUAAACUGAGAAAGUGGUAGCAACUAGUAAUUGCUCUCACCUCCUCCAUAUGCAAGAAAAUUUUGUUGCGACGACUCCGAAUAUUAUCUUGAAUUUCCUGCAGCUCCAUUGUGGCAAAAUCCUGCACUGUUUCAGGCCCCUCUAUGAUACAAAAUCUGCACCAUUAAGCAUGUAAAAAUUAAAAAUUACAGGCUACAAAGCAAUUUCCGUAUAGUUGUUGGGUUAAAUAACAUCAACAGCAAAUAAAUCACAUAGGUUUUUCACAUAAAGUUACAAACUUUCAAGGACUAAUAAGCUGUCUGCAAUCUCAUAAAUUUCACAGUGCAAAGUAACAAUCCAAAGCUUGGAACUUUAAAUUUCCACCUUCUGUUAAUUUUUUAGUGCACCUGGUGUCGUUAGAUUCGAGUAGUAUGUCACAUUAAAUUUUUUUUUUCUGUGCAUGCAUUUUUUUUUAAAAGAAAAUUUUAUAUUGUUAAAGAGCGAGUUCGAAACUAUUACAUUAUGGAAGGACAUAGUACCGAAACUCCGACGAUCAAAAACAAAAUCAUGUACAACCACUCCAAGCAGUCAACAUGGCCAUCACAUAUUGAAUCCAAAAUGUUGACGCCCCAUUCGCUGCAUAUAAUGUACAGACGAGCGGCAGCUUCAACCAGUUCUGCCAUAUCCGGCUGGAUGAGAGCAGCUAAAGACAUGAUUGUUCCCUAAUAACAUGAAUAAAUUGAGUAAACACCAAAAGUAGCAGCAAGGGAAGGAGAUGUGAAGUAUAUGAAGAGGUGUAAGACCUGUGAAUGUCCAGCAACAAAGAUUUUGGAGCUUGUUGUCGAAUAAUGCAACGCAUCAUUUCUGGUAGAUCAAAUAGAGCCAAUUCCCGCCAACUCCAAUUCCAAAAUUUCUACAGUAAAGCAUAAAUCUUAUUCUCUCUUCUGAUAAAGAUGAGUGUCCCAGACUCCAACGUGUUCCACACACAUUCCCUACCCAUACAUCGAAACCUUCAUCUGCAAGGACGAAUCCCAGCGAUUCUUCUGGAGAAUUUAAGAAUCAUGCAUCACCUGGUUAAGAUCAAGAAAAGCCAGUAACCAAGUUCAAUUGAGUUAAAAUGUAUCCCAUGGAUGUUCAUCACUUUGCCCAAUUGUUCUUUUCAAGAAAGGAAAUUUCAACAGAACCUGAAAACUUCAGAUCAGGGGGCACCAAAUAGUGAGCUAUACAUUCAAAAUUUGAAAUAAUCAACUUAGUAGGACCAGUAUGUUGAAAAAAUGGGAAGGAGCUAUGAAAGUAAGACUUUUCACUAAUCAGGCGUCCAGAGAAUCCAUAUUUUACCCGCGUAUCAGUUACGGGGAACACUCCCCACCAGAGCAAUCUCAUUAGUCCUUCACAUCUCAACCGUACAGAAGUUGCACUAACAAACAUGACUCCUAUUAGUCCUUCACAUCUCAAAUCCAGGAAGUACCCAUCUUUCGUCUGAAUCUGGAAAAUAAGCAGCAGUCAAUUUAACAAUCUCGGUAUCUCAAAGUUACUCACUUUAAUCACAAAUUUAGCAAUUAAACAUAUAAAUGGGCAUUUUUUUAGGGAAAUAUUAGUAUAGUACUCACUGUGUGCUCGGAGCAAGAGUACCCAGAAAGCUCAAUGAGCUGCGCACAGAGGACUGCAGUGGUGAACGACAGCGACCAAUUCUGUAAAAUUUAGUCGAGUUUUGGGAAAUUUCUGCAGCGAUUUCGGAGGUCAAGAGGCUGAUAAGGAAAGCCGCGACCAAAGGGCACUGGUCUGGAAGAAAGGCUUUGGUCGCCGCUAUCGCAAUUCGCGAAGGAAGAAGUGCCCCAAAACAAUUUCGGCCCUGGACAGGUGCACUGUUUGCACUGAGCCAGGGCCGGCCCUGAAUCGCGAUAACGUCCUUCUCCAAACAGUAUAUAUACAGAUGCUAGAAAAAUCUACCGGAACUAUUCAAUUCUAGCGUCUACAGCUUUAGCAUUAGUUGGUACAAGGGGCAUUCUUCCAAAGAGGGAGAUGAAAUCGUUGAGGCACCAAAUAGUGAGCUAUACAUUCAAAAUUUGAAAUAAUCAACAUGGUAGGACCAAUAUGUUGAAAAAAUUGGAAGGAGCUAUGAAAGUAUGGCUUUUCACUAAUCAGGCGUCCACAUAAUCAAUAUUUUACUCACAGAUCAUUUACGGGGAACACUCCCCACCAAAACAAUCUUUUUAGUCCCUCACAUCUCAAACCAAGUAGAAAUUGCAGUAACAAACACAUCUCAAACCCAGUAAGUACCCAUCUUUCGUCUGAAUCUGGAAAACAAGCAGCAGUGGAUUCAACAAUCUGGGUAUCUCAAAGUCACUCACUUUAAUCACAAAAUUAACAAUUAAACAUAUAAAUGGGCAUUUAUUUAGUGAAAUAUUAGUAUAGUACUCACUGUGUGCUCGGAGCAAGAGUACCCAGAAAGCUCAAUGAGCUGCGCACAGAGGGACUGCAGCGGUGACGACGGCAACCGAUUCUGUAAAAUUCAGUCGAGUUUUGGGCGAUUUCUGCAGCGAUUUCGGAGGUCAAGAGGCUGAUAAGGAAAGCUGGGACGGAAGGGCACUGGUCUGGAAGAAAGGCUCAGGACACCGCUGUCCCGAUUCAUGAAGGAAGAAGUGCCCCCAAAACAAUUUCGGCUCUGGACAGGUGUACUGUUUGCACUGGACCAGGGUCGGCCCUGGCGAUAACGUCCCCCAAACAGCACAUAUACAGAUGCUAGAAAUAUAUAAAUGUAACCUGAAACUACUAGAACCAUUCAAUUCUAGCGUCUACAGCUUUAGCAUUAGUUGGUACAAGGGACAUUCUUCCAAAGAGGGAGAUGAACUCAUUGAGGCUCUUAUUUAUUCCUCCUCUUGAUGUGCCCUUUUAGGCUGCUAAUUCCACACGAUCCAAUUUCAUACAUCUUCCCUGCAAAAGCAUGUGUGCCUGACUUCAAGAUCAAAUUUUUCCAACAAAAGAAACUUAAAGAUCAAACUCGCUAGCGGAAUAAGUGGUGCACAAGGGUGUUAAAAUCUUGACAUAUGUAUAUUUUUGGCAGAUUUUAUGUGAGCAUGCAACUAAAACUGGCAUCACUAUCAAUGGUGCACAAAGAUUGGUGGAAAACUUUAACAGUUUGAGUUGUAACUUCUCCAUUGUAUUUGUUAAGGCAAGACGGAUGUCAUCUAUUCAUUUUUCUGUAAAACUUAAAAGGCUGCAUAGCAGCUCUUGUUCGUUGUAUUGAAUACCAUGGUUUUACUGAUGAAUGCAGAGUUUGCUGAUGAUUCAUACGACAAGCAAUUGAAAAUCCCAUCAUUAUGCCCCGCAUAUACCAGAAGAAAAAAAAGUCAUUUACACAAAUUCAGAGCGUUCAUCCACUGUAAUUUGCAGAUAUGGAAACGUUAAGAUAAAAGGAAAUGCAAAGUACCUUUCACCCAAAUUGGAGGAGCAACGGUGGCAUUAGCAAGCUAGCAACGGGAAUUGACAUACCAAUAUCUUCACAGUUUCUGCACAAGAACAAAUCAAAAGAAUCCGGCGGUGGAGUUAUGUACCUCUCCUUGGAAAAUGCCACCUCCUGGGAUUUCAAAAUAUACGGCCGUGGCUAGCCGUCUGACCACGCCAAUUCCACCAAAGCCGCCGCAACGUGGCGUAGUGUCCGGUUGAUUGCUUCAAAACAGAGCUUCGUAUCCAUGUGUUUAUCAGCAGAGAGUACCCAAAACCCCUGAAAAUUAUUUCUUUAUUCAGAUAAUAAAAUUUCCCAAAUUUCGAAUUUUAAUUCCGAACAAAAAAAAUAGGGUUUGAAUUUUGAUUACCUAGAAAUUGGGGGGUUGGGGUGGAGAGGGACUCGGGCCAAGACACAGAUAUGCAUCCGUGAUAAGGUGUGCAAGGCUUUUGCAGUUUCUCAGAUCUAAACACUGAAGCCCCGUAAGCCGUUCAAUCCAGGGGGAAAGCUCUUUAAUAGAUGUUCCAUCCAAGAAAAGAAAUCUUAAUCCUUCCAUAUUUUCUUCAAUGCUUGGAAACACCUCAAAUUUUGUACAACCGGAAAGAGAGAGAAAGGCAAGGGACUUCAGCUGACAAAUGCUACUUGGAAGACUCUUAAGUUCUUUACAAUUUUCUAGCUUCAAAUGAUUCAAUCCCAUGAGAUUAUUAAUUGAUAAGGGCAGUUCUUUAAUUUUCGACCCAGAUAAAUCAAGAACUUUUAACCCCUCAAUCACUUCUGAAAUCUCUGGAAACAUCUCAAGACUCCAGCAACCAUAAAGAUCAAAGGUUUUGAGAGAUUUCAUAUGAAUGCUGCUUGGAAGACUCUUAAGUUCCUUGCAAUCUUGUAGAUUCAAAUGACACAACCUCGUAAGAUUAUUAAUUGACGGGGACAGUUCUUUAAUUUUUGAGCAGGGUAAAUCAAGCUUUUCUAACCCCUCAAUACCUUCUGAAAUCGAUGGAAACAUCUCAAGACUGGAGCAGCCAUAAAGAUUAAAGGUUUUCAGACAUUUCAUAUGAAUGCAGCUUGGAAGACUCUUAAGUUUCUUGCAAUCUUUUAGGUUGAAAUGACUCAACCCCGUGAGAUUAUUAAUUGACAGGGGCAGUUCUUUAAUUUUGGACCCGGAUAAAUUAAGCUCUUCUAACUCCUCCAUACCUUCUGAAAUCUCUGGAAACAUCUCAAGACUGGAGCAGCCAGAAAGAUUAAAGGUUUUGAGAGAUCUCAUACGAAUUUUGCUGGGUAGAAUCUUAAGUUCCUUGCAAUUUGAUAGGUUCAAAUGACACAACCCCAUGAGAUUAUUAAUUGACUCGGGCAGUUCUUUAAUUUUGGACUCGGAUAAAUUAAGCUCUUCUAACUCCUCCAUACCUUCUGAAAUCUCUGGAAACAUCAGAAGACUGGAGCAGCCAAAAAGAUUAAAGGUUUUGAGAGAUCUCAUACGAAUUUUGCUAGGUAGAAUCUUAAGUUCCUUGCAAUUUGAUAGGUUGAAAUGACUCAACCCCAUGAGAUUGUUAAUUGACUCGGACAGUUCUUUAAUUUUGGACCCGGAUAAAUCAAGCUCUUCUAACCCCUCAAUCACUUCUAAAAUCUCUGGAAACAUCUCAAGGCUCACGCAGUUAAUAAGAUCAAGAGUUUUGAGAGAUUGCAUACGAAUUUUACUAGGUAGAAUCUUAAGUUUUUCGCACCCAUUCAGAUCCAAUAAAACAAGUUUUGUAAGAUUCGAAAUAGAUGGGUGAACCUUAACUAACCCUAUACAACCAUGAAGAAUUAGCCUCUCAAGAUUUGGCACAUUUGUGAAGUCAGGGGUUUCCUUAAGGUAUUCACAAUAACUUAAAUUGAUGAAUUUCAACUUUUCCUGCGUCUGUUAAAACAUUCAGGAAAACAUGCAUUACUUAAUAAGACAUCUCACUCAAAGCCCAAACAUUUAAAAGAAACAAAUACAUGUAAAUGAUUGUACAUACCUGGGUUCCUUCCCAAAGUCGGUCAAUGUGGCUAUAUUGCAUGUCAAGUCCAACAAGAUUUUCGAAUUGAAAGUUGGAUGGCAAAGACUUGAGCGGGAAACAAGACCAGGAAAGAAACCUCAACUCACUAGAAACAAACUUUAAGGACCCAGUCAGGUGUUGUAUGCUGAAAGUACCGAUCUUGAGAAGUCUUAGUUUAGUCAUCCUAUCAAAAGCUUUAACAAUUAAGCAUCCCUCAUAUGAGUGCCCCAAAUCUAGGAUUAUGCUUUCAACUGUUUCUGUACCCUGUGCAAAUCAAAGGGAAGGAAAAAGCAGAGAACCUUAGUUUAGAUUAUGAAGUUAAUGCUUGUUUCUUAAGGAGUUGUUUGAUAAUAAUUUUGUUUUCACUUUUCACUUUUGUUUUGAUUAUUUAUUUAGAAAUCUGAAAAUUGAAAACAUAUAACUUGUUUGUAAUUGUUUUCAAUUUUCAAUUAUUAAAAAAAUGAAAAUUUAAAAAUAUAAAUGGAAACAAAAGUGGUUAUCAAACGAGCUUAAGAAAUUGAUUUUGGUCAAAAGUUGAAGCUUUCUACUAAACAUUGCAUAAGAAAAGAAAUUAUCACCGUAUUUUUAGUUAUCACAUGAAAAACAUCUUCAUAACUCCACAACCUACUUCGUCUCCCAGGCUCUUUGAUAGAUUCUUGGUAGACGAUUUUCUGACCCAUUUCCUCUAGUAAAUCAUGCAUCUCCAGUUCCCCCCUCCAUGAGACAGUUACUAGAGCUCGAUCGAUUAGAACUUUUAUUCCAAUAUCAGGAUAGGAACCACAGCUGUGCAGAACUGUGGUUGCAUAGUCUUUUCUCAUUCCUUUAAAGAAACAUGCAAUAUCUAGAAAGAUAUCCUUCUCCGUGUCAUCUAGUCCAUCGAAGCUUGUUUUAAGCACAUCAUGAAUUCCCUUUUGCGGGAUUUUCUUUAUUUUUUCUAACUCAUUUUCCCACUGGCGUACAUUUUUGUUAUAAAGAAAAGCUCCCAAGACUUUGAGUGCUAAAGGCAGACCUUGAGCAUAAUUUACAGCACGACUCGAGAUCAUCAUAAUCUCUGUUGGGUUGGUUUUUUCUAAAGGCGUACCGCCUAAAGAGUUCCAGAGCUCCAUAAUCACUUAAAAUCUUGGGAUUAUAUAUCCCAUCAGCUAUGCUUAGUAAUUGCGAAUCUCUGGUUGUUAUAAUAAUUCUGCUUCCACCACCAAAGGAAUGUGGCUCUCCAAGUAAAGCUUCAAUUUGUUCUAAUUCUUCCACAUCAUCAACAACAAUAAGAACUUUUCUCCGACCUAGACUAUUUAACAUCACCUGGAAACCUUUAUUCGAAACGUCGGAACUCCCCACCCUGUUGUUCGAGAUACUCGAUAGAAGUUCUGCCUGCAUAUGUAGUUUGCCAUGCUUCAUGAAACCUUCCUUGAAAUUUUCAAGAAAGCAACAAGCUUUAAAUCCACCAGAGAUUUCAUUAUAAAUAGCUCUAGCGAUGGUUGUUUUGCCUAAACCACCCAUACCCCAUAUUCCAACAAUGCGAACAUCAUUAGUUUCAACUCCAGGAGGAUGCAGUAAUGAAUGCAUGUUAUGCAUAUGAGAGUCCAUUUCAACCAAGCCAUUAUAUUUGCUUGAGGAUGAUGAGAUGUAUCGCCGACCCCACUUAGUGGGAAAAGGCUUUGUUGUUGUUGUUGUUGAUGAUGAUGAUGAGAUGUGGAUCAAUUUCUUAAAAACAUCUUCUACAAUUUUCUCAAUAAGCUCUGCAUCAUCCCUGUCAAAUUUAAAACACAAUAUAAUUACAACACCAAAUGAUACUUAAUGGGUCGUUUUGAUAACAAUUUCGUUUGCAAUUUUUUUUAAAUCUAGAUUUUAAGUUUGCAGAUUUUGUUUUCAGUUUUUAGUUUCAAUGAAAGUAGUUAUUAAACAAGGUUUCCAAUUUUUCUUUCAUGGUAUACAGUACGUAGUCCCAAAUAUCAGUAGUUAGAUCUUGCAUUUAGAUCUAAUGGGUAUUUACAACCUUUUUUCCUGAGAAUUUUGUACCAUUGUAGCCAGAUCACAUGUUUUCAUCCGUUAGUUUUAUAAAAAUGGAAACUACAAACUUAAAAAAAAAAAAAAAUAUAUAAUAUAUAUAUAUAUAUAUAUAUAUCAAAUGGCCCCUAAAUGCUAUUAAAAAUCUCAAAAAUUAACAGGAAACUAAAACAAAUUAGAAUUUAUUCAUGGUUUCGCAAAUCCCAGCCGGAUAAACUGGUGGCCGUUGUAAGAGAGGACCUCCAGCCGGAUAAACAUUUUCGAGUUAUUUGAUAUUUGUAUAGUAAAAAUACUUUAAUAGCAAGUGCGCGUGAGUGAAGAAAUUGAACUUACUUAUAUUCUUUCGAAUCCCAACCGGAAAAAUUGCAGGCUCUGGGAAGAGCGGACCUCCAGCUCUGCACCUCCUUCACGUCAACGUUAGAACGACCUUCAUGUUUAGCAAAAGCUUCUGCAAAACUUCCCUCGAGUUUACGAAUAUUGGACGGAUCGACUUGGUAGAAAAUGGGGAAUACAAUCUGGUUCUUGGAAUGGUUGCAUUCCAAGAUUUCCACGAGUUCUUUCAAGCACCAUGUGGAUGAAGCAUAGUUUUGAGAGAAAACUACAAUCGAAAUCCUUGACUCUCGAAUCGCUGUCAGGAGCUCGGAAAGGCGGUCGCCUUUUCUGAGGUCUUCGGCAUCAAUGAAGGUGUUGAUUGGUUUCUGACGCAGAGCUUUGUAGAGAUGGCUGACGAAGCCCGUGCGAGUGUCUUCCCCUCUAAAACUGAUGAACACAUCGUAUUCCCAACCAAGGCAAGAAGAAGAAGAAGAAGCAGCCAUUAAUCGAUCUCACCUGGGCAGCGAUGAUCGAGCAGCUAAGACUAAGAGAAUUGUAAGUACAGAAACACUCAAUAGAUCUACAAAUUGGAUCACCAGAAAUUAGUCAAUGAGUCAAUGCAAAAGGGAAAAGGGCAAUUAUGCUUUUUGCGUUUUCACAUCUUCUUCAGGAAAUUUCGGUGUGAAAGGAAUCCGCAUACUUUUGAUUUUUCAACCCAAGAAAAUGCGAAGAAAGGGGACAAAGUAGUAAAUUUAAUCUACAGUUAGUUACCUACUCAAUAACCUCUUGAUUUAAUAUAUAUUUAAUUGGGAAAAGUAGUUUAGAGCAAGGAUGUUAUCUCCUUUUCUUCUCUCUCGAUCAGUCAAUCUUCCCGCGUGCGAUUUAAUCAUGAUUAAAGCUAAGCUUAAUCUUAGGUCGUAUUAUUUAGGUCUAAUUGGAUUCUUAAUUCUUGUGAUAUAGUAGUUGGAAGAUUAAAAAAAAAUUAUGAUUUAAACGUUUGUGAUGAAGUCUGUUACGAUUUAAAUUCAAAAUUGAAAAUUUCGUUAACUCCAUUAAUUGUUAGCACAUGAGACUCACAAAUGAAACUAAAAAUAUAAAGUUAGCCUCACAUGUAAUCUUCACGUGCUAACAAUUAAAAGAGAGUUCCGUUUUAGCUUAAUAUAUGUGACUCACGUGUUAAUAAUUAACAAAAUAUUAACAAAAAUUUUAAUUUUAAGCAUAAAUUCAAAUAAACUUCACCACAUAAGCUUAAAUUCUAAUUUAGAUAUCUUCUAAUUUAGAUAAUUUUUAACUGCAAGAUGUACGAUGAACGGAUAUAAUUCACAAAUCUCCAAAAUCCUUACAAAAAAUAUCCGAAAAAGAGCCAAAUUCAAUGGAAAUAAGCUAAUUUUGAAUCAAAUAACAUUACUUUAUUUUGUAAAUAAAUUAAUUUUGAAUUGAACAACAUUCAUUUAUUAUGUAAGUAAUUCAUUUUGUAUGUAUCAUCAUAUAUAUUAGGCACAUUUUAUCAUAGGUGAUUUUGUGAAAAAUUAAUAAAAAGUUACAAUAUUAACAAUAGAUCAAUAAUAUUUAUGUUAAUUAUAAAUAGGCUAACCAUGUAUUAUGAUACUUAAAUGCAUUUAAAAUAAAUAAAAAUUACAAAAUCUACUACUACAGCUAGCAUUCACUUCAACUAAAGCAAUACGUAGUUUUUAUAUUUGGAAUAAGUCAUACGAAUCAGAGACAUGAAGAGGUGUAAGAACUGUGAAUGUCCAACAACAAAGACUUCGGAGUUUGUUGUCGAAUAUCUGCAGCGCAUCAUUUCUGAUAGAUCAAAUCGAGCCAAUUCCCGCAAACUCCAAUCCCACCACCACCUUUCAAGCCGGACUCAGCCCUCCGGGCGGCAUUUGGCAGGACAGCACUGGAUCAAACAAGAUUGAGACUGGCAGUGGGAGCAAUGAACGAGCACACUCAGCAGGGAAGUCCAUCAUGGGUUCUAACCACACAUUGUUUCUCUACUUUGUGGCUUCCAACACGAUUGGAUUUUUUGUUUCACUUUACAUGAUCAAUGUCCUCACCAGCAAUUUCCCUCUGCAGUUGGAGCUUCAAAUUUGUAUUGUCGCGAUGUACAGCACGUACAACACUGCAGUUUUCAGCAUUGCACCGGAGAACGUGCGCUUCUUCGUCCUUCUGUUCUCUGUAGUUUUCCCAACUUUGGUUACACUUGCUGUCCAAAAUGAUCGUCUUUCGACAUACAUCACAAUGGCGAUCUUUAAUCAUAAUGACUUGUACUGCUCGAUCAAACGAGACGCAUGGAGGCGCGACGUAGGAGCCACGGUGCAGCCCAAACUUUGCAGAUAAGAAAUCUGGUAAUUCACAGCAUCACAAACAUGUUACUGGGUCUCCUGACCAUCGUAGAUGCCAAUGUGUGCACAAGGAAAGGAGUAAGGUAAUCAAAUGCUUGAGUCUUGUGUACCUGUUUCGGUGUUGGUUCGGAUGAACCCAUUGAGUUCUCGAUCCUUAACUUCUGGAAAUGCUCCUGAAAGCAUAAAUAUAUGUACGGAUUUAAACCAAUGGCAAAUGGACAUAAUUUACGGACAAUGAUUGAAGAAAAUACAGAUAUAAACGCCUCAGUAUUCCAUUGACGAAAGUUCUAGAUUUGAUGAAUCAAACGUCCCACGUUGAGACUGCGUUAAGGCAAAUGGUUCUCAAACACAAAGCAAUAGUUUGCUACCGAAAACAACCAAAGUCUGACAAAGGGAACCGUCUUACACCUAACCUGUUUUUCCCUCAUCAAAUGAGCGCGUUGAUCUGCAGGUAUUUUCUGCCAUCUCAAAACCUGUUACAAAGAAAUAUAACGUUGAUGUUGAGCUGGAUAGCAUAUUAUACCAAUUAUGUGUACAAACCUAUUGAAAUAAAGUAGCUGUAGUUGCAUAUUACGACAGAUAUUAACGAAAACAAAAGAAGGCUCGCCUAUUCAAGAUCCUAAAUCCCAUGAUUCUUUUGUUUUUAGUUUCAGAAAUUUUCAGAGCACAAACUGGAAAGUACCAAGAUACUUACAUAUUGGGCAUAAUGAAAUGCAUCUUCAUCUUUCAAGCAAGAUUUCAGUGAGCGCAAACCAUCCUGGGAGUUACAUAAGUCAAUCAGUAAUAUAAAAACGUAGAUGCAUCACAUCCAAACACAAGUAUUCAAACACCAACAACUUCUUCAUGCGGUGAGGCAUGUUAAAAAAUAGGGAAGAACAGUUAUUGAAUAGGAAGUUAAAGGACUAAAUUUAUGACCUUGUGUUUGUAGUUCUUGGCUCGUAUGCGUUCAUCUAUUACAAAACCAAUCUGUAACAGGUACAACAGAAAAUAUAAGCAGUAGUCAGAACAUUAAGCAUCGGCAUUCAAAUUGCCGCCAAUCCAAAGUUAAAAGUCUAAAGGCAAAACAGUAUGAUUCUUAUCUCUCAAACAAAAAUGAAACUAUACCCCGGUCUCAGACAUAAAUGAAAUAAGUUCUACUGCCUCAACUGAGUACUGUGAUUAUAUAUAAAUCCAAUUCACCUUGUCAAGUAAUCUCUUAGGAUCUUGAAAUGCUUGCUUCUUAGCCCAGUCAUUAAAUACAUGCGAGAUAAUCGAUCUCUCAUCCACACUGAAUCUAUUGCACAGUGACAGGAGAAUAAAGUCAAACAUGAACAUAACCAACCAAAAAUGCUAGUUAUAAUAGUACACCCAUAAUUGCAAGCAAAACCUUUUUAAGAAGCCAUUUCCAUGGUUUUCCUCCCCAAAUUCCAUCAAUUCUGCAGAGGCAACGUCAAAUUUACUAUGAUGGAGAUCAUUUUGCACCAUAACAACUUCAGAAGGUAGGAGAUUUGGUUUGAGAUCAUCUGUUGACGGAGUAGUUUCUUUUGAAGUGUCAUGAUGCUUUGAUUGCAAGCCUUCUGUACUUACGUCAGCCUACAAAACAAAAAUUGCAUUCAUCCACACUAGACUUAAUAAGAUUAGAAACACUUCAGAUUCUUCACUAUUUGUAAGUUUGACUAAACAGCAGAACAACUGAGGAUAAUGAACAGUAAUACACACCUGGACUUCUCGUAGAUGAUUUGGAAUUUCUUUCAGAAAUCGCGAAGGUUGAAGCAUCUGAAGGAGCCACCUUCUCAGUCAGAGCAACAACAACAAAUAAGGAGGACAGGAAUUCAAGCUAAAACGAACCUGCCAACUGGAAUCCAUCGUAACAUAAAGAAUGAAAAGCUUUUUUCGAGCACGAGUCAUUGCAACAUAUAAUAGGCGUCUUUCCUCCUAUGAUUAGAGUGGGAUUAUUGAGUUAUUGACCAAAAGAAAAAAGAGUGGAAUUAUUGUGACAAACACUUCAAAGCUCUGCAUAUAACUGAAAAAUGUUGAACAAUUUACCACACACCUCAAUGGAGGUCCCAUUUUCUUUUGCAACGCCAUUGAAUUCAUGCAACAACGGAAUCUCAGAUUCAUUUACCUGUGUUAUUGGCAUGAGCAUUAAAGCAAGCUAAGAUGAUUUGAAGAGGUUGAUAUUGUCAUGAAUAUAGUAGAAUAGAAUACCAAUUUCAAGCCAUCAAUUAGGUAUAGCAUUGGCAUGUUUAAUCCGUAAAUCUAAUGACAGAACACCUCAACUCUACACAUAAAUAAAUAAACAACCUGAAAAAUAUUACAGCCACUUGUUAAGGCAAAUACCUUAAUUAUGAAAACUAUAUCCCACUCUAAACCUUUUGACUGCAAGAGAAUGAAAAAGAAAGACAGUAAGCCAAGAAUGUUUUGUAGAACUCCAAAGGAAGUCCAAUAGGGAAAUCAUCGCAAGUAUAAGAGUUAGCGAGGUUCGCAUAAGAGGAUAUCAAAAAGAUCUAGAACCUGAUGAAUAGUAGUCAAAGUGACAGAACUUUGGUUGUCAUGUCUUCGGGAGUGAAAAUUUUCACUCUCCCGCUCAGAUAUGUAGUCGAUGAAAGCUUUGAGUAAAUUAACGCAGCCUUUUUCUUCUGCUACGACUUCUCUCUCCCCUUUUCCCGCAACAAAAUGAGUUGAUAAGAAAUCAGAUACGUCGUCUAGUAGGUACUGAAGAACCUGCAAUGAGAAUAAUCGCAUCAAAACAACAGGGUUGGACCAAGAUUUAAGUGACAACAAUGAUUAACUAACUAAAAUAGAGAAAUUAUUCAUUUAAGACCUUGUUGACUGAAAAAAGGGUUUUCCAAGCAGCGGGUCAUUUAAGCUUAUUGUAUAAAUGACAAUCAUCACAAACGGCAAACUUACAGAUCUCACGUCAUUGUCUUCAUUCAGCAGUUUUCCUCCAUCUACAUCAACGACUGCACGUUGCUCAAGAAGGUACUUCUAAAAACUGAAAGUCAAACGAUAAAUUAUUAAGAAGCAUUGAAUAUAAGCAUGAAACGAAGAAAAUGUUAUGGAAUGGUGAUCCUCAUCCUCAAAGAUGAUUAAAAGCAAUUUGAUUCAAAAAUGACAUAUCAACUCUGGAGAAAUGGAAGACAAACCUGUGGUACCAUAUUCGCAACUGAGGUUAUGACAGCUGAAAUCGAUUGUUCCUGUGUGCAUUGAUAAGUGAGACUACCAUAGAGAUUCACAACUAAAUAAAGACAGGUAUUCCACAGAACAACCUUUACCUCUUUGGAAACACAGAUCUAACAAAAACUAUAACAUUUUGGAUUAAUAUUGACGAAUCAAGAAUAAUGCAAGGGAGCAAGAGAUACUCUUCCUUCUAAUAACAAGGAGGCGUGAAAAGUUUACAGAGUUCCAACAAUUAGAGAACUAAAAUCAAACUAAAAAAAUCACCAAAGUAGACAGAAUCCCACUUCGCCAAAAAUUUGAAAAUAUAUCCUUUUUAUCCAUUGAGAUUCAUGAACUACUACUACUACAUCAUGCCAAUAAGCAAUGCGUAAGAGGUGCUACAAUUUACCGAAUAUAUUUACCCUGAGAACAAGUUUUGAAAUCAUCUCUAGUGUUAACAGCACCUUGCGUCCUUGGGUAAGCUGAGUCCUAUUAUCAAGUAAAGAGACCAAUCAGUACAUAUCCAAAAGAUCUUAAAUGCUUGUAAUACCAAAUAAGAAAGAAACAUGAGUAUAUCUUGAAUUAACAAUGCAAAAAUGUAAUGUUAAAGCAUCUUGUCAUACAGACCUCUUCAAGGUACCAGAAAUUUUGGCACUAAAGAUGUCACAAGCAGCUGAUAUGAAGCUGCAUUUUCUGUGAGUUGAAAUUUUGUCAAUAUAAUCAAUCACCUGAAGAGAGAGAGAGAGAAAGACAGUGAUAUCCAGAGAUGUGAGCCUAAAUGCUGAGUGUGUAAAAAAAGAAGAUUAAAUGGAUAGCAAGAAUAUACAACUUUAAUGCUGAAAAGAACAUUGAAUAUGAUGCUCAUUCAUCAUUGCCAUUGAACGUGUACCUUCUUCUUUUCCUCUUUCUCAAAAGCAAGUAGAGCCUUGAAGACUCGCCUAUAUGAUCCAUCAUCACAACCAGGCAAAGUUGUUUUAAUCAUAGCAACAAUGGCUCUAACUACCUGCCAUAAGAAACAUGCUACAUCAACAAGAUCACAGAGUGUACCAGAAACCGUAAUGUAGCAAAAUCUUAGAUAAAAUAGCUGGCCAAAAGGGAAUGGAAAAGCAAGCACAAAAAACAAUGAAAAGGACCAGUGAUGCCAAAAUUCUGGUGGAAAAGGUGAAAAGCUUACGUCUAUUACAGUUCUUGUAUGCAUUCUUUAUAACUUAAGUUCUACGCAGCAAAAACCACCUUAUGCACAACAAUAUUGGAAAAAUUAGAUACAUACAACUGAGAAGAUAGGUUUUCAUAGCUGGACAAGUGCUAACUACCUUCUUCCUAUAAACUGCCACUCCAUGAACAUUAAAUGGUAUUUUCCUUUCACGCAAGGCUGUCUGGAAGACUUUUCCUGAUACCUGUAGUAUAAAAUACAAAAGAAAAUGUGAGCAAAAUGUCUUAUAUGAUUCACCUCAUUCACAUUAGCACUAAGGCAAGUACGCUUGACCUGCCUCCGGUAAAGGAUUGCUAUAUUUCCAUAGGAGCACCCUGCUUCUGACCGUUUAGAUGCAGUCUCCAGGAUCUUGUCGACAACAAAGGCGCAUUGUGCAUCCUCAUUGUGACUUUCCUUGAUAAUUACCUACAUUUUGCCAGUAAAACCGGUGUCACUAACUAAAAGGACUGAAAAAUGACAUCAAAUUGUACUUGUUGGAGCAAGGAAAGAUUAAGUACCUUAGACCCAGAAGAAUUGUCCGUGUCAACAUUCUUUAGUUGGCAUCGCUUCUUAUUGUUUUUUAUAACAGAAGAUGCAGCUUCCACAAUAUAGCGUGUGGACCGAAAGUUUUUAUUAAGCCUAAUCUGAACCAUAAAGUUAUGUCAAAUCCCACAGAACCCCAUAAAAUAAAACUUACUUUCCUGUAAUUGUACAAUAUAUUUGUUCUAUACUAUAUAUAAUGAAAAAAGACACUGUGAAUGACAUAAGAUAACAUAGCAGUCAAGUGCGAAGCGAACCUCUUUGUUAUUUGAAAAAUCUUUACGAAAAGAAUCAAAUCCAGAAAUGUCCGCCCCAUUGAAACUGAAAAUGGACUGCAGCAGGAUAUAUGUUAUUUGAUUUAGAAAAGAUAAGGGCUGGAUUAAAAUGAGCUGAGAGAGAGAGAGAGGGAGAGAGGGAGCAAUAACAUUGGAUUUCCAUAAUAAAUCAACAACAUGCCUGAUCAUCAUCACCAACAAUGGUUAUGUGGUUAUGAGAGGCGAGAAUCCGCAAAAGACUAUAUUGCAUAGCACUUGUGUCUUGAAACUCGUCUAUUACAAUAGCUUUCCAUGACUCCUGGCACUCCUUCAACACUAAUUAAAAGAACACCAUGUAUCAACAUUUAGCAUUACUUGUAAAACUAGAUAAAUCAAUGAAAUAUACUUAGAUGAUAGAGACCUUCAGGAAAAUCACUUAGCAGCUUCACAGAGCAGCUAAUUAAGUCGUGGUAGUCCAAAGCGUUGCACGAUUUCAAGAUAUCAUUGUAAUUCCUAAGAAUUUCACCCUGAUUCAGAUUGAGAGCUAAAACUCAUAAGCAAUAGUUUCAAAGAACUGAAAUCAUAUCUGAAAUUCUAGUUCUGAGCGUACUCCUGUCACAUCACCCAUUCUUCGGCAUUCAGCGGGAGUCUUUCCAGAAGCUUUUGCCUGAAACAUAAAUAAAUUUAUUGCCUAAUGCCACAUAUUGUAAGACACACCAUUGUAUUGGUCAUUCUAGCUUGAUUGUAGCUAAUAUUUUUUAAAUCGAAUGAUUAGAGUUCUUAAUCCACAAUAAUCUGAACAUUAAAUUUGGUAUUCAAGACUGACCUGUGUCACAAACUUCAGCCAUUUCUUUGAUGCAUCCUUAAAAUGAUGUGGAGAUGUUACGCCGUUAGACUCUUCCCCAUCUAUAGCAACAUUAAGAUUCGUUUUACUCUUUUCAUCUUCUGAUAAACGCACAGCUUCAAUGAUUGCUCUUCUCUGUUGCCCAUGUCCAUAUAUCAAAAAUUCUGGUCUGCGCUCGAGUCUAAAACACAAGGCAACAUAACAGACUCAGCUAUACCACCAUAUGUAUGGUGUUCAAAAUCAAGGGAGGUGAAUCAAUAGCUUACUUCUCAGCAUGUGAUCGGCAAAGUUGCAAUGAAAAUGAAUGAAAUGUACUGAUUGUUAGUAGUUUGCCGUUGCUUUCCCAGUCACAGAUCCAAUUCGAUCUCUCAUCUCGGAAGCUGCUGCUGUAGUGAAAGUCAUUGCUAGAACGUUCGACGUGCUAAUGCCCUAAGAACACCCAAAAAAAAAAAACGAAUAAGAUUUCGAUCAUAAACAAGAAAUGUAGAGAAACAGACAAUUAUGAAAGAAAAAGUUAAGAGGGAAAGUAGCAACACCUCAUUGAGCAGCAUUAGAACGCGCCCAACUAUCGUUGAAGUCUUUCCACUUCCAGGGCCGGCAACAAUCAUCAAAGGUACUGAACUAUCGCUGCAAGCUGCCUCGAGCUGCCUUUCGUUGAGAGAAAGCAAAUACUUCAAAUACUCAUCCGGCAUGUUAGGCAAUCCAUGGUUAACAGAAUCUGUUUGGUUUUCACUACUCAAAGGCGGCGCUGAUGCGGCACUAACGACACUACCACAACUCCCAAUAUCAUCACGCUGAAUGUCCACACUCGUUUUCUGCUCGAUUAAAGCGUCAAUUUCCUGCAAAAUACUCUCAUCGAAAUCAUCAUCGUUAAGAAUUCCAGAUGCAGAGAAAGAAUCAAAUGAAGUCAGAAACUGCGGUUGUCUGAUUGGAGUUGUGAAAGAAUCCGAUUUUGACACGCUUGAUUCGGUCCGGCUAACGCUUAAGCUCCCGGAACACGAAGCACUGCCAUAUUCACCACGCGCUGAAUUGUACCGGCUUGCGGAAAUCGGAGGCGGUGUUCUUUGAACUCUAUUGAGCUGAGUUGGCGUUUGGAUUCCAUUUCCGCCACAGAUUCUGGAAUUUGAAAAACACAAUUGAAUUGAUUUAAAUUGAAGCAAGAAAACGGCCGAGUAGCAAAAAAAUAGUAAGAAGAUGAAACCUUUGAUUCCUGAACGACUUACUUGGUAUGAGGGAGGUGAUGAUCAGGUGAAACGGCGUCGUUGCGGGGGCGUUUGCGAUCAAUGAGGGCCUUGGCGGCUCUGCAAUUCCGAGAGAUGCGGUUUCUUUGUUCCGCCGUGAGCCCUCCGCCGUACGCCUGAACGUUUUCCUUGGACAUUGCUUCGAAGAUUCCAACGGAGGAUUUGGCCUGACGGCCUGACCAGGCUGAUAACAGUGUAAAACCUUAGGAGCUAAGGAAAAACUAAGAGAGAGAUCGUAGAGAGGGGAAAGUUUUUUGUUUUUUGGAAACUUAGAGAGGGAAAGUUUGUUAAACCUGCAUAAUAUUCUUUUCGUUCAACUUGUCUACAAUAAUUACCACUCUUGGUAUUUAUACAUUUGUAACACACCUCACUAACUAACUAAGACCACUACCAAUCAUACAUAAACACUUGUCAUAAUCCUAUGCACUCAUAGUAUCAUCACUCUAACAUCCCCCUCAAGCUCGUGUGGCAGAUUGCCAAGUAUGAAAUUGGAACAAUUACGAGUGAACUGGGGUGAACACAAGCCUUUGGUGAACAUGUCGGCAUAUUGAUCUGCAGAGGUAACAAACUGCAAAAUAAUUGUCCUUCGAUGAACUCUUUCACGAACAAAGUGGCAAUCAAUCUCUAUAUGUUUGGCUUUAGAGUGCAAUACAGGAUUAGUCGCAAGAGCCAUUGCUGAAAUGUUAUCACAAUUCAAAACUGGAACAGAAGGAUAACCAACAUGCAAAUCUCGAAUAAGUUGUUGUAUCCAGAUAACCUUAGCAGUGGUUGUAGCCAUUGCUCUAUAUUCAGCUUCAGUGGAAGACCUACUCACUGUAUGCUGCUUUUUAGAACUCCAAGAGAUAGGAGUAUCUCCCAAAAAAAUGACAAAACCCGUGGUUGAACGACGAUCAUUGGGAUCCCCUGCCCAAUCAGCAUCUGUAUAAGCUUUCAACUAAGAUGAACCUAAUUUAAAACACAAUCCCAAAGACAUAGUGCCUCUGAGAUAUCGCAGAAUACGUUUCACAGCAGCAAAUAAGUGGCUAAGGGUGAAUGCAUAAACUGACAUACUUGAUUGACAUAAAAAGAAAUAUCUAGUCUUGUAAAUGUUACGUAUUGCAGUGCCCCAACAAUACUUUUAUAAGUGGUAGGAUCAGAAACAGGUUCACUACCAUGAUUCAGAAGCUUCUAAUUAGGAUGACAAGGUGUGGGAAAAGGUUUAUAGUCCAGCAUAUGCAUAUUUUGAAGGAGUUCUUUGACAUACUUGGUCUGAUGAACAAAGAGUCCCUGAUCCUGAUACUCAAUCUGUAAACCAAGAAAAUAAUGCAACACACCUAGAUCUUUCAUGUCAAACUCACUAGUUAACUGACUAAUAACAUUAUGAACCUUCACAUCAUCAUUACUAGUGAGAAUGAUAUCAUCAACAUAUAAUAAGAGAACAAUAAUUGAUGAACAAUCACACUUGACAAAUAAUGAAGGAUCUGCAUAUGAGAUUGAGAGUUACAAGGAAAAGAUAUACAAGACUUAUUAAGUGUUGCAAUGACAAUGGAAUGUGCAGGAUCGCCUAAUCAACAAUGCCACAAUGUAGAAGAAAUCUUUUGACCCACAAAUGCAACUGGAUUAAAAACAGGAGAAAUAGACCUCUGUGGUUUGAUAUGGGAAGUGGAUAGACAACAUUAUUACUCAGCCCUUGGAAUAGCACUCUCCCGAUGACCUUGUCCUAUAGACAGAGAGAAACAUCAUCAAUGAUACAACGACACUAAUUAUCUUUGCACAACUAAUUCAUAGAUAAUAAGUGUUGUGAUAGUUUUGGAACAUGUAACAAAGAGUUUAACUUGAAAUUAUGUGACUUAGUGAGAAGAGAAGAGGAACCAAUAUGUUUGAUAGCUAAACCUUCACCACUAGCAGUGGUCACAGUAUCAUUUGAUGGAUAAAUUUGUUGCCAUGUGCAAGUUUGACAAAUCUGAGGUCAUAUGGUUAGUUGCUCCCAAGUCAAGAAACCAGAAAUCUUGUUGAAGAGUUGAGGAUGAUGCACCAGCUCGUGCUUGCACAGCAAGAGGAGGAUUUUGUGAGGAUAUAAUUGAGAGAUACAUAUGUGGUAUGACAGGAUACUGAAACUCGAAGCUAUUAGACUGUGGAAUCAUGCCUUGUGAAAGACCACAUGGAUUCUAGCUAGGUGCUUCACCAUAUGACCCAGUAGGCAUUGGAGUUGGCAUAGACGAGGAUAAACCCUGAGAGAAAUGCUAUGAUGUGUCUGUGAAAUUCUUAUUCCGAUCAAAGCAAGUAGCAGCAACACGGCAGCCUCUGUGACAAAUUUGACAUCCAUGUUGAAAACAAUUCAAUGCAGAAUGACCUUUGCGAUCACAUAUUUGCAUAAUGGCCUCUGUGAUCACAUAUUUGCAGAAUGGCCUUUGCAACCCUAGAAAGAACAAGGCGCGAAGAAGACCAAAUGUGUACGUUUCUCUUUGUUUUUUUUUCCCUCCUAAUCGUGCUGUUCGAAAUCACGGACCUCGGGCUUGGGCCUAAUGGGCCCAAUUAUGAGGCCUAUUAUCUCCGGUCUUCUCGUUCUACUUCUAGUUACCCAAAUUAAGAACGUGCUGGUUCGCUUUUAGCGCGAGAGAGAAAUGGAGGCCCUGAUUGCCUCGUACGGAAACUCGUCGUCGGGCUCAGACUCCGAGACGCCGGCUCCACCUCCACCACCACCUCCGGAGCUCAACAACCCUCAAGAACCGACCCCUGCGCUGCCUCCACCUCCUCUGUCACUUCUCGACAGCCCCAAUUCCUUCGGUAACCUCUGAUUCCCAUCAAUUUUCAUCUUUUAGCUUUCUGUUGUGAUGGCUUUUUCCGAGUUGCCCACCAAGUGUUUGAUAUUUUGCCUCUGAAGGAUUUCUGGACUUCUCGGCAAGCGUCCAGCCGAGCAGAGUUCGGAACUUUCCUCACGUCGAAGGGAACUACGCAGUACAUGUAUACAUCCCAGGUUAUCAAAAUUCUCGAAAUUUUCAGCUCCAUUAGCAAAUGCGAUCGCUUUGCACUUAGUUUUUGCUUGUUUAAUUGUGUGGUUCCAGUUUAUAUACCACCAGCACCAAGGAAAGAGAUGGCCUUGUUUUUGAACAAGCUAGCUUCUCUGGUGCCUUGUCUCCAUGCGGUUGACGUUGACUUCCCGCUUGACAUUCUGCGUAAGGACGAGCACAAGCUUGAACAAGUUGCUUUAGGCAGAGAGUUCCAUAUAAGUCUCGGAAGAACUGUUCCGAUUCGGGUGCACCAGAUUGAUUCCUUGGUGACAAUGCUGCGGCAGAAGCUUCAGAUUCAGAGGCGGUAUGGUUACAUUUACAUUCUCUUGUCUGCAUUGCGUGAAUUUAGUUCUGUUAUUUAACAUAAUUCUGUAAGCCUGCAAUUUUUUCGUCCAUUUUCGGUUUAACACAUUUUGUUAUUGUGCAACAGGUAUUGGAUUGAUUUUAGCAAGUGGGAGGUUUUUGUUAAUGAUGAUCAGACCCGGACCUUUGUGUCUAUCGAAAUCAUUGCUGCUGGGUUAGCUGAGGUAUGAUUGCUAGCUUUCUCUCUUGGUGCAAUUCUAAAUGUUUUCAGUUGUUAUAUGGGCUUAAGAUUUAGUAAGGACUUGCCGAAAGUCAUGGGAUUUUGAAAUAUCGAUAUCUUGCUUGCUUAUUAGCUUAGAUUUGGUCUUCGAUGCACUUGUAACAUGAAAAACACAAACGAAAACUAAUGCAUGAUAUGCUCAUGGUUUUAACAUGUGUUGUCCUGGCGUAAAUCAUGUUCCUAAUCCUGUCAUGUGAGUAUAAGCCUAUGAAACUCAGGGCAUGUUUGGCGGGCCGGACAAGAUUGGAAUUGGUAUUUCAGACUAGUUAGGUUAGGAUUGAACUGGAUAGGAUAGGUUUUUUUGUCUAAAGAUUGGUGUAGACUGUCUUAACCAGACUAGGAACGAUGGGAUUUAAAACGUGAAACAGAUCCGCGACAUCCCAACGAUGACCCGCCCACCCAACAACUCUGCUCGUGACUUGCAACACCUCUCGUACCCUCCACGCCCCUUGAGGCCCGUCAGACCACUCUGAUAUCCUGGAGGGGUGAAACGUGGUUACUAGAAGCAUACCUGUUUUCGUAUUAAUGCACAGUUGAAGCAGCUUUCAUUGUCUACAAGUCUGAAAUAUUUCAACUUCCAUUGAUUUCAGAUAACAAAGCAGAUUCAAGCUGUGAAUGAGGUGUAUAAGCUUCACAAUCUUCCUGAAUUUUACAAGGUUAGCUUUUUCGUGCUUUUCAAACUCGAAAUUACUUACUGAAUAUAUGACAAUAUAUUGGAGCAAAUGAUUGUGCCUGAAUGCUACUCAUUGCUCAAAAAACUAAAUCACUUCAUGGGGUGUUGGUGAUCACAGGAUCCGCGCCCUCACAUCUCGGUAGCUUGGGCAUUGGGUGACAUCGGCAAUUCCCUGAAGAAAGUGGUUGAAGAAGAAAGACGAAGAUCUACCAUCGGAGGAUCGUUACAGAAAUGUAUUUUUACCAGUAAAUUCAAUGGUAUUGAAUGUAGGAUUGGUAAUAAAACACACAAAAUAUGUAAAUUUUCUGAACAAUAAUGUAGCCAUUUAACUAUAUUGUGAAAUUCCGAGAAUAUAUCGCUGAGCAUUGGAUGAGAAGACAUUUCUUCGUUGGUGUCGAACUUCAUGCCGAAGGUAUAGACACCGUGUAAACGCCAUCAUCCAUGCAGUCUCCUGUGCAUUAUUUAGUAUUGUCUCAGUUUCUCCAAACUUGAAUGCUCCUAUAAACCCACUCUUGACCUUUCCGUCAUCUGCGAUUACCGGAAAGCUGGCAAGGAUGUUGCCGUUAACCUACCUAACCGGCUAGGAUGUUGCCGUCAUCUCCAAACUUUAAAUACCGGAAAGCCGGCUCCAAACUUCAAUGUGCUACUAGUUUUUGUAUGCGAGAGCUCCACCUCCAUUGUUGUAACAGCAUCUGAUGCGGACUAGUCCUUCAUUCCCGUUACUCUUUGCUAUCUCCACUUCGAACUUGGCGUAAUGGCUCCCGGCCUCCUCUCCGGUGAAAUUGAGAAACCCCGGAGCUGGCGUUUUCAUUCUGUUGUCCGUAUAUCUUGUAUUACAAGUAUUUGUUGUGCAAAAUGCAAGCUAAGUUCAAUUUAUGUUUAUGUGUGUGUGUGUGUUGCCACUUUGUCACUUUUCCAACGUUUUCUCCAAAAUUGUGAUUUUGGUGAAUCCUAAUAACAAUUCCCUCGUUAAUCAUUGGGACGAGCACCAAGGCAGUUUUGAUUCCGUGCACAACGGCGAUACCUCGAAAGAAAUUGAUUCUAACCCAGAAAGAUGUUUUAAAUCAAAGUUGAACAAGGGAAGAAAACUUUUGAAUCGCAAUCACAUGUCUGGUCAAAUUCUUGAACAGUUGAUGUAUACAGACGUUCCUUGCUUAUGACACGACUUAUGAGAGGAUGUAUGUAUUGCAUUUGCAUCAAAAAAGAGAGAGAAGGUUGUAAGUGGUAAGGGAACGACUACCGAUGCCGCUCCACUUCUAAUCAAAGGGAUCGAUCCGAGGGUCGUGUUCACUUGCCAUCGCCAUUCCAGUGCAAAGGCAUGUCGGGCACAUUACCUGCCACAUUUACAGACGCAAUGUUAGAUAUAGCUGCCAUUUGGAAGUCACUUCUCAAAAUUUUGCUACUAAAUUAAUCUUAGACUUCAUUUCCAGUGCAAUUUUUUGCUACUAAAUUAAGCUUGUGAAUAUAGUACAUCUAAGCGGCAGGCACUAAAAGGAAUUUAGUAUGCAAUAAACAUUCAACGGACUAACCUUUCCCGCUCCUGAGCAAUUUGAACAUCGUUCAGUUUUUGGCAGAGAUAGGGGUUGGUUUCCGCCAUCAGCUGUCGAUACUGGUUCAGUAAGAACAAGGGUUCCAGUGCUGGAGCAACGAGCACAAGCAAGAUAUCCUGCGUAAGUAUCAAAUACACAGGUAAGUUGACAUAUGAAACCAAUCUGUGUAAACUACACUGUAAUAGCAGAAGAAUAUGCAGUACGAGAGAAAGAGAGAGAGAGAGAUUUAGAGAGAGAAGUUAAUACUUCAUAUGUAAUAUUUUCUAUAUCAUCAAUCUUACAAUAUUAAGACUAUAUACUAUAUGAAACUGCUAACUAACUCUAACAACCUCUCUAACAACCUUUCUAAUCUUUUGACAAGUGUCUUCAUAUUCUACCAUUGGAUUACUAUCCUUAACAUCCCCCCUCAAGCUCAGGAGAGGUAGAAUCCAAACUGAGAUUGCGACAAUGAAUCUGAAAGAGAGGAGCAGAUAAUCCCUUGGUCAGUAUGUCUGCAUAUUGCUCACUGGAAGACACAAACUGAACAAGCAACUGCUUCUUUGCAACUCGUUCGCGAACAAAAUGAAUAUCAACCUCAAUGUGCUUUGUGCGUUGAUGUAGAACUGGAUUGGAUUAAGCAAUUACUGACCUUUGUGCAUCUUACUAUUCCUACUUCACCAGUUUUGUAUUGUGAUAAUAUGUCAGCAAUCGCAUUAACAACCUCUCUAACAACCUUUCUAAUCUUUUGACAAGUGUCUUCAUAUUCUACCAUUGGAUUACUAUCCUUAACAAUCUGAACAUCUCCAUCGUAUAUAUUUAAAGCUACAGUACAUAAAACGAAAAGUCAGAAAUAGAGGACAUUAUCACACCAGUUCCAAGACAAUAUUUGCAUCGUUUAUGCUCCUGCUGUUUCACAUUGUUUAUUUCAACUACCAUCAAUGCUGAGAUCACUCCGACUGCUCCUCCAGAGAAUGACGCCACUAUGGGAUCAACUUGACUGCAGUUUGAAAGUAAAGGAGAUCAAUAAACAAAACUGUUAACAACAUAGUAUCAACAUUAUUUAGCUUCGUUUCAAGAAAUAUGACAUCCUAGGUUUUUCUAAUGUGUAAAAAUUGAGGAUCCUUGACUAUAUCGGUUCCCAAAGCAUUUGAUUCCUACGUUACAGACGGAAAACAGUAACAAUCGAAUUUAAAGAUUCAUAACACGAUAGAUGGUAGGUCUCGGGUUCGAGACUUGGGAGCAGCCUCUCCAUAAAUGGGGGUAAGGCUAGCCGACAUUCACCUCUCCCAGACCCUGCGUAAAGCGGGAGCCUUGUGCACUGGGUACGACCUUUUAUAACACGAUAGAUGGUACAAAUUUUCAAAACGAUAAUUACUAGAGAACAGGAGGGUUAAUAGCCUGAGAUAUGAGCAAUACCUCAACUGCAACGGCAGAUGCAUAUUUACUAUAAAGUCUUUAUAUGAUGUGCCUCCUAUUCCCAGCUUCAACUCCAACUGAAAGAUGUAAAGGUAAUUGUAGGCAAAGAGUUACAAACAUAACCGAAUCCAUGUUUUAUAAGCAACAACUACACUUAUUUUGUUAUGUUUCCUCAUUUUUUACUUGCAAAUUCCGAACCAUAUUGUCGGACCAGUAAAAAGAAAAUAAUGUUUAUGAUAACUGUUAAAACUAAUCACAACAAGUUAAUGCAUAAAGAACUUACGGAGGGUGCUAUGAGGCCACCGAAAAGGAUAAACCCCGCAAUAAUUGAAUAACAAACAGCAUAAUAUUGCUUAAGGUUGUCUGAACUCUGCAAGCAAUGAAUUCACCUUGUGAUUAAUACUUUGCACAAACACUAGUUUUCGCAAUUUUUUAUGAAUCGACAAAAGGCUACAACAAAAUAUGGCUAAAACAUGUGAAAAUACAUGUCUUCACAGGGGCACCAGCUUACCAGGGGAGGCAAAAAUGGAAUGAACGAUGGAAAACUAGGAAGUUCGUUUUCUUGAUCUUCAUUUACCGCUCCAAGCUCUGCACGUUUAAUCCGCUGUUGUAUCCUCAGCCCGCGAACCUACGCAUAUCGAAGCUCAUUCUUAAAGAACACAUUUCUAAUGGCAAUUGGAGAGUAAUUUAAAACAUGCUAAACUGAGAAAGUGGUAGCAACAAGCAAUUGCUCUCACUUCCUCCAUAUGCAAGAAAAUUUUGUUGCGACGACUCCGAAUAUUAUCUUGAAUUUCCUGCAGCUCCAUUGUCGCAAAGUCCUGCACUGUUUCAGGCCCCUCUAUGAUACAAAAUCUGCACAAUUAAGCAUGUAAAAACUAAAAAUUACAGGCUAUAAAACAAUUUCCGUAUCAUUUUUGGGAGCUCUCUCUCUCUCUCAAACCAGAAGGCAGAGCUUUCUGUUUCUCUUGAGGUUUCUUUCACUGGUAAAUUCCAGAGAAGCAGAGAAGAAGGCUCUCUGAGAAAUGGCGAUGGUGCAAGUGGAGACAAAACAAAUGUAUAUCUUGAAGCACCGAAAUUGUGCAGAACACUUGUCAACUACCGAACUCUAGGAUUAGGAGAGAGAGAGAGAGAGAGAGUGAGUGACCGGCAAAAAAAAAAAUGAGGGAAGAAUCACCCACAUUUAAAAAUGAUUUUUAGGGGACCUGGUGUCGUUGGAUUCGAGUAGUUGUUCGGUAUGUCACAUUUAAAAUUUUAUUAUCUGAUGAUAAACGUCGAAACAUAAAGAUAGGUCAUCUCUAACCGAAUGAGGACUAAAAAGUCAUGUUUAGUACUAUAAUCCUGCAAUGAAUUAUAUUUUAAUAAAUAAUAUCAGGUUAUAUUUUAUACCAUAUCUAACCGAGUGGGUCAAAUGAUCAUAUGCCAAACAUAGCCUUUUGACAAAAAACUCAUCUCCAACCGAGGGGGCUAAAUGGUCAUAGACCAAACAUAAUUGCUCAAUAAUUUAUUAUUCUAAUUGAAUUAAUAUGAUUAAUUAAAUUAAAUUACCAUAUUAAAAUAAGAUUUCAUGAUAUAUUUUGAGUGCCACUUGCCACAAUACCGAAGAAAGCAUGGUAUUAUUGCACCUGCCACAAAGUCAAGCUUGACAUUCUGCUGCUGGAGGGCUGGCUGGCUAGCUGAAAAUGGCCAGCCUGCUGGCCUGAUUUGGGAGGUUUUGGCCCAAUGGGGCCCCAAGCCCUUUGGCCUAGCCUUCGGUUGGAAACGGUUUUCGUGUUAUUCUGAGUUAUUUUUAACCCUAUGAUCCUUUGGCCGGAUCGAUUGGAGAUGACCUUAGGUGUGUUGAUUGUCUUUGAGACAUCGGAGGUUCUGUGUGAUUGAAUACUUCACCCUCCUCCAAAGGCGCCACUCUUGAGAAGGUUACUUGCCUCAUGCAAACAUUGUGAAUUGCAAGUGAUGAAUUGUUCUGAUGAUGAGGUUUAUUUUUUAACUCAUUAUGUUUCAAGUUUAAACAUUUUUCCCUCUCUUAGUGUAAAAUAUUGUUUGUGAUAAAAAAACUUAAAAUGAGACACUCUCCUUCAUAUAUAAGAUGAUCAAGUGUGAGAUUAAUACUUUUAAUGAGUGACUCAAUUAACCAUUUUCAUUUCUUACGCGUUCAAAAUUAGACAAAUUCUUUGCAUACAUUUAAAAAAAAAAGAUAUUAAGGAGAGUAUAAAAUUAUUACAUUACGAAGAGAGAGUUUCGAACUCGGGACGUAUGAGUAGAACCCUAACGCCUCUCCACUAGGAUAUUAGACCAAUACUGGUCUUGAAUUUUUUUGGUGCCCGGAGCGAAUGCUCAAAACGUGUCUUUUUCCAGUACAACAUAAAUUAAAAAGAAAUAUUUAUAGAGGGCUAGAACCCAAUCGAAGCUGGGGGACUAGGCCCUUACGCCUAUAUUAUAUUACUUACCUAAUACAAACAUUUCUGAUAGAUUUCAGAGGCUCUAAAUGGUCAAACACUUCGUCCUUCCCAAAACCGUUACUGUUGAGAGGGUUCCUUACCUAAUACAAACAUUUUACGUUUACUUAGAACUAGAAAAAUAAGAAUUGCAGGUGAUGAAUUGCUCUAAUGAUGAUGUUUAUUUUUUAACUUAUUGUGUUUUAAGUUUAAAUAAUUCUGUUUCUUUGAUAUAUAUAUUAGUGUAAAAUCAUUCGUAAUAAUAAAAAAAAAGAAUAAAAAUGAUACUCUCAUUUAUAUACAAGUUGAUCAAGUGUGAGAUUAAUAAUUUUAAUGAGUGAAUUAACUAUUUUCAUUUCUUACGAGUUCAAAAUUACACAAAUUCUUUGCAUACAUUUUUUUUUUAAAUAGAAAAUUUCUAUUAUUAAGGAGAGAGUCCUAAACUAUUAGGUUAUGGAAUGUGAGUAGAAACCUAACGCCUAUCCACUAGGAUAUUAGACCACCAGAGCUGAUCCUGAGAUUUUUGGUGCCUGCGUCAAAAUAUGUCCUUUUCCAGUACAACAAUAUAAAUUAAAAAGAAAUAUUUAAAGAGGGCUGGAACCCAGUCGAAGCUGGGAGGCUAGGCCCUCACGCCCAUAUUCUAUUACUUGAAGAAACAAUAUACAACGGGGGGAAUCAUAGUACCGAAACCCCAACAAUAAAAAACAAAGUCACAUGCAACCACUCCAAGCAGUCAACUUGGCCAUUACAUAUUGAAUCCAAAAGGUUGACGGCCUAUUCUCUGCAUACAAUGCACAGAAGAUAACAAGAUUACUAAUAUAAAAAGAACAUCUGAAAAGAUGAACAUAUGCAUCAACAAAUAAGCAGGGGCGGAUCCACAGUGGGGUCGUCGGGGUCAAACGACCCCUUGGAAACCAUGGAAACAACCUUGAAGCUCCCAUAUGCGACCUCUUGGAGCUGGGGUUGUCGGGGUUGUCAGGAAGAGGAAGAAGAAGACUCGGCAGGAAGAGGAAGAAGAAGCAGCUCGCGCGACGUGUAGGUUCUGUGUAGAGUUUCUGACCUUUAAUUCCCACUUCACAAAGACGAGAGAAAGAGAGAGAGGGAAGGAAAGUCCUCGGGGUGGUGGUGAUGUAGACCUUCGUCGGGGUAGUGGUGUGGGUGUGCGUGGGUGUGGAUUCGAUCGGAGAGAGUGAGAGGGUUAAAGAGUGAAAAAGAGAGAGAGAGAGAGAGAGAGAGAGAGAGAGAGAGAGAGAGAGAGAGAGAGAGAGAGAGAGAGAGAGAGAGAGAGAGGAGAGUUCGGGGAGAUGAGAAGGAGGACAAUGGGGACUUGCCCCGUGGCAAGUUGUGAUAGGUAGGAAAUCCCAAAAAGGGAUCCGGAUAGGGUAAGUAAGUGGGGACCAAAUUGUAAACUUCAUUUAACUGUAGGGAAAUUGUGAAAUUACAAGGAAAUCUUUGGGGAGGGGUUUUACAGAAACCCUUCUCAACACUUAAAAGCAAACUGCGUGCUUUUAAUCAGGUUUGGCUCUAUAAUUGAACUUGUAACCAUGCCUUUCCCUAUGACGGAAUUGUGAUAUGCUUUGCCAGAUAUUCACAAGGAAUUCAUUUUUCUUUUUCCAAUUGCAAAAUAUUAGUGAACAAGUUGUUUCUUCUAUGAGAGAUCCAAGCAUAAUGGUUGGGUAGAUGCAGAUGAGAAAAUCAGCAGUUGCUGUAUUUGGCACAGUAAGAUAUUAACUCUUACAUCUAAAUUGAAAAACAUGAAAAUUUCCUAGUUCUCAAGGUCUCACGUGCAUGCUCAGAUACAUUUGUGCUUCAUAUUUGUGUGUUUGAUUCCGAGAAGGCUGACAAGUUGAAGCAAUCUCUUCCUCCAUGUUUGAACAUUCAGGACCUUUGAACAAGGAUUUUGGAGUAGCUGGUUGCGCUAUCCUACCAAGACCCGAUGAAAUGACGAUAUGCAUGCCGUUUCUGUUAAAAAAAAAUAUCCUUAUUGACCCCCCAAACAUUAUUUCCUGGAUCCGCCACUGCAAAUAAGUAAACCAUUCUAAGUGCAAUUUUAGAAGUGAUACGCUCCAAGUGUGAUAUUGGACAGAAGAGCGGCAGCUUCAACCAGUUCUGCUAUAUCCGGCUGGAUGAGAGCUGCUAAAGACAUGAUUGUUCCCUAAUAACAUGAAUAAAUUGAGUAAACACCAAAAGUAGCGCAGCAAGGGAAGGAGAUUUGAAGUAGAUGAAGAGGUGUAAUACCCGUAUAUGCAGCGCAUCAUUUCUGAUAGAUCAAAUCGAGCCAAUUCCUGCCAACUCCAAUGCCGAUAAUCCUACAGUAAAGCAUAAAUCUUAUUCUCUUCUGAUAAAGAUGUGUGUCCCUGACUCCAACGUGUUUGACGCACAUUCCCUACCCAUACAUUGAAACCUUCAUCUGCAAGGACGAAUCCCAGUUAUUCUUCUGGAGAAUUUAAGAACCAUGAAUCACCUGGUCAAGAAAAGCCAGUAACCAAUUACAAUUGAGUUUGAAGCACAUAAGAGCCUAAUUUAAAAUGUAUCCCAUGGAUGUUCAUCAAUUUACACAAUAGUUAGUUUCAAGAAAGGAAAUUUCAACAGAACCUGAAAACUUCAGAUCAGGGGGCACCAAAUAGUGAGCUAUACAUUCAAAAUUUGAAAUAAUCAACUUAGUGGGACCAAUAUGUUGAAAAAAUUGGAAGGAGCUAUGAAAGUAAGGCUUUUCACUAAUCAGACGUCCAGAGAAUCAAUAUUUUACUCACGGAUCAGUUACGGGGAACACUCCCCACCAAAGCAAACUCUUUCGUCUGAAUCUGGAAAACAAGCAGCAGUGGAUUUUAACAGUCUGGGUAUCUCAAAGUUACUUUAAUCACAAAUUUAACAAUUAAACAUAUAAAUGGGCAUUAUUUAGUGAAAUAUUAGUAUAGUACUCACUGUGUGCUCGGAACAAGAGUACCCAGAAAGCUCAAUGAGCUGCGCACAGAGGACUACAGCGGUGAACGACAGCGACCGAUUCUGUAAAAUUCAGUCGAGUUUUGGGUGAUUUCGGAGGUCAAGAGGCUGAUAAGGAAAGCUGCGACCGAAGGGCACUGGUCUGGAAGAAAAGGCUCAGGUCACUGCUGUCCCAAUUCGCGAAGGAAGUGCCCCCAAAACAAUUUCGGCCCUGGACAGGUGCACUGUUUGCACUGGACCAGGGCCGGCCGGCCCAGGCGAUAACGUCCCCCAAACAGUACAUAUACAGAUGCUAGAAAUAUAUUAAUGUAACCUGAAACUACUAGAACCAUUCAAUUCUAGCGUCUACAGCUUUAGCAUUAGUUGGUACAUGGGACAUUCUUCCAAAGAGGGAGAUGAGCUCGUUGAGGCUCUUAUUUAUUCCCCCUCUUGAUGUGCCCUUCUAGGCUGCUAAUUCCAGACGAUCCAAUCUCAUACAUCUUCCCUGCAAAAGCAUGUGUGCCAGACUUCAAGAUCAAAUUUUUCCAACAAAAGAAACUUAAAGAUCAAACUCGCCAGCGGAAUAAAUGAUGCACAAGGGUGUUAAAAUCUUGACAUAUGUAUAUUUUUGGCAGAUUUUAUGUGAGCAUGCUACUAAAACUGGCAUCACUAAAGAUUGGUGGAAAACUUUAACAGUUUGAGUUGUAACUUCUCCAUUGUAUUUGUUAAGGCAAGAUGGAUGACAUCUAUGCAAUUUUCAGUAGAACUUAAAAGGCUGCAUAGCAGCUCUUGUUCGUUGUAUUGAAUACCGUGGUUUUACUGAUGAAUGCAGAGUUUGUUGAUGAUUCAUACGACAAGCAAUUGAAAAUCCCAUCAUUAUGCCCCACAUAUACCAAAAAAAAAAAGUCAUUUACACAAAUUCAGAGCGUUCAUCCACUGUAAUUUGCAGAUAUAGAAACGUUAAGAUAAAAGGAAAUGCAAAGUACCUUUCACCCAAAUUGGAGGAGCACCGGUGGCAUUAGCAAGUUAGCAACGGGAAUUGACAUACCAAUAUCUUCACAGUUUCUGCACAAGCACAAAUCAAAAGAACCCGGCGGUGGAGUUAUGUACCUCUCCUUGGAAAAUGCCACCUCUUGGGAUUUCAAAAUAUGCAGCCAUGGCUAGCCGUCUGACCACGCCAAUUCCACCAAAGCCACCGCAACGCGGCGUAGUGUCCGAUUGAUUGCUUCAAAACAGAGCUUCGUAUCCAUGUGUUUAUCAGCAGAGAGUACCCAAAACCACUGAAAAUUAUUUCUUUAUUCAGAUAAUAAAAUUUCCCAAAUUUGGAAAUUUAAUUCCGAAUCAAAAGUAGGGUUUGAAUUUUGAUUACCUAGAAAUUGGGGGGUUGGGGUGGAGAGGGACCCGUGCCACGACGGAUCUCUGUGUCUGUUUUAACUCAUGCCAAAUUAUAGAGAGUGUCAGGAAGACUUAAAUACUGAAGCCCCGUAAGCCGUUCAAUCCAGGGGGGAAGCUCUUUGAUAGAUGUUUUAUCCAAGAUAAGAUAUCUUAAUCCUUCCAUAUUUUCUUCAAUGCUUGGAAACACCUCAAAUUUUGUACAACCGGAAACAGAGAGACGGACAAGGGACUUGAGCUGACAAAUGCUGCUUGGAAGGCUCUUUAGUUCCUCGCAGUCGUUUAGCUUCAAAUAAGUCAAUCCCGUGAGAUUAUUAAUCGACCAUGGUAGUUCUUUAAUUUUUGAUCCGGAUAAAUUAAGAAAUUCUAACCCUUCAAUCACUUCUGUAAUCUCUGGAAACAUCUCAAGGCUCGAGCAACCAUAAAGAUCAAAGCUUUUGAGUGAUUUCAUACGAAUGCUGCUGGGAAGACUCUUAAGUUUCUUGCAGUAUAGUAGAUUCAAAUGACUCAACCCCGUAAGAUUAUUAAUUGAUGGGGGCAGUUCUUUAAUUUUUGAGCAGCGUAAAUCAAGCUUUUCUAACCCCUCAAUACCUUUUGACAUCGAUGGAAACAUCUCAAGACUGGAGCAGCCAUGAAGGUUCAAGGUUUUGAGACAUUUCAUACGAAUGCAGCCUGGAAGACUCUUAAGUUCCUUGCAAUCUUUUAGGUUGAAAUGACACAACCCCGUGAGAUUAUUAAUUGACAUGGGCAGUUCUUUAAUUUUUGACUCGGAUAAAUUAAGCUCUUCUAACUCCUCCAUACAUUUUGAAAUCUCUGGAAACAUCACAAGAUUGGAGCAGCCAUAAAGAUUAAAGGUUUUGAGAGAUCUCAUACGAAUUUUGCUGGGUAGACUCUCAAGUUCCUUGGAAAAUUCUAAGUUUAAAUGACUCAAUCCCGUGAGAUUAUUAAUUGACUCGGGCAGUACUUUAAUUUUUGACGCGGUUAAAUUAAGCUCUUCUAACUCCUCCAUACCUUCUGAAAUCUCUGGAAACAUCUCAAGAUUGGUGCAACCUCUUAGAUUAAAGGUUUUGAGAGAUUGCAUGCCAAUGUUGUUGGGUAGAAUCUUAAGUUCAUUGCACCAAUUCAGAUCUAAUAAAACAAGCUUUGUAAGAGUCAAAAUCGACCCGUGAACCUCAACUAAGCGUGUACAACUUUGAACAAUUAGCCUCUCAAGAUUUGGCACAUUUGUGAAGUCAGGGGUUAUCUCAAGGUUUUGACAAUGACUUAAAUUGAUGAAUUUCAACUUUUCCUGCGUCUGUUAAAACAUUCAGGAAAACAUGCAUUACUUAAUAAGACAUCUUACUCAAAGCCCAAACAUUUAAAAGAAACAAAUACAAGUAAAUGAUUGUACAUACCUGGGUUCCUUCCCAAAGUCGGUUAAUGAGACUACAUCGCAUGUCAAGUUCAACAAGAUUUUUGAAUUGAAAGUUGGAUGGCAAAGACUUGAGAGGGAAUUGAAACCAGGAGAGAUACCUCAAGUUAGGUAACUUAAAACGGAGCCCACUCAGGUGGUGUUUCCAGUAAUCACGUUUAAAAACGGAGCCCUCACUACUGAUCUUGAGAAGUCUUAGUUGAGUCAUACUAGCAAAAGCUUUAGCAUUUAAGCAUACCCGGUCUGAGUACGAGAAAUCCACGAUUAUGCUUUCAACUGUUUUCGUAGCCUGUGCAAAUCAAAGUAUUAGAAAAUACAAAGAACCUUAGUUUAGAUUAUGAAAUUAAUGCUUGUUUCUUAGGGAGCUGUUUGAUAAUCAUUUCGUUUUUAGUUUAAUUUUUUUUUCAAUUUUCAAUUAUUCAAACAAUGAAAACUAAAAAUUAAAAAUUGAAAACAAAAAUGGUUAUCAAAUGGCCUAAGAAAUUGAUUUUGGUCAAAAGUUGAAGCUUUCUACUAACAAUUGCAUAAGAAAAAGACUUCUCACCGUAUUUUGAGUUAGCAUUUGAUUAACAUCUUCAUAACUCCACAACCUACUUCGUUUCCCAGGCUCUUUGAUAGAUUCUUGACGGACGAUUUCCCGACCCAUUUCCUCUAAUGAAUCAUGCUUCUCCAGUUCCCCCUCCCCUGAGACAGUUAUGAGAGCAUGAUCGAUUAGAACUCUUAUUCCUAUAUGAGGAUGGAAACCACAAUCGUCCAUAAUUCGGGUUGCACAGUCUUUCUUCAUCCCUUUAAAGAAACAUGCAAUAUCUAGAAAGAUGUCUUUCACUGUGUCAUCUAGUCCAUCGAAGCUUGAUUUAAGCACAUCAUGAAUUCCCCUUUGCGGGAUUUUCCUUAUUUUUUCUAACUCAUCUUCCCACUCACGGAUAGUUUUUUUAAGAAGAAAAGCUCCCAAAACUUUGAGUGCUAAGGGCAGACCUUGAGCAUAUUUUACGACACGCUUAGAGAGAUCAUCAUAAUCUCUGGUGGGUUGGUUUUUUCGGAAGGCGUGCUGCCUAAAGAGUUUCAGAGCUCCAGAAUCACUCAAAGUCUUGGGAUUAUAUAUCACAUCAACUAUGCUUAGUAACUGUGAAUCUCUACUUGUUAUAAUAAUCCUACUUCCACCACCAAAGGAAUGUGGCUCUCCAAGUAAAGCAUCAAUUUGUUCUGAUUUGUCCACAUCAUCAACAACAAUAAGAACUUCUCUGACCAAGGCUUUUUAACAUCACCUGAAAACCUUUGUUCGAUAUGUCAGAGCUCCCCACCUUGUUGUCCGAGAUACUAGAUAGAAGUUGUGUCUGCAUAUGUAGUUCGCCGUGCUUCAUGAAACCCUCCUUGACAUUUUUAAGAAAGCAACAAGUUUCAAAUCGACUAGCGAUUUCAUCAUAAACAGCUCUAGCGAUGGUUGUUUUGCCUAAACCACCCAUACCCCAUAUUCCAACAACGCGAACAUUAUUCGUUUCAACUCCAGGAGGAUGUAAUAAUAAAUGCAUUUCAUGCAUAUGAGAAUCCAUGUCAACCAAGCCAUUCUCUUUCCUUGAUGAUGAUGAGAUGUCAAUCAAUUUCCGAUAAACAUAUUCUACAAUUUCCUCUACGAGCACCGCAUCACUCCUGUCAAAUUAAAAAAAAAAAAUAUAAUAACAACAAAAAAUAAUAAUUAAUAGGUCUUUUUCAUCUGUUAGUUUUAAAAAAACUAGAAAUUAAAACCAAAAUCUUGUUGUGGUCUAUUUUAUCUGACAGAGGGACUAGGGCCGGCGGCAGAGAGAGAGAGGAGAGAGAGGUGUGUUUGUAGAAUUGUAGGGGAAUGUGUGUGUUGUUAUCCCUCCUACAUUGUGCCUUUAUUUAUAGUAGUAAAGGGAGAGAAGAUAUUCCUUCUUCUCCAAGUAAUACAAGUUGUAAUAGGAAAGGAUAACUAGAAUCAAAUCUUAUCUAGGAUUUACACAAUCAUACUUAAACUAGGAAUGUUUACAACACUCCCCCUUGAGUGGGUAAAUACUCAAGGUAGAUUCAGCAUCAUGCAGAAGUUGAGGAAGUCGACUCGUCGGCAUUGAUUCCAAGGAACAACGCUUAUUCUCAAUAAGGUAGGAACUUGCAUAAGUAGUAAGUCUCACUAAAAAACCCUAAGGCUAUGGCAAAAACCCAAGUAGGGACAAAAUCCAUAGUCUAAGGAAAAAUGCGUGAGGAAUGCAAAGUCAAAAGAAACGUCUACAGGACAUCAUCAGGGAUAUGACCAGCCCAAGGUGGGUGCCUCGUUAAAACCUAGUUAGGUAGCAAAAACCCAGUGGGAAAAAUGCUCCUAAUCGUAGGGAAAAAGAGUACAUUAAGAUCAAGCAAGUAUCCAGAAGAAACUCCCCCUGAGUUUGACAUAAUUCCAAAGAGAAAUAGCAAAGUUACAACUCAGAAAGUUUUUACGCAUACCAAUUCCAUGAACAAGCUUCUAAAAACGUCGCCUUCGGUAGUGAUUUGGUGAAGAGGUCGGCCAGAUUGUCUUGUGAUCGGAUUUGCGUGACUUCAAUCUUCUGAUGCUCUUGUUGUUGAUGUGUAAAGAAGAACUUCGGCGCAAUAUGCUUGGUGUUGUCUCCUUUGAUGUAACCCUUCUUGAGCUGUUCGAUGCAAGCUGCGUUGUCUUCAAAAAUCGUCGUCGGGGCAUUAACGGCGGGAUGAAGAUCACAGGAGCUUCGAAUAUGGCCCACUACUGCUCUCAACCAAAAGCAUUCCCGAGUUGCUUCAUGUAAGGCGAGAAUUUCAGCAUGGUUAGACGAAGUGGCAACUAAGGUCUGUUUAGUUGACCUCCAAGAUAUUGCGGUGCCUCCAACGGUAAAGACAUAACCCGUUUGAAGAACGCGCCUUGUGCGGAUCAGAUAAGUAUCCAGUGUCGGCAUAACCAACAAGGCGAGAAUCAACCCGAUGAGCAUAGGGUGCGGCAUCACUCGAGGAUUCGUAGGGAUAAGAUAAAGCCCAAAUCCGUAGUACCCUUAAGGUAACGGAAGAUGUCUUUCACGCCAGUCCAAUGUCUGCGUGUUGGUGCAUUGCUGUAUCUUGCCAAAAGAUUAACAGCGAAGGAGAUGUCGGGUCUAGUGCAUUGAGCUAAGUACAAUAAAGCGCCUAUCGCACUUAGAUAAGGAACUUCAGGCUCCAAAAUCUCUUCAUCAUCCUCCUUCGGACGGAAGGGAUCUCGCUUUGCAUCUAGCGUACGAACGACCAUAGGAGUACUCGAAGGCUUCGCUUUAUCCUCAUUAAAACGGCGCAACACCUUCUGGGUGUAGUUCGAUUGAAGUACUAGGAUUCCAUCCGAACAAUGCUCUAUCUCGAGGCCGAGACAGUAUCGAGUCUUACCUAGAUCUUUCAUCUCAAAUUCCGACUUCAGGUGCGAAGCAGUUCUCGCGAGCUCUUCAGGAGUUCCGAUGAGAUUCAUGUCAUCGACAUAUACUGCAACAAUCGCAAAUCCGGAAUGUGACUUCUUAAUGAACACACAAGGGCAUAGUUCGUUAUUCACAUAUCCCUGACUAGUCAAAUACUCACUUAAACGGUUAUACCACAUUCUUCCGGAUUGUUUCAAACCGUAUAGUGAACGCCUCAGCCGAAUUGAGAGCGUGUUCCGAGGUUUGGAAAUAUUUGAACCAGUCAAUGUAAGUCCUUCGGGAACUUUCAUAUAAAUUUCCGUAUCAAGAUCCCCAUAGAGAUACGCGGUUACUACGUCCAUCAGCUGCAUAUCCAGUUUUUCGGAAACUACCAAACUGAUAAGGUAUCGAAAAGUAAUCACAUCCAUAACGGGUGAGUAAGUUUCGUCAUAGUCAAUCCCGGGGCGUUGUGAGAAACCUUGUGCUACAAGACGAGCUUUGUAACGCACAAUUUCGUUCUUCUCAUUACGCUUCCGAACGAAAACCCACUUGUAGCCAACGGGCUUCACAUGUGGAGGAGUAGGAACUACAGGUCCAAACACCUUACGUUUCGCAAGUGAAUCAAGUUCGACUUGGAUUGCUUGUUUCCAGUUUGACCAAUCAGCUCUACGUCGACAUUCAUCAACGGAACGCGGUUCAAUGUCAUCGCUCAACAUGAUCUCAGUAGCUACUGCAAAUGCUAAUGCAUCGUCGACAAUCAUCUCAUUUCUACGCCACACAUCAUCUAAGCUAGCAUAAUAGACCGAAAUCUCACGAUUCUCGGGAGGAGGAUUCGUCUCUUCAAGGACGCUUCCAUAAUCUAGAAUUUCCUCAUGAGUUGGGUAAAAUGAGUAAGCGAUAGUCGGAUUCACGGUAGGCUCUUCAGGACCUUGUGCCGUGGUUUUCCUCUUCCGGGGGUGUGAAUCCUUUGAACCAAGGGGUCUGCCACGCUUUUGUGUAGGGGCAGAUGAUUGGCUAGCCGCUAAUGUACGUGGAUCACCAGAAUUGGCGUCCCGGGCUUCCAGGAGGGUAGUCCGUCGUACAUUUGGUACAUCCAUCUUUGCAGGCGUUUUCGCAGCUGGAAUAUGUGAUCUUGUCACGCGCGCUAGAUCGGUGAAAGCAUCUGGCAUGCUCUGAGCUAUGCUCUGGAGAUCUAAUAUGCGCUGCACUUCAGCUUCAGACUGAGCGGUGCGGGGAUCUAAAUGAGACAAAGUGGGAGUCAUCCACGAUAAUUCGCGUCGUUCAUUAGGAACGUUGACGUUCUUAUCUCCCCCUAACGACGGGAAGACUGUCUCAUAGAAGUGACAAUCCGCGAAACGAGCGGUAAACAGAUCGCCUGUCAAAGGUUCUAAGUAACGAAUAAUCGAAGGAGAAUCAUAUCCGACAUAGAUUCCCAUCCUUCGCUGAGGCCCCAUUUUUGUACAUAAGGGCGGCGAGAUCGGCACAUAGACCGCACAACCAAAAACGCGCAGAUGAGAUAUGUCGGGUUCGCAUCCGGUGACCAACUGAAGGGCACUAAAUGGUUGUGUCGCAACAGGCCUCAGGCGGACCAACUUUGCUGCGUGCAAUAUUGCAUGGCCCCAAGCAGCGAUCGGGAGCUUGGUACGUAUGACCAACGAUCGAGCAAUCAUUUGUAAACGCUUAAUGAAAGCCUCUGCCAGGCCGUUCUGGGUGUGAACAUGGGGUACAGGAUGUUCAACUUCAACCCCAACCGACAUGCAAUAGUCAUCAAAAGUUUUAGAUGUGAAUUCUCCAGCAUUAUCCAAUCGAAUAGAUUUGAUCGGAUAAUCAGGGUGGUGAGCCCUGAGCUUGAUAACCUGAGCCAACAGUUUGGAGAAUGCAGCGUUCCUUGUGGACAACAAGCACACGUGUGACCAACGUGUAGAAGCGUCAACCAAAACCAUAAAAUAUCUAAAUGGUCCGCAGGGAGGUUGAAUCGGUCUACAAAUGUCCCCCUGAAUCCGUUGUAGAAAAAUGGGAGGAUUCGAACGAAUCUUGUCAUAAGAAGGCUUAGUAAUAAGCUUUCCCAUAGAACAUGUUUGACAUGCAAUUUCAUGGAUCGAACCUAAGCUUCGGGUUAGUGGAUGCCCGUGUGAAGUUUUGAGGAUACGGCGCAUCGCUAUUCGUCCAGGAUGUCCCAAACGAUCAUGCCAAAGUGUAAUUUCGUGCGCGGUCCCUGUGGUAGGGCCGGCCACAUAGUGGCAUUCUAUGGGGCGUAUGGUCGUAGUAUAUAGACCACUCGGGUUACGCGCCAUCUUCUCUAGAAUACGCUUCUGGCCAUAUUCGUAGGAAGUUACGCACAGAAAUUUAACUCCGUUUUCUACGUGGGUUUCAGCGUGGUAAUUGUUAUCUCUAAUGUCCUUGAAACUUAGUAACGUUCUUCCGGAACGUGGAGAAUAGAGUGCCUCAGCAAUGGUCAAGAUUGUACCAUUGGACAACAUUAUACGUGCCUUACCGUAUCCUUCGAUCAGGUUGGAUGGGCCUGAGGGGGUUGUCAGAGGUGCAUUCUUAGGUACGAAGUUAGUGAAAUAGAUGCGUUCACGCAAAACAGUAUGCGUGGUUGCACUAUCUGCCAGACAACUAACUUUCCCACUAUUCAUACCUAGAAUUAAUUUGAAUUGGUCACAUGCAUAAAAGUUUAUAAAACAAGUAUCAAUUCAAAAUAAUUUCAUUUAUUCAAGGAAAAAACUUAAUAUCCAAAAUAAAUCGCCAACUAAUAAUCCAAAACAUAAAGGAAAAUUGUUCAAAAUCAACCAAAAACAAGGUGGGGUUCGGCCACUAGGUGGAAUUCGGCCCCAAUUGUCUUAUUUUAACUGAAAAAUAAGUCUAUGUCUAAGAUUCUAAUCUUCCAUAGGAGUGGUAUCCUCCUGAAAAUCAGAAACCUCCAUCUUUGUAAUCUCCGGUUCGUCCACUUGCAGGAAGUUUGAUUCAAACUUCGUACAACGAGAAUGAUAUGCAUCCACAACCUUCUUGGGAGUACGGCAAAUACGGGACCAAUGGUCCUUGGAACCACAACGAUAGCACAUAUCGUCAUUCAUUGUGGCAGGUGCUUUGCCCUUAUUCUUGAAGUUCGGGGCCUUGGGAGUGAGGUUUGGGCGCUUCUGGGCUUUGUUUCCUCCCUUGGAUGGGCCUUGGCUCUGUUGACCUUGGUGGGAUGGCUUCUGGCCGCCCUUACCACGCCUCUUUUGGCGUUUUGGGUGCUGAUUAGUGCUAUAAUGUGCUUCAGGCACAGCAGUAGCCCCAGUAGGUCGAGCUUGAUGAUUUUUCAUCAACAGCUGGUUCUGCUUUUCAGCAAGAAGUAAAACAGAGAUCAAAUCAGAGAACUUAGUGAACUUCUGAGCUCUAUAUUGUUGCUGCAGGACAAUAUUAGAAGCAGAGAAGGUCGAGUAGGUCUUCUCCAGGAGAUCCUCUUCAGUCAAAGUUUCAUUGCAAAACUUGAGAAGUGAUCGGAUUCGACAAACUUCAGAAUUAUAUUCAUUCACAGACUUAAAGUCUUGGAAGCGCAAGUGCUGCCAGUCGUGUCUUGCUUCAGGCAAGAAUAUGUCCUUUUGGUGAUUGAAACGAUCAGCCAAAGCGACCCAUAAUGCACGUGGAUCCUCCUCAGCAAGGUACUCAGUUUGUAGAGCGUCAUGGAUAUGUCUUCGGAUGAAGAUCAUAGCAGUGGCUUUUUCAGCCUCGCCAACAGGUUUAUCUGUUACUUCUUCAAUAGCAGGACGCAAGUUCUUUGCAGUGAGGUGGAGCUUCACAUCUUGAACCCACUUGAGGUAGUUCCUUCCAGAAACCUCCAAAGCGGUGAAGUCGAGUUUGUUCAAAUUCGACAUGUUCCUAUCACAAAAUGGAUGAACAAGAUGUGGUUAGUGUAAUGGAGAAAAAUCAAUCCAUUCACAUAGGAGUAGAACAUACAGGUUCUAAUAGACAUGUAUUGGUUUAAUUUUGCAUGAAAAACUUCGGGUUUUCAUGGGUGAUAUAUUUAAGUGAAAACUUCGGGUUUUCAAACAAGGCAUGUGUAUAAGAAACUUUGGGUUUCAAAGUAAUUAUGAACUUCAGGUUCAUAUAUUCCUGCAGGCAAACACAAAUAUAUAUGCAAACAAAUAUGCAAAGAAUAUAUGUAGAAAUAUUGUAUAAUGAUAAGUGAAUUAAUUUAUUUUUGGUCUUCGGGGCCAAAUUAAAGUGUGGGUGAAAAUAUAAAAACCCAUAUUAUUUAAAAAAAAUUAAAUAAUAAAAUCUCGGGGCCUAAAAAUAUAGGCCAAGAACCCUCGGGUGGGAUUACAGGCCCACGGGGUGAGAAAAGGGGAAUGGGCUGCUGUGUGCAGCCCUAAAAUUUUUUUUUUCUCGGGCCGUUCCAGGCGAGCCCAUAAUUUUUUUUUUCUUUUCGGGCCGUUCCAGGCGAGCCCAGAAACUUUUUUUUUUUUUUUUUAAUUUAGAUGCAUAUAUAAUUCAAUGAAUCACAUAUUUACUUUGAUGCAUAUGCAAAUAAUAGUUUCAAUGCAUGUACAUAUGUAAGAUUCAAUUCAUGGCAAAUAUCAAAUUCACAUAAUUGUAGCAAUUUUGAUUAUGAAGCAUACACAAUUUAUGUAGAAUCUAAAAUACGUAAAACGUAAAGUUGGGUCAUGCAUCAUGGUGAAUGUUCAUGCUAUCAGGGCUUGCAAAAUAUCGAGUUAAAAGCCGUUGUUUGGAAAGAACCUGAUUGCGUGAUGAUAUGGAUGAACUGGUUUGAUGCAGAAAAAAUCUCCAACGUCAGAUUCCUAAGCGCAACGGUAGGAGCGUGCUGAUAACGUGUUGUGGUCUAUUUUAUCUGACAGAGGGACUAGGGCCGGCGGCAGAGAGAGAGAGGAGAGAGAGGUGUGUUUGUAGAAUUGUAGGGGAAUGUGUGUGUUGUUAUCCCUCCUACAUUGUGCCUUUAUUUAUAGUAGUAAAGGGAGAGAAGAUAUUCCUUCUUCUCCAAGUAAUACAAGUUGUAAUAGGAAAGGAUAACUAGAAUCAAAUCUUAUCUAGGAUUUACACAAUCAUACUUAAACUAGGAAUGUUUACAACAAAUCUAAAUAUUUGUCAAAUUAUCUAAAUAUAUAAAGAGAGAGCCCCAGUUUGGUGAAGCAUUCCAAAAUGCCAAGAAUAUCCCUAUGUUUCCUUCACAAUCAAAAUCCAAAAAAUCCAAAAAAAAGGAGGACAAACUGGUAAAAAACUUAUAACCGAACAUAAAAUUGUAUUGAAAGAAAAAACUAAAUUUUUACUAAAAAUUGAGAGCAAGAAAUACAAAAAAAAAAAACAAAAAAAAGGGAAAUUAAACCGAAUACUGGUAGAACAAGUCCACGUAAUUGAUAAUUGACGAAUGCAAUGUUGGUAACUGGUCUUGAUUUAAAAUAAAAAGUUGAAAACACAAAGAGACAGAUGCAGUAAAAAACACCAAUAAAAAACAAAAUAAAAAAAAAAAUAUUGGAAACUGAGGAAAGAAACGUGGGAGAGAGACUGCUGUUUUCAAACUGCAUUAAGUUUAAAGGCUCUCAUGUUAUUGCUAAUGGAAUAAAACAAAAAAGAAAAUAAAAAGAGACCUAAUACGUUUAGAAUAGAACUGCUAUUCGACAGUUGCAGGCUUGAAGUGUGUGAAGGAAACAGUUUUGAAGAACGAUAAACUCGAACGUUCAUGAAAAUAAAAGCGAACGUGGGAGAGGAACCAGUUUUGCGGGACAUGUAAAUAAAACACAAAAUAAAAUAACCUCAAGAGAAUAAAUUGAAAUUGUUGUGCCAGAGCCUGAAGGAGAAGAUCAAAUUGGCGAAAACCAACAAGAACUGGUAGUUCUGUAGUUCUCAAUUAUUAAAUUUGUGUGUUUUGUUCUCUAUCAAAAUGCUUCUUAUUCCUUAAUCUUCUCAUGCAUUUUCACAUGAUUAUUGAAAAUUCUGCACGUUAAUUGUAAUGGUUUGAUUGUGGUUUUUGUUCUCUGCAGGUUUUUCUUCCCUUAUCUUAUCAAAUAAAUCAAUUGAUAGGUUAGGCUUUCAUUUUUUUUUCUUCACAGGACUUUUAAGGACAUCCUCAAGUCAAAGUGAUGGAAUCAAAGUCUUCAGGUUUGGAUGCUUUUUUCCUUCUCUUUUUAGAGUAAUUUUCGAGUUUCUUCUCGCAUUUUUCGGGUUCCUUUCCCCAGUCCCCCAAAAUAACAAUAACAAAUUAGGCUUCUUCAUUUUUAGACUCUCUUGGGGUUGGCAGAUAAGGGGUUGCUUGCAUUUAAACCUCACCGUCCGGCUUCUUCUUUCUUAUGAAUUUUUAUCCCUUUCCUACGGCCAGUUCGUGAAGGCCGUUUUCAAAUUGAGGUUUUGUAUAUUCUGUCUCUUAAGAUUUGAUUCUUUCUAUUUUGGAUUAUUUUUUGUCUGAUUUCUCAAACAAUUUGGCUAAUGAAGAGUUUAUGGAUAUACAAUGGGACAAUAUUAUUUUCUCUCUGUUUUAUGUGUUUAUUUAGUUUUACUGUAGUUUUCAUCUAUGCCUUGAGUUUUGGCUUCUCUAUCUUUUUAUCUUUUGUAGCGUUCCAGGUAAAUGGUGAGAAUUAUUCAAGUAUGCGACAUCAUUUUAGUUUCAUGUGAAAAAUCUUCUCUUAUAAUUUUGUUUGAGUGAUUGAAUGUGCAUAUGUGAGCUCUAAGGUUUGGUUCCAUAUUUAUUGUUGAAGAAAAACAGGAAGUGAGGAACACAAUAACCCUACCACGAUUAUGUAUGAAAUAAAUUGGAUCUAUUAAAAACUCAUAUUUUGGGUGUGUUGUUAGGAAGAAAUGCCUAAACUCCGAAUUUGUAUGGAACAUACUCAUUAUAGAAUAGAUUAAUUGUAUGUGUUAUUGCUUUUAGUACUAAAAUUGACUUAUUUGCCCUCCUACAAGUCAUAGCUUUGCUAAUAAAUUGAGAACAAUGUCUGAUUUAGUUUUUUUUUUUUGUCGAAAUGUCUUAUUAGUUUAACUCUUUUCAUUUGAUAAUUCUCUUGCCCUUGGUUUGAGAUAUAAAGUAUUUCAUUUCAGUCAUCAAGUGUCACAGCCUGUCCCGAAAUAUUUUAUUGAUGUUGUGAAAUGACGAAACUGCCUUUGAGCGUUUUUUGACAUUUAAACUUUAGGGUUUGUUUUGGUAACCAUGGUUGUGUUUAGGGUUAGGUGGAAGUGUGAGGACACACACAUCACCCUUUCCCUUUCUUUCUCUUCUCUCCCGUGCACUCUCUCUCUCUCGGAAACACUCUCCCUCUCGGAAACACUCUCCCUCUCUUCCUUCUUUGUACGGACAACAUCAAAACCCUCUCAAACCUUGUAGAUCGAGGGUGUAAAGAACACCAUUGGGUUCGUGAGGAUCAUACAAGUCAAAAGGUACCAGUUUCAGGUAAGGAAACCUUCGAUUUCCCGUGAAAACCCUAACCCUCCGAUUUUGUCACUGUUUAUGCUCAUGUAAAACCUUGUGUUUUAGGGGAUUUUAAGCUCAUAGGGAGCUUUAGGAGGUCCUAAGGAAGAUCAGAGUGGUUUGUUGGAAGAAUUUGGACGUCGAAAUAGUGAGAUCGACGAGUUGCAGGGUUUGGCCUGAUUAUCGAGGUUUUUUUCCAGCGAGUUGGAGGUCGAGGCAUGUAUGGUUUUGUUCGUCUUUGUGAGAUCUUCAAAUUGGUUCAAAUUUCAUUGAAAAUGGUGCAAAAAUGAAGAAGUUAUAGGCAUUAGAAAUUUUUCCAUAAACCGGUGACUCACCGGAGAAGAAAGGAGUUGACGGAAUAUACUAACGGCGUCAUGUAUCUUUAACAGAUUCAGUUAGUUUUAACGGAAUAUUCCUGACGGCGUUAACUGACGCCGUCAGUGUGCCAAGCACAUGGGCGCACGUGGGGGCGCAUCUGGCCGUGCCUUGGCCACGUGGGUGAUCAGAAAAUUAUUCUAAAAAUAUGGGGAUGUUUCUGAGGUUGUGUAGAUCAUUUUGGUAUAUUCAAACACCCCGAUUGAGCAUUGUAUGAGAAGUUGUUACCAAGUUUUGUGUUUGUGCUUUAAAAGUAACGUUUAUAUAGUUGUUUCGCAUAUAGGUGAGACCUAUCCCGAGGACGAGCGAAGUCAGGGGCAACUCGGGGGUUACGACCCUUCCACAUACCAGUGAGUAUAUAUAUAUAUUGAAUAUUUUCCUAGAAAAGCGAUUUAAAUGUGUGAAAUCCCGUUUCUGGAUUUCAUUGUUAUCACCUACAUAUUUGUAUUAUUGAGAUUUUAUAUUAUUUCUCGAGAAUUUAUUUUAAUUUGUUUGAAUUUAAAUUUAAAUUAAAUUAGUUAUUAACGUUUGAAGUUUGAGGCAUUUUAGAAAUAAAUAGAAAAAUCUGAAAUUUUCUUAUGAAAUCUGGUGUGCCACAUGGGUGGCCCAGAUUCAAUGGAAAGGAAAAUGGAUGGUGGAGAUGCAAAGGAAAGGAUUUAAAAGAGAGUGGGCGCUGCCCAGUUAGGAGGGGGGAGAGAAAGAGGUGACCAAUUGGGCGAAGAGGAAAGGAGAGUAAGGAGAGAAGAAGAGGAAGAGGGAACCGGCCGGGGUUUACUAUGGCCCAUGACCCGACCCGGUUAUAUCUCCCAACUCCGGCCACCAUGGACGGCUAGGAUGGUGUCAAAAUGAUCCUUAGCUCGAGGCCAAUCGAUCUCUCUUCCAUUUCUACACUUAAAACGACGAGGGGGAGUCCAAUUUUGAGGAAAUACCACGGUGGGUGCGUCGGGCUUAUGUGGAAAUCCAUUAAAUCUUGAAACGUUUUCUUCCAAUUACAACCACCCAUAGCAUCCUCAUGAGGCCUAGAACAAAGCCCAGACAAGUUUGGGGGCGGCAGAGUUGUUUUCGAGUCGGAUCGAACACACCUAAAAACAAGGGUUCCGUACGGUUCGAGUGAAAUUGGGGAUUUUCCCGGCCAAAUUGGACUUGGCCACAGGUAUAAAAAUUGCUAUACUCAUUGAAAUCUUCAUUUCUGUAAAUUUUGAUAAUUUUUAAAAAUAGUUGAAUUUUUCCGGCAAGUCGGGGCGGCCGACGGCCACCCGUGGCGGCGAGUGCGGCGGUUUCCUGGCCAGUGGGCCGAAAAUAUCAUUUUAAGUUCAAUUAGAUGUCUUGAUUUCAUAAUUGAUAUCCUUAUGAUAUGGUUUGAUUGUUUGAACCUAAUUUCAUUACGAUACGUGGUUAGGUCAAAAUAUGAUUCGACGAUCCUACCGUUGGAUCGUCACCAAACCUUAAUGCGUGAUAGAACAUAAUAUUUUUGGAUCAUAGAAACUUACGGAUCGAGAAUCUGACGUACGGAUCUUCCCUAAUUGGAUUUCUAAGUUUGUAAAAUUAAAUGUCGACCGCCACUUGAAUUUUGAAAUUGGCGGAGAUCCAACUGUCGGAUCAUGUUGAGAUUUCAGUAUGUUGUUAUUUGAGCAUAAUGUGGACUUUGGAAAGUUUCGGAUCGGAAAUCCGAGGUGCGGAUCUUCCGAAUCAAAUUACAUAAGUUUGUGGACCCUACUGUUGAUCGAGAGUUGACUUUUGCUCAACAUGUCAUGAAACGUCCUAAUUACUAAAAUUAGUACUACAGGGGAACUAGGUGAAGUCUAGUGGGCAUGCAUUGAUUAGAGAGUGACUUGAAUAUAUGUGAUAUGAUUAUUACCUUAAUUUCCUAUUAGUAUCCUUUGUGAAGAUGAAUUGGUUUUAUAAAUGUGAUUUCUAUUGAAAUGUGAUUUUUAUAUAUUUAGCCAUAGGCCUAUGAUUAUUAAACAUGAUUUGGCUUGGUACUGAUGAUGGUUGUGACAUAUGUGAGUUAAAUUAUCUUUUUAGUAAUGUGAAUGAUGUGUAUGAUUAUUUUCAUGACAAUGUGAUCCUAGAAUCCUAUUAAAAGUAUGUUGUAGCACUUAUAUGCUUGGGUGCCAUAUUAGUGGUGACCUUGAGAAGUUGAUGGUGUAGGUGACUACGUUGUAACUCAUAGGGUUGAGAUGUGAUGUGGAUAAGUUGAGGUGUUGAAAUUACUACACCAUGUAGUAGUUGUACAUUGAUGGUCCUGCUUGGUAUAUCCGCAUUGGGGGACCAUACGCAUUCUAGGAGUGAUCAUGCUUGGUAUAUCUGCAUUGGGUGAUCACUACCUACCUGAUUAUCUUGACCCUGCUUGGUUAAUCCGCAUUGGGGGGUCACAAGUGGUCCUGCUUGGUUAACCCGCAUUGGGGGACCAUACUUUAUAUGGAUCGCGCUUGGUUAAACCGCGUUGGGCGAUCCUUAUGGCCAUGUAUGCUUAGGAGUGAUCAUGCUUGGUAUAUCCGUAUUGGGUGAUCACUGCCUAGGAUAUUAAACUAUGCAUACGGUUUUGCUUGGUAUAUCCGCGUUGGGGGACCAUAUGCAUUCUAAAAGUAAGGAGGAUUAGUUGUGUUGAUGCACAAAAUCAGCGAAGACUUUGGUACAACAGAAAGUGUCAGGUUUUGUGACCUUCGCUUGGUUGCUUCGGUCACUAGUGAGGAUAAAUACGUAAAUAAAUAGAGACAGAGAAGCAAACACAGGAUGUACGUGGUUCACCCAGAUUGGCUACGUCCACGGAGUAGAGGAGUUCUUAUUAGUAGUGAAGGGCUUACACAAGUACAAAGGAUCAAGCUCUCAAUUUAGUGAGUUCUUGUGAAUGAUUUACACAAAAUGGCAUUAGGCAAUAUUGUGGGGGAAUGACCCCUAUUUAUAGAAAAACUUGUAGCUUUGUCACAUUGACAUGUGUCAUGUUAUGAUUGGUUCUUGAUGUUGACACGUGCUGCGCUCUGAUUGGCUUCUAAUCCUGACACGUGUCGAGUAGUGAUUGGCCUCCUGGUCGGAGGGGAACUCUUCUGGGUCCUUGACAGUAUAGCGUUGGCUGGUACUCGGUAGUUUCGGGAUUGGUCAAGUAUGGUACAAACAGUGCUCCCCUAAGUUCCCGAGUGAGGGAAACUCCUCGGUUGGGGACUUGCAAGAUCCAAUCCCUUGAGUAAUCACGAAACUUCUAAGUACCGAAGUGUGGUCUGAUCUUCAUCUGCCCUUCUCUGGAAGUACCUUUCCUCCAUCCGGGAAUGGUGUAUUUAGCUGAUGUUGACGCACAAGCUAAUGUAUCAAUUUCACUUGAAGCUUAGUUGUAGUUUCGGGCUUAGUCAAGUGUGAUACAAACCCUAUAGUAGGAGUCCCCCAAGUCGCCGAGCUAGGAGAUCUGCCGAAAGAGGUGACAGACAAGGUAAGCAGUCAAACUUCCAAGUAAGCAACCCAGGAUCAGAGGUUUGACUUCGGCUUCCGGUUGAUUGUUCUCAUUCUCCUUGUCUCUCAUUCAACUGCCAGGAUAAGGAGAAGCAAAUGGAUAAGAGAUGAUAUGAGAUACUUUUGCUUUUGAAGAAGUAACUUUCCACAGGCUUAUUCUUGAACUGUGCUGGAGGGUUUUCUGGUGCCCUUCAGAGUAUAAGGCCAACUCAAAAAUUUGAGGGUCAAAACAAGUCCAUCAAAUCUAGAGUACGUUCGACCUUGAUGAUAUGGGAUACUUUUGCUGUUGACGGAAUAAUGAAUGUGGUAUGGAAAGGUGUCGUGCUGUAGUGAUCUGUUUCAGCUCACCGUUUGAACCUUCUGCUUCAAUCUUUUGCAUGGCAGAAGUGGUGUGCAACCUUUGCAUUUAAAUGGUCCUUCAGAACAUUCCUUCAUAGUGACUCAUCCACGCUUGGCAGCUUCAGUGUAAAGAGCCAAUAUCUGAUCAACUGUCAUGAGGUAUUUGCCGGUGGAAUUCGUGACCUUGACAGCAGUUGAGGAUGAGUACUCGAGAGCAAUGCUAAGUAAGCAACCAGGCAAAGGCUCCAGGCAGUCAGUUCCAAAUUGGAGGUUUGAUUUCAGGUUCCGACUGACUGCUCUCUUUCUCCUUGUCCUGCAGGUGUGGACAAGGACAAAGACAAAGACAGGGAGAAAGCAUGAUAUGGGAUACUCUUGCUUUCGAUCCUGAUGAUAUGAGAUACUCUUGUUCUUGGUGUGGCUUAUUUGCUGAGGUAUUAUCGGGGGGAAAUAAAGCUGAGUAUUUCGAGAGGUUAUGUUGAGGGUGCCUUUUCGAAUGCGAGAAAGGGUUGAGCAUUUUUGCAGGUUUGCCUGUCCGUUGAGGAGGGAGGUCAAUGUAUAUAGGGAUUUCCCAAUAACAAGUAGUAAUGCUAUUCCUUUACCCUUCUUGGUCACAGCAAUGUAGUGGGAGCUGCCAGCUUCACGUGUUUUAAUUUUGUCAGAGCACUUUGAAAAAAGUGGUAUGUGGUAUCUGGAAAGCUGAUGUUACGUGUGAAGAUUACAGACAAGCUUUAUCUAAGGAAAUCUGGCUCUCGAAGUUCUGAGAGUUGUGCCUCUUCGGUUUUCGAACAAGCAAUCCCGUCGAGGAUCUGACUCUCGAGAUUCGGAAAGCGGUGCUACUCCGGUUUUUUAGAAAGUAAUUAUGUUGGGAGUCUUUUCUUGAAUGUGAGUAAAGGUUGGACGUUCUUGCCAACCUGUCUUGCCGCAAAACACGGAGGUCGACACACAUAGGGACUUUCCAGUUGUCAAGCAGUGGUGCUGUUCCUUUACCCUUAUGGGUAAUAGUAGGGUAGCUGGAACUUCGAAAUUCUCGUGCCUAAACUUUGUCAGAGAUCUUUGACAAAGUUAUAUGUGGUACCCGAUGAGUUGAUGGUGCAUAUGGAGAGCGGUGAUUGAACAGUAAGAUUCACGUGCUUUCUACUUCACCAGAAAUCUUCGACAGAUUGCCCGUAAUUUCUGCAAAGCUGAGUGUGCAUGUGACAGGUGCUGACGAGGCUGAAAAAGCAGGUGCUUCUUUGAUUUCUGAGAUCGGCCCUCGUGGUCUCUGAGCAGCCCAGCUUUUGAGAAAGCAAACGCCUCUUCGAUUUCUGAAGCUCCGUCGAGUGCAGAUUUUUAUAGAGGCUGGCAUUAAGUUCCACAGCACACUUGAAUCUCUACCAGUAGAAGCUCAUUUCUUGCACUUCUAAGAUCUUGAUUUGUCUGACCUCUUCCCUCUUCAACACAUUUGAAAAUGUCUGGACCCUCCGACCGUCGUUUUGACUUGAACCUUGGAGAAGAGACAGCCACGCCUUCUCCAGACAACAUAUGGCGCCCAUCAUUCAUAUCCCCUACCGGUCCUCUUACCGUUGGGGAUUCUGUGAUGAAGAAUGAUAUGACCGCUGCAGUGGUGGCCAGGAACCUUCUCACUCCCAAAGAUAACAUACUACUUUCCAAACGGUCUGAUGAGUUGGCUGUUAAGGACUCUUUGGCCCUUAGUGUUCAGUGUGCAGGUUCUGUGUCUAAUAUGGCCCAACGCCUAUUUGCUAGAACCCGCCAAGUUGAAUCAUAUUGGCUGCUGAAGUGAUGAGUCUCAAACAGGAGAUUAGAGGGCUCAAGCAUGAGAAUAAGCAGUUGCACCGGCUCGCCCAUGACUAUGCUACAAACAUGAAGAGGAAGCUUGACCAGAUGAAGGAAUCUGAUGGUAAGGUUUUACUUGAUCAUCAGCGGUUUGUGGGUUUGUUCCAAAGGCAUUUAUUGCCUUCGUUCCUCUGGGGCUGUACCUGGUAAUGAAGCUUCAAAUGAUGAACCUCCAAUGCCUCCUCCUUCUGGGGUUUUGUCAAGUACUGAGGCUCCGGAUAACCACCCUCCGGUGCUUUCUCUUUCUGGGGCUCUACCGACUGCUGAGACUUCCCCUAAGCAACCUUUGUGAAGGCUCCCUUUUGUUUGUUUAUUUUGACUCAUGUAUAUGUACAUAUUUGUGGCUUAUCGAAAAUAUUAAUAAAAUAAGCUUUGCUUCAUUUCAACAUAUUGUGUUAAAUACACCAAAGCCUUCUUCAUAAAGUUCUUUGAAUUUUUGCUUUUGUUGAAACCUGUAUUGUUGAAGCUUUGUGAGUGAAGCAUGUAGUUUGAGGUAGUGUUCCCUUAAUUUCUCGAGUGAGGAAAACUUCUCGGUUGGAGACUUGAAAAAUCCAAGUCACUGAGUGGUUGUGAGACUGCCGAGUAUCAAGGUGCAGUAGCAUAUGGUGGGAGUCCCCCAAGUCUUCAGGCGAAGAGAGUUGCCGAAUGAGGUGUCUCGCGUGUUACUAAUUUGUCAAAGUAACGAAUUCUUGUUUCGAUGUCACACAUUCGUAUAUGCUUUAUCUAAAAAAUAUUUCCAACUUUUGUGUGUGUUUGAUGCUGCAUGCUAUUGACUAGACAAGAUCAAGUGCAAUUAGUAGCUUUCUCUCUUUUUCAUCUUUUCUUUGGUGGAAUUGCUUUUCGUUUCCACUAAUCAGCCUGAGUGGAUGCAAGAUAACACCUUUCUCUAUAGCUCAGAUUGCAAAGUCGUCUUCAUGAAAGUUUUUCCUUAUCUUGUGAACUACAAUAUAUCCAAAUUUGAGAUCCAUCGGAGUAGUACAACUUCAGAAAUUCAAGUAUGAUGAGUAACUGUUCAUCAAUGUUCUGUUAAUCCGUCAGACUUGUUGUGAGCUUCGAAACUCCAUUUUCUCUUGUUCAGAUCAACAUACUUUCUUUCUUCAUCGAAGUUGUUCCUCAGCUUGUGAACUACAACAUAUCCAAAUUUGAGAUCCCUCGGAGCAGUAUAACUCCAGAAAUCCAGGUAUGAUGAAUGACUGGUUAUUAUUUUUCUGUCAACCCGUCAGAUUUGUUGUGAGCUUCGAAACUCCAUUUUCUCUUGUUCAGAUCGGUAUGCUUUUCUUCAUUGAAGUUGUUCCUCAGCUCGUGAACUACAACAUAUCCAAAUUUGAGAUCCCUCGGAGCAGUAUAACUCCAGAAAUCCAGGUAUGAUGAAUGACUGGUUAUUAUUUUUCUGUCAACCCGUCAGAUUUGUUGUGAGCUUCGAAACUCCAUUUUCUAUUGUUCAGAUCGGCAUGCUUUCUUCAUUGAAGUUGUUCCUCAUCGUCUCUUUCAUAACAUAUCAAAAAUUCAGAAUGAACUAAUGGUUAAAUAUUUCCAGAUCUUUGAAACAUCACAGCAGCUUCGAAAUCUGCAAGAAUCCGACUGUCAUGUUUGGAACUUCAACACUUUAAUUUCCGUCGCUCAAACAGAAAUGGUUCCUUCUUGAAAGUUGUUCAUAUGCUCAAGAACUAUAGGGUGUCCAAAAUUCAGCUCCAUUGGAGAAGAGCAGAGGUUGCAGAAAUUUGAUAGAUGAAAGGAGGCGGAAGAGGGAGAGAGAGAAAAAGUCUCUUGGGUUGGAUUUCUAUUUUGGGGCAGAUUCCAAUUUUUGUAGCACCUUCAUUAUUGAUGAAUUGCUUGUACUUUUGUCCAUUAUGAAACUUGGGACUUUGGCUUGUUGUUGGAUCUAUUAUAAUAUGUUUGGGAACAUAUAUAAGUGAAUAAAUAAGAAGGAAAAUUUUGGGCCCUUGUGGGUGUAAAACAAAAAAUGUUUAUGUUUACCCAAGUGGUUUUGUGAACAAAAUUUGUUUAUUUGGAGCAAGGUUUUGUGUUGAAGCUUUGUAGGUGAAGCUUUGUAGAUGAAGCUUUCGAGGUGAAGCUUUGAUGGUGAAGCUUUGUAGAUGAAGCUUUCUGGGUGAAGCUUUGAUGGUGAAGCUUUGUAGAUGAAGCUUUCGAGGUGAAGCUUUGAUGGUGAAGCUUUGUAGAUGAAGCUUUCUGGGUGAAGCUUUGAUGGUGAAGCUUUGUAGAUGAAAGUAUGUAGAGGGAGCUUUCUAGGUGAAGAUUUUUUAGGUGAAGCUUUGUAGGUGAAGCUUUUUUAAGUGAAGCUUUUCGGGUGAAGUUUUUGUUGGGUGAAGCUUUGUGGGUGAAGCUUUUUAGGUGAAGCUUUGUGGGUGAAGCUUUGGAGGUGAAGCUUUUCGGGUGAAGCUUUUUGGAUGAAGCUUUUUUUUUUUUUUUUUUUUUUUUUUUUUUUUUUUUUGGCGCUUGACACGGUCUUCAUUUGCUUGUUUUGUAGUGACUGUGGAAGACGGAUUGCUUUCUGAAUUGAGAAGGGUUCCGGCAUCGCUUGCUAUGAAUGUAAAAGAGUGAGGGCUGAGUUGGCUAAAUUACCUCUUUAUUGAAUUCAUUGCCAAAUGGCCUUCAUUACAUAGGAUGCCGAACGGCUAUAGCUCAACACUUGUACAUCGUGAGUCUAUUUGUAGUAGUACUUCAAGUGAUCAGCGUUCCAUGGAUGGCCAAGGGUCUUGCCAUCGGAGCUUCUAAGUGUGUAAGAGCCAGGGCGACUGAUGCCAAUGACUUCAUACGGUCCAUCCCAGUUUGGACUAAGUGUGCCUUCACUCGGGACUCUGUCGCAGAGUAAUCUUUUCUUUUAAGACCCAGUCUCCUAUUUUGAAAGAACGAGGCUUGACCCUAGAGUCAUAAUAGUUGGAGAUGCGCUGCUUGUAGGCGACAUUCCUCAAGUGAGCUUGGUUUCUGUGUUCCUCGACUAAAUCCAAGUUGAGGGUGAGUUGUUUGUCAUUUUCACUUUGAAUGUAGUUCUGGACUCGGAAUGUUGCUUGCUCGAGCUCAACAGGGACAACCGCCUCUGUGCCAAAGGCAAGUGAGAAUGGAGUUUCUCCUGUUGAAGUCCGAUAUGAAGUGCGAUAUGACCAAAGAACUUGGGGUACAAAUUCUGGCCAACAGCCUUUAGCUUUGUCCAAGCUGGUUUUCAAAGUGCGCUUGAUUAUUUUGUUGAUGGCCUCAACUUGUCCAUUAGACUGGGGAUGAGCUGGAGAGGCAAAGCAUAAGUUGAUGUUGAACUUAGAGCAGAACAACCUGAACUUCUUGUUGUCAAACUGUCGCCCAUUGUCAGUGACUAUCGCAUUGGGAAUGCCGAAUCUACAAAGGAUGUUCUUCCACACGAAGUCUUCUAUCUUUGCCUCAGUAAUGGUUGCCAAGGGUUCUACUUCGGCCCACUUUGUGAAGUAGUCCACUGCAACGACUGCGUAACAGACUUUGCCCUUCCCUGCCGGCAUUGGGCCGAUCAAAUCAAGUCCCCACUGGGCGAAGGGCCAAGGGCUGAUCAUAGGAGUAAGAGGCUCUGGAGGGGAAUGAGGAAUAGUUGCAUAUCGUUGACAUUUGUCACAUGAGCGGGAUACUUUGAUGGCAUCCUGGUGGAGUGUUGGCCAGUAAUAUCCUUGGCGAAAAGUCUUGUGUGCUAGGGACCGAGAUCCAGCAUGAUCUCCACAGACUCCCUCAUGUAUUUCCCGAAGGACGAUUUCCGCCUCGGCAGGCGUAAGACACCUUAAGUAUGGCAGGCUAAAACCUCGCUUAUAGAGUUGAUCAUUGAUGAUCAGGUAGCGGGUAGACUUGUAUCGAAUUUGCUUAGCCUGGACUUUAUCAUUUGGGAGGGUGCCAUGAGCAAGGAAAUUAUAGAUCGGGGUGAUCCAACUAUCCCCCUGUUGUAAGUUGCAUACUUCUGCGGCCAUGGUGCUUGGUGUUGCCAACAGUUCGACAUGAAUUUUUCUUCCAAUCUUGUCUUCCACAGCUGAGGCGAGGCGAGCCAGGGCGUCUGCAUGACUGUUUGCCGCUCGAGGAACUUGGGUGAUCUGGUAGUGGAAGUGCUUGAGUAAAAGUUGUGUUUGCGCAAGAUAUGCUGCCAUGGAGCUGUCCUUAGCAUCAAAGUUGUUGGUAACCUGGUUGACCACUAAUUGGGAGUCACUGAAAAUAUCAAUUUGUUUAACCCCGAGGUGUUUGGCCAAACGUAAUCCUGCUAGAAGGGCUUCAUACUCGGCCUCAUUAUUUGAUGCCUUGAAUUUGAAACGAAGAGCAUACUCCAUUGCUACUUUGUCGGGUGUAGUCAAGACUAGUCCCGCUCCACAGCCCUGUUGGUUGGAUGAGCCAUCAACAUACAGACUCCAUGCUGGGGUUGUUGGUUCUAUCUUCUGAGCUUCCGGGGGUAAUGAAGCCACUGUUUCAGGUGUAGAAGCAAUGUCAACCGGAUAUGUGAAGUCGGCAAUGAAGUCUGCCACUGCUUGGCCCUUCUCAGCUGGCUUUGGUUGGUAGGAGAUGUCAAACUCACCCAACGCUAUUGCCCAUUUGAUCAUUCGCCCUGAAGUGUCAGGACUUUGGAGUAUCUGUCGAAGAGGAUAAUUGGUAAGCACGAUGAUGGAGUGCGCUUGGAAGUAAGGGCGGAGUUUUCGAGCAGACAUGACCAAUGCCAGAGCCAAUUUCUCAAUGUUAGAGUACCGUGUCUCCGCAUCUUGUAAGGCUUUGCUAGCGUAGUAGACAGGUCGCUCAAUAUUCCCAUCCUUUCGAAUGAGAACGGAACUUACGGCUGAAGCUGAUACCGAUAGGUAGAUAAUGAGAAUGUCUCCUACCUCGGGCUUGGUGAGUAGAGGGGCUUUACUCAUGUACUCCUUGAGGUUUUUGAAUGCCUCGGCACAUUCAUCAGUCCAUGUAAUGUACUUCCUACUUCCCUUAAGUGCUUUAAAAAAGGGAGCACAUUUGUCUGUGGCCUUAGAAAUGAACCUGGUUAAGGCUGCCACCUUGCCAGUAAGGCUCUGGAUGUCCUUUGAAGUUACCGGUUCCUUCAUGUCGAGGAUUGCUUUGAUCUUCUCGGGAUUAGCUUCAAUGCCUCGUUGGCUAAUCAUGAAACCUAAGAAUUUGCCAGAGCCUACGCCGAAGGCACAUUUGUUGGGGUUUAACCUCAUUCGAUACCUCUUCAAAAUAGUGAAAGUUUCAGAUAGGUUGGUGAUGUGUUGGUCAGCAUGUUUGCUCUUGACUAACAUAUCAUCAACGUAAACUUCCAUGCUCUUCCCAAUCUGCUCGGCGAACAUUGAGUUGACUAGUCUCUGAUAAGUCGCUCCUGCAUUCUUUAGGCCGAAAGGCAUGACUUUAUAGCAGUAUAGUCCUCUGUCGGUAGUGAAGGCUGUGUGUUCUUGAUCCGAAGGGUUCAUGAGGAUUUGGUUGUAUCCUGAGUAAGCAUCCAUGAAGCUCAGGAGUUCACACCCGGCCGUAGAGUCUAUAAGUCUGUCAAUAAGAGGAAGAGGGAAGCUAUCUUUCGGACACCCUUUGUUUAGGUCGGUGUAGUCAACACACAUUCUCCACAAGACCUUUUGAAGCGAAAGACUUUCUUUGGUCGGAUUUUUCCUAACAAGGACCACAUUUGCUACCCAUGUCGGGUAAUUGACUUCGCGGACAAAGCCUAUGCCUUUGAGUUUUUCAACUUCUGCUUUCAUUGCCUCGUAUCGUUCAGCGUCAUAAGAUCUUCGCUUCUGUCUCACCGGCUUGAUCUUGGGGUCAAUACUCAAACGAUGACAGAUGACAUCGGGAGAGAUGCCUGGCAUGUCCUCGUAUGACCAGGCGAAGACUUCAGUGUUCUCUUUCAAAAAAGAUAUCAAUGCUAACCGAAGGGGUGGUGACAAUGUGGUGCCAAUCUUCACCAUGUGAUCUGGAUAAUCUCUUGAGAUAGGUACCUUCUCCAACUCUUCAGCAGGUUGGGCUUGCUGGGUGAAAGAGUCAUCUCGAGGAUCAUCGGGUUGAUUGUUGCUAUCAGGAAGAUCCAAGUUCGCUUCAUCUAGGCUGGUCUUUGUGACUUGGUCAUGUACAGACAGGGUUUCCUUGGGUCCGGGCAAGUGUUGUUGCUUAACUGAAGUGUUGUAACAUGAUCGUGCACUAAGCUGAUCUCCUCUGAUGUAGCCGUUGCCAUGGGGGGUUGGAAAUUUCAUCAACAGCAUAUGCGUGGAUACCAUAGCCUUGAGAUCAUUGAUGCCUGUGCGCCCAAAGAUGACAUUGUAUGCCGUUGGGCAGUCAACCACUAGGAAGUUAGUGGUAAUGGUAGCCGUGUAAGGGCCUGUACCAAUAGUAAAGGGUAAAUGUAUGCUCCCUAAGGGUUGCACGAUAUCACCGGAGAAGCUUAUCAGAGGAGAAAUCGAGCGAUCGAGCAAGUGUUCAGCUACACUGAGUGCCCUGAAAGCUUCGGCAAACAUGAUAUUGACCGAAGCCCCUGUGUCUACGAGGAUUCGUCGAACAUCAAAGUUGGCUAUGUGAGCCUCCACGAUCAAUGGGUCGUUAUGAGGGUAGAUGAUGCCUCUUUCUUCCUCAGGGUAGAAACAUAUCGGAUCCCAGUUAGGCUUUUGAUACUUCCCUCCCCUGAUGUCUUCCACGUGAAACACUUGGUGACCAGGCCUCAGAAUUCGUUCACUGUUUUUCAUGGCCCUAUUGGAAGAUUCAGAUAUGGGUGUGCCGCCGCUUAUGGAAUAUAUGACAUUCACCUGGCGUUGGUUACGGUUAUCCCUUUGAGGGUGAAGGAGGAAUUGAUCAAUUUUUCCUUCUCGUGCCAAAGCUUCAAUACGAUCACGGAGGAUGAUACAUUUCUCGCUAUCAUGGCCGUUAUGCUCAUGGUAGCAACAAAACAUGCCCGCGUUAUUCGGGGGCGUGUAAUCUGGGUGCCUCGGCUUUGGCUUUGGUAUCAGGUGAGCUAUGCUGGGGUAAAUGGCCGCGCAUGUGGCAUUCAAGGGCGUGUAUGUCUCAUACCUUGGGGUAGGGGGUAUCUUGACGCGGGUUUGACCCACUGCAUUGACUGCCUGGGGGCGAGCGUUAUUGUGGCGAUACCCUUGGUUAUCGGGAUAGUGUCCCUUACUCUUUUUUACUGAAAUGAGAGUGGUGAGGAUGGAAAUCCUUCCUCUUGCCUUGAAAUUGAUAUGUCUGUUGAUUCGGCGAAGCAUUAUGCAAGGCAUGGGGAGGUGCCACUGCUGUUUGGAAAGUCGAGGUCUUCUCAUUUAGGUGAGUCUGGCUUCCACCUCCCACUUGUUGAUAAAGGAUGGUUGUAGGGGGUUUCUCCUGAUAUGUCUUUGCCUCGGCGGAGGCAUGGUUAUAAGCCUGCGCCAUCACCUCAGAGUAAGUCUUCCAAGUAUUGGCAUUGAUCAUGUAUUUAAAGAAACAAUCACGUAGGCCUGCCGUGAAGGCUUUGAGGGCAGUCUUGUCGUCUGCCUCGGCACACCGGGAGUAUUCAUGGCUGAAGCGGCCAGCAUACAUACGUAAUGACUCGUCUGGCUUCUGGCGGAUAGUGUACAGGUCAUCUGCAGAGUGCAAGCGAUCGGUUUGGAAAAUGUGUUGGGAAACAAAUAGUUUCCUCAAUUCCUCAAAUGAGUCUACCGUCUCAGGUGUAAGACGACAAUACCAAUUUAGAGCUCCGCCAGAGAGGGUGGAGGGGAAGAGAAGACAUCGCUCUUCGUCGGUGUGCAUCCGGUAUGCCAUGGUGGACUCAAAGAGGUUAAGGUGCUCAAUCGGGUCCUCUUUUCCAGUAUAAAGUUGCAAGCCAAGCUUUUUGCUUUGUCUUUGCUUGAAGGGGGGUGUUGAGGAUCCUCCUUGUAAGAGGGCCAGGCCUGGGUUGGUUCCAGUCAGGUAUUUCAGCCUGACGUUCAGCCUUCAACUUGUUUACUUCCUCAAGAAGUUGUAGGACAAGGGGGUCCUGAGCGGAGUUAUGUGCCACUGGAGCUUUCUUUCGUAAAUCUCCAUCUUCUCUUGGAAUUAGGAAGGUUUGAUCAAGGGCAUGUGAUUUUUCCCUGGACUCGCUGUACUGGCUUCCAGGGUAUGUCUGUCGGAACACCUCUGAGUCCCCUGUACCCUCAUGUCUCUCUAGGACUUGUUGCCCCUUCCCCAAAUUGGUGGCCGGCUUGGGCCGUGGCAGGGGACCGAGUCUCUCAGAAAUCCUUGGGUCAUUAAUCUUUGAGCUUAUAUGGAUGGAAUUCUCUCGACGUUGCUUCAGGAAAUCCCGACAAUAGCGAAAGACAGCUUUCGAUCCUUCUGCCCCUUCAGCAAAGAGGUGUCUCCCUCCACUUCUCAUGGUUCGGGUUGAAGCAACUGGGUUAAGAGAAGCCUCAUGUUGAUUAUCAAGUCGAGGGGUAAUCUGUUCCCUAUCAGGGAUAUCUAUGUCGAAUGCAUGUGACCCUCCAUGUUGGAGGGCACCCAGUUGAUGGUUGACUUCCACGGGGGCAACAAGCUCGCGUGUCUGAGCUUGCCUAGCUUCGUGGAGUGUCUCGAAGAGCUUCUCAUAUUGCUCCUGGAGGACCUCAUUCCUCAUUGCUAUCUUGUUGUUCUGAGCUUCCAACUCAUCGACUUUAGCUUGAAGAAGAACUCGUUUUCCUUCCUUCUUUCGUUGUUUCGCACUAUGUGCAAGGGGGGUGUCAUUCUGUGUGCUGUGGCUUCCUUCGCUUCCCAUGUUGGAGAGGGAUGCCUGGUCAAAAGAAAGUGUACGAAUGAUAGAAACCAGCUUGACACAGCUGAAGAGAGUAGGAAUAAGUGUCGUUUCCCACAGACGGCGCCAAAUGUUGAUUAUCAAAAUCAGCGAAGACUUUGGUACAACAGAAAGUGUCAGGUUUUGUGACCUUCGCUUGGUUGCUUCGGUCACUAGUGAGGAUAAAUACGUAAAUAAAUAGAGACAGAGAAGCAAACACAGGAUGUACGUGGUUCACCCAGAUUGGCUACGUCCACGGAGUAGAGGAGUUCUUAUUAGUAGUGAAGGGCUUACACAAGUACAAAGGAUCAAGCUCUCAAUUUAGUGAGUUCUUGUGAAUGAUUUAACACAAAAUGGCAUUAGGCAAUAUUGUGGGGGAAUGACCCCUAUUUAUAGAAAAACUUGUAGCUUUGUCACAUUGACAUGUGUCAUGUUAUGAUUGGUUCUUGAUGUUGACACGUGAUGCGCUCUGAUUGGCUUCUAAUCCUGACACGUGUCGAGUAGUGAUUGGCCUCCUGGUCGGAGGGGAACUCUUCUGGGUCCUUGACAGUAUAGCGUUGGCCGGUGCUCGGUAGUUUCGGGAUUGGUCAAGUAUGGUACAAACAAGUUGUACUUAGUACAUUUGAUGGGCAAUCAUAUUUUAGUUGGUUCCGUUGAGUGGUCCGGAAUCCUUUUUGGUGUCUUGGUUCCGUUGAGAGGUCCGGAACCCGAUGCUGAUGGAUUUCGUUGAGGGGUCCGAAAUUGCAUCAUUUGAUUCAUUUAAGACAGCUUCAGCAAUGUAGACUUAUGUCGAAUUGUGUCGCUCUAACCCGGCAUUCCGAUGAAUUGUAUGUGUUAUUGAUGAUAUGGUGAUUGGCAUUAUUGAUUGAUGUGAUAAUUGGAUGGUAAUGGAAUGCAUAUGUGAGGAUGAAUGACGUUAUGAGUAGAGAUUAUUAUUGUGCUUUGUUAAAUGUUCCUUAAGGUGCUACAUAAUUGAAUUGUGGUAUUAUGUUGAGACCUAGUGGUCUAUGUGACGAAUGUUCGAUAGUAGUGAAAUGUGAACUACGAAUGACUUGAUCCCUGUUGAGGGUACGUAGGUAGUCUAACGAGGAGGUUAGAUGCAGUCAUAAAAUACACAAAAAUUACAACGAAAUUCGAAUAUUGAAUUAUGCUUUGUAAAUAUUUCGGGCGGGAUAUGUGAGAUAUACGGGUUUUUAAUGACGUCACGUGCUGAUCUUGGACGUAUGUCGGGAUCAGGGCGUGACAAAAUGAGUUUUAUGAAAUGAAAUGGCAUGCCAAUUAUAUUUAUAUUAAGAAUGUGCAUAUGUGAUUAUAUAUGUUGUGAUUCGAUGCUAUGGGCGCUCAGGUAAGUUUCAAGUAAGUUUAUGUGUUGAGUUUAAGGUGUGGAAAAAUGAUGAUUGUUGAGAUGUGUUGAGAGCUCAUUAACCUGCACCCGGGUGUUAGUGCUCCUGCCCAUGGUUAGGGGCACAGUCUUUCACGUGAUGUUUACCUCCCGUAGCACACGCUCAUCUUGGAUCCAAGUUAGGUGCACAAUCCUGUUGUAUAGACCACUUUCAGUGGGUUCGACUCGUUGGUGACCUGCAAUCAUUCGCACAGUCUUCACGUGAUUGUAGCAUUAGAGCAUAUUUGUUUUACACCCAGUCAUGUCGUAUAGACCACUAUAGGUGGGUUCGACUCGUGUGCAGACAUGAUUUAUGAGAUAGAAUUCAGUUGAUUUGAUAUUCUCACAUGUUAUCACUCCUUGGGGUACUUACCUUGUUAUUUGAGAUGAUUGGCAUGGUAUAUUCACGUUUUGACUUUGGAUUUUGAUAUUGCUGGAUAUGUUGAGAUUACGAGUAUAUGUAUAUGCUAUUUGCUGGGAAAUUAUACAGGUUUUACAGAGAGGGGUUAUACUUUUGAGAAAUGAAAUGAUUUUGAAAAGUUUUGUUUUUUGCCCACUCACGCGUUUUGUUUUGCGCCCCUCUAGGUUUUAGGUAGCGUUGUUGGUGGCUUACGAGUUUUCAGCGGAGGUUCUGACAGACCAUCACUUAUGUAGAAUCACCUUUGGGUGUUGUUAUUUAGUACUUUUAUGCUUGACUGCACUUAGGCUAGUUAAGCUCUGAUUGUGUAUUCACACUUAAUUUCCACUCUUGCAUCUUAGUCUUGUCUAGUACUAUCAGGAUUUGGUUUCUAUUCAAUUGUAUUUCUCUAUAUUAAUCUUGCUUCCGCACUGUGCAUAUGGCUACGUCACCCUCACGUGACGGUUAGCAUGUCUCGAUCUUGGUCGGGGUGUGUCAUCAAGUCACCUUUUAACUUCUAUUAUGUUGAUUUUUGUCUGUAGGUACACAAAAAUAUGCAGAUUUGGCUUUCAAAUUGAGAGGCCUAAGGACAAUCUCUGUUCAUAGAAAAAAAAGUUGGACAUAGAAGGCAUGGGUAUGGGAACAUGAUUGGUUGUUAUAUUGCUUUGGGACGUUUUGAUAUUUUAGAGAUUAAUGAGUUUGUGGAGAUUUUGUUUUUCACAUCUUGCUUUGUAUUUGAACUUAAGCACUAUAACUGAACUUACUUUAAAAUUAUAGGACUUCAAAACGCGACCGCGGUUAGGAUUAGAAAGGGCCAAGUAUAUAUGUUGAGAAACUAGGCAUUGCAAGCAUAUAAAUUCCAAUUUUAUUAUUGCUAAACCAUAUAUCAAAUGUAGUUAGGAAUUAAAUUAAGUACAAACUACAUGGGGAUGGAGAAAGUUAUGUAUAGGUGAGAGCCUAAAAAUACUUGAGAAUCAAAUACUGCACAAAUUUGUGAUAAGUUAGAUGAGUAAAGAUCGCCUUUUGUCAAGCAGUUUUUGACUUUUCUGCAUUCUUUUAUAUAGUUUUUUCUUUUUUUCUUCCUAUUUUGUCAGAUUAGAUAGAUAGGGGCGCUAAUAAAAAAAAAGAAAGAAAGUAUUUUUGCAUUUUGCUGCACGUGAUGAUGUUGAUGAUAUACAAUAUUCAAUGACUAAACCCUAUUCCCUAUACUAUAGCAAAAAAUGAAGCAUAAUUAUACAAUAGCUACACACAAAACAUUGAAAGUAUACAUGCGUGCAGUAAGAAUGAAUGGUAAAAAUGCCAUGUUCCUUUUAACAUUGCGAAUUACCGAGCUUUAUGGAGGGAGUAUAAAUACGAAUGCUCUUGGUGGUCUUCAUCUAAUUUCUUAUUAGUAUCAUCUCGAUGUUUUGGAACUUUUGACAGCCCUCUCACCGAACAUAUAAUUUUUAGGGGCGCGCAGCGCUCGUAAUUAAAAAAACGCGCAUGCGGAGAGGCUGGUAUAUACUAAAGUCCUACGCCCAAAAAUGCUGUUCAUAAGAGCAGUGUAAAGACGCAAAUACCCCUCCUCAACUGAUCUUUUCCUUCCUAUAUUUCAUGAGGCUACAGUAAAAAGACGAAAAACCAUGUUGCACACGUGGCGUGCUAGCGAGAUUUCUCUCUUCCACCGCUUCCUUCCUCUGCAGUCUACACCUCUUGCGUUUUUGCCUUUCCUCUCCAGCUGUCGGCCAUCACAGAGUCUUAUGGCAUCUUCCCGUUCUUUUCGCUGUUUUUCCUUCGGUUGCUUUUCACUUCUUUUCCUCUAAUUUGACUUCGUUUGUUUUGUGUUAUGUGGUUUUUAUUGAUUUUCAAUGUGUAUUGAUUGAUACUAACAAUUACAAGAUGAAACUUAUAUAUAGGGAAAGAAAGAUGACAUAAGCCUAACUUGCCUAACUUGCCUAACUUACACAAAGAAAGUUGACUAGCCUAACUUCACUAGUCAUCCAAUACAAUUGUUCCAACAUGUUUAUUUCAUGCAUUUUAACACUCCCCCUCAAGUUGGAGUGUGGAUGUCAAUGAUACCCAACUUGCUAAGUAAGACCUCAAAUUGCGCCGAGCUUAGUGGUUUGGUGAACAAAUCUGCAGGUUGAUUCGAGGUUCGUAUGUAAGCUGUUUGCACCAUUCCCAUCUGAAUCUUCUCACGUACUAAGUGACAGUCGAUCUCUAUAUGCUUCGUUCGUUCAUGAAACACUGGGUUCGAAGCAAUGUGCAUGGCAUCUUGAUUAUCACAAAACAAUGUGACUGGUUGUGCAUGAUUCACUCGUAAGUCCUUCAAAAGGUUUCUUAGCCAUAUAACUUCACAACAGGUGAUAGCCAUAGAACGAUAUUCUGCCUCUGCACUAGAACGAGAUACUGUGCUUUGCUUCUUUGUUUUCCAAGAUAUCGGUGCUUGCCCAAGGAAGAUACAAUAACCGGUUAUUGACCUUCUAGUGUCUUUACACCGAGCCCAAUCAGCAUCACAAAAAGCUUGUAAUUGUAGUGAACCUGUAGAAGGCAAAAGAAUUCCCUGGCCAGGAGAUUGUUUGAUGUAUCUGAGAACCUUAUACACUGCAUCAAGGUGUGGUUGUCGCGGCUUGUCCAUGAAUUGGCUUAACAUAUUAACCACGUAAGUCAGGUCAGGCCUCAUGAUGGUUAAGUAAAUUAGCCUCCCUACGAGUCUCCUAUAUGAAGAAGGAUCAUGUAGGAGCGUCCCUUCAGUUUAUGUAAGGGACAAGUUUGGUUCCAUGGGCAAUCGUGAGGGCUUCGCACCAAGGAACCCAACAUCUUCUAGUAUCUCCAACGCAUAUUUGCGUUGGCACAAGGCAAUCCCUUGUUUAGAUCUUGCAACUUCUAUCCCCAAAAAAUAUUUGAUUUUUCCCAAAUCCUUUAGCUUAAAAUGUUGGGAAAUGAAGAGUUUAGUCUCUUCAAUUUCUCUCAAAUUGUUACCUGCAAGUAUUACGUCAUCAACAUACACAAGUAAUGCCAUGAAACUGCCUUGAUUGAUGAAAACCAGCAGUCUUGAGAGCACUAGACAGCUUAAUAAACCACUGUCUUGAGGCCUGUUUUAAACCAUAAAUGGAUUUGUGUAAUUUGCAUAGUUGUGUCUCCCCCUUUCGUCCGAACCCAGGAGGUAUAUAAACCUCAUCGUAUAAGUCACCAUGCAAAAAUGCGUUGUUUACAUCAAGUUGGUGAAGAUGCCAACCACAGAUGAAGGCAAUACUGAGGAGGACAUGGACGGUGGUGAGCUUGGCAACUGGAGCAAAUGUUUCCCGAUAAUCAAGCCCUUCAAUUUGACUAUAGCCUUUAGCAACGAGACGGGCUUUGUAGCGUUCAACACUGCCGUCAAGUUUAAGCUUCACCUUAUAGAUCCAUUUGCAGCCUAUGGGAUGUUUGUGAGGUGGUAAGGGCACAAGAGUCCAAGUGCGAUUGUCAUGGAGGGCAUCAAUCUCUUUUUGCAUGGCGUCACGCCAUUUUGGAUCCUGAACAGCCUGCGAAAAACUGGUGGGUUCUUUGAUAAUGGUGAGGGUGGUGAGAAAGGUUUUGUGAGGGGGGAUACAUGGUCAUAGGAUAAAUAACGAGAUAGGGAGUGAGAUGUACCUGAGGACUGAACCAUGCUUGUGGAAGAUGUGGGUGCAACACGGGAUGGGAGGGCCACCUCAACAUGAAAGUCUUGCAAAAAUAUGGAAGUUUUGGUUGGUCGAGUGCUAGGACGGAGUGCAGGGGUUGGAUCUGGUGAUGGAGUGGUUGGAGGUGGGGAAGAGUGUAGGGUAGGUGAAGGUGUUGAUAAGGUAUCUGGUGGUGGAGUUGUAGAGGGUAAAGGAGAUGAGGGUGGUGUGAUGUCGGCAAGUGUGGGAGAUGUGGUGUUUAUGUCUGCUGGUGCAAGGCUUGAAUGCGACUCAAUGGGAGAGGUCGAGUCAAACGGGAUAGGUGUAGUGUUUGAUGGAGACGGGGCAACGGAAGUGUUACAAUGUUGGAAUGGAAAAUGAUCUUCAAAAAAUACGACAUCCCUAGAAACAAAAGUCUUAUUGUGUUUUAUAUCAAACAAUUUAUAACCCUUUUGACCAUAAGGAUACCCAAGAAAAAUGCAUUGGAUUGCACGAGGGUCAAAUUUAGAGGGCCUUUGGGCAUGUGUAGAAGCAAAACACAAGCUACCGAAAACCUUCAAAUGAGAAUAGUUAGGUGCUUUGUGAAACAGUUUUUCGUAUGGUGUUUUACCUUGGAGAAGUGGAGUGGGUGUUCUAUUGAUGAGGUAGGCUGAGGUUAGGAUUGCAUCUCCCCAAAAACAUUUUGGCAGACAAGCUUGAAAGAGCAAAGCCCGAGCAACAUUGAGCAAGUGCCGGUGUUUACGUUCGGCAACACCAUUUUGUUGUGGUGUGUUGACUCAACUAGAUUGAUGUAUGAUGCCUUUGAGAGCAUAAAAUUGCUCAAGUUUAAACUCAGGGCCAUUGUCACUUCGUAUGAUUUGAACUCUGGUAUUGAAUUGAGUCUCAAUCAUUUGAAUGAAUUUGACUAAAAUGUCUUUUGUGUCAGAUUUAUGUUUCAUCAAAUGAACCCAAGUGCUUCUAGUGUAGUCAUCUACGAUGGUAAGGAAAUACUUGGCACCUGAAAUAGAAGCAACUUGAUAACCACCCUAAAUAUCAAUAUGCAAUAAUUCAAAACAUGAUUUGGUAGAAAUAGAGCUCAAAGGAAAGGGUGAUCGUGUUUGUUUGGCCAAUGGGCAAAUUGAACAUUUUUCCAAAUCACAAGCUUUAUUGUUAAAGAAAGGUAAUAACGAAGUGGCUUUAUGAGAUGGGUGUCCUAGGCGUUGGUGCCAAAGCUUUGGUGCGAUGGUUUGAAUAUUGUUGCAUGUUCUUUUCCUUGAUGAGUCGAGGUAGUAGAGUCCAUCCCUUUCAGUUCCCAUCCCAAUCAUCUUCCCCGAGCGAAGGUUCUGAAUGACACAAAAUUGGGUGAAGAAAAUUGUGACAUAUAAGGAAUCAUAGGCUAGUUUACUGAUGGAUAUUAAAUUUAAUUUAAAGAAUGGCACACAUAGGACAUUGUCAAGGAUAAGAUUAUGAGAGAAAACAACUUGUCCAAUGUGAGUGACUUUGGCAACGGAACCAUUUGGCAGUUCAACUGUAUGAUUUUCAACAGCUCGUGAGUGUGUAAAGAGACUAGGGUUGAAAGUUCUUCAUGACUAGAAGGAUUACCGACUUGAUUGGCAAAUGAUGAUUUGUUCUUGUUCAACAUUUGAAGGAUUUGCUUGCAAUCCUCCUGAGAGAACGGGAAAUUGGGCAACAUCUCUUGCUUGUUACUUUGUGAAACUUGAUUCCCUUUUGAAGAAAAAGGACGACUGCUUUCCGUUUCUGUGGCUGCUUUUCGUUUUCGACAGAAAUCGAAGGUGUGACCUUUCCAUCCACAAAAAGUGCACUUGAGAUGUGCACGACAGUUUUUGGUGAUGUGAUUUGUUCUAUUGCACUUUCCACAUCGCAUCUCUUUGUCUUCCGGUGUAGGUUCUUGCGACAAAUUCUUCACUCCAAAGACAACAGCCUCUGGUUGUGUACUCUUCCCAUUGGAAACCUCUGCCUGGCGUUCAUGUCGAAGGACCAACGCAUAUGCCUUGUUCACCGUAGGCUGUGGUUCAAGAAGAAGGGUAUUGCUUCGAACCGUAGCAUACGAUUCGUUCAAUCCCAUAAGGAACUUCAUGGUUUUCUGAGUUUCAACAUAUGAGUUCAUCUCAUUCUUUGUUCCACAACUGCAUGCUGGAAUGGAACACAAAGUAUCACGUUCAUCCCAUAAACUUUUAAGUUUAGUGCAGUAAGAACUUACACUCAUAUUGCUUUAGACGCAAUCAUGGAUCUCGUUCUUAACAUGGAACAGCUGAACUAUAUUCACAUGUGAGAACCUCUCCUGCAGAUCGGUCCACAUUUGUCGAGCAUCCUUGUAGUUGAUGACACUCCUUGAAAUCUCCUUUGACAUGGAGCCUAGUAGCCAUGUCUUGACCAAGUUGUUGCAGCGAUUCCAUUGUUGCAACUCCUCAGAAUUGUCCUCACUUGGUUUGUUGAUUGUCCCAUCAACAAAACCAAGUUUGUUCUUGACCGUUAAGGCCAUACUCAUGGAUUGAACCCAUGUGCUGUAGUUGUCUUCCACCAAUGGUUGUGGUACGAGGAUUGCACCAGGUUGGUCCGAGUGGUGGAGAUAGAGUGGGUGGUUGGGAUUUUCCCAUUUUGAAUGAGAAGCCAUGCCUGGAAUGGUUGACCUCAUGACUGCCUUAGAGCUUGUGUUUUGUGGUUUUCCCAGAUCACAGCUCUGAUACCAUAUUGAUUUUCAAUGUGUAUUGAUUGAUACUAACAAUUACAAGAUGAAACUUAUAUAUAGGGAAAGAAAGAGGACAUAAGCCUAACUUGCCUAACUUGCCUAACUUACACAAAGAAAGUUGACUAGCCUAACUUCACUAGUCAUCCAAUACAAUUGUUCCAAUACAAUUGUUCCAACAUGUUUAUUUCAUGCAUUUUAACAGUUUUGGUUUCGUUUGCUCUCUUUCCCUUCUUCUCUGUUGGUUUCUGUUGCUUCUCCAUCAGUUCACCCAAACCACCGCUUGCUUCUCCACCAGUUCACCCAAAUCCGACGAAGGGCGCCACAACAAACGUGCCAAUCUUCCUGCACCACCGGUCUCCGCAACGUUUUCCAAAACCCGCUUGACCGAAGGUAAGCGAAUUUGGUGUUCUGGAUUAUAUCGGAAUUGAAAUAGGUUUGGUUUCAUUAACUUUUUGGGUUAAUAAAUUUGUAUGCUCUGAUUCUUUUGAAUUUGAGUUUGGAUUGGAAUUUAAUUUUGAUUUACAAAUCUCUGAUAAAACCUCAACAAGAAACUUAAACCCUCAGCAAGAAACUUAAACCCAAUGCAUCAUCCUAUUAAUUCCAACAUCUCCUCAAUAAGUAUUCUAAGAUAUAAAUAUUACAAUUCUGGUGAUCAUAGAAAAAUGCAUAUUUGAGUGAUCAUGGAACACUGUUAGUAGCUACACAUAUCAUAAUAAUUUAGGAUAUGGACGUUAAAUUAUCUUAAACUGCAGAAUGUGGCUUUUACAUUGUUAUAUGGAAUUUCCCCUAGGAAGAAAUAGCAUUGAACUUAUAGGAUGGAUACAUAAAUAGCCUAUGUACGCAUUACAAAAUGAUUUAGUUGUUUGGGAUUAAACAAAGUUUGGUUUUUCAUGGUGAGUUCUCAACUGGGUUUUACUUAUUUUUUUGCCUCCGAUAUAAGUUUUAGAUGCUUUUCUUUGUUUUUCGCUAAUUUUUAAAUUUAUUUUUUUUACUAUUUAGUGUGAGAAAAUGGCUUCAAAAUUGGAUUUCCAAUGUCUGGGCAGAGGAAAACAGGAAGAGAACACCAAUGGUGGUUACGAAGGAGAAUCCCUUCUUUGCGGUGGAAAUUGACGGUCCAUGUGCAACAUUCAACCCAGUUUAUAAGAGCAGGGGUCAAUAUGAAGAACCAAUGACAUGGGGUUUUGUUUAAUUUUAUUAAGUUUUGUACUGAGGUAAAAUUCUCCCCAUUUAACAUAGUUUUAAAUGUUGAUUAGUAUAUGUGUAAAUAGGAUUGUGAGUAUGGUUGUAUAUGUAGUAGUAGAAUUGAAAACAUUGUUGUAAUUAUGUGUAAGUAGAGUUGUAAACCCGACGCAUCGCGCGGGCCUUUUUGCUUGUUACCCCUAAACGUUACAAAAAUCCCAAAAAUUAAAAGGAAACUAAAAAAAAUUAGAAUUUACCCAUAGUUUCGCGAAUCCCAGCCGGAUGAACUGGUGGCAGUUGUAAGAGCGGAUCUCCAGCUCCGAACCUCUUCUAUUUCAGCGUUAGAAUCAUGGUCGUGCUGAUCAAAAGCUUUCGCGAAACUUCCCUUUAGUUUACGACAUCAGACGGAUCAACUUCAUAGAAAAUGGGGAGUACAAUCUGUUUAUUGGUAUCCUCGCAUUCCAGGAUUUGCACGAGUUCUUUCAAGCACCAAGUGGAAGAAGCAUAGUUUUGAGAGAAAACUACAAUCGAAAUCCUUGACUCUCGAAUGGCUGACAGGAGCUUGGAAAGGCGGUCGCCUUUUCUGAGGUCUUCGGCAUCAAUGAAGGCGUUGAUUGGUUUCUGACGCAGGGCUUUGUAGAGAUGGCUGACGAAGCCCCUGCGAGUGUCUUCCCCUCUGAAAUUGAUGAACACAUCGUAUUUCCAACCAAGGCCAGAAGAAGAAGAAGAAGCAGCCAUUAAUCGAUCGAGCAGCUAAGUCCUAGAGUAAUGUAAGAACAGAAAUACUCGAUUGAUCAAUAAAUUGAAUCACAGAAAAAACUGGUCUGAUCGAUACGAAGUCAACGAGGACAGAAAAUUAUGCUUUAUGUGUUUUCACAUCUUCUUCCGGGAAAUUUAACGAAAAUAAUUUUCUUGCCGGCAAAAUUGACUUCAAAAUAUAAAAAUAUUCUUCCAGGUAUGGACAUAUGAAGUUUCAGUGUGAAACGAAUCUGCAUACUUUGGUUUGGUUUUGACCCAAGAAAAUGCUAAGAAAGGAUGGUUUAGCAGCUUUGCAUGAGGGGACUGGGUCAAAGUACUCUGUUGAAUCUGCCCUUGCCUACCCAACAACUUCUUUGUAAGUCGGAAAUAAAUCCCGAUCUUCCUAUUCACACGAAAAAUGAGUGGGGUGACAGGAAAUAUUUCUUGUUAAAUGUAAGCAUCUCACACAUGUGGUAUAUUCAAAGGUAUUGAGGCGACAAACGAGCGAUUAAUAGUUUGGCUUUUAAUUUGAUGUCACGGUAGUAACGGUACUUACUAUGAAAUCUUUGAUAUAUUUGCUUUUAGCUACAAAACAACUAAAACUCCACAAAUUGCUUAUGAAAAUAAAAAAUAUUGACAAGAUUUGAACUUGUAUUAUCUACAUCUUCACUACACAUUGUUGCUCCGCUCGUGUUCUGAAGUUGACAAUAGCUAGAAGGUCACAGCAAGAAGCAGAGGAGGCUAACUGUUACAGAAAAUUUGUUUAUUCAAAGCAUUAAUAAAAACACAUUGAAAUUAAUUCACGCAAAAAAUAAAUAAUACAGUGAAGGAUUUACAGUGGUGGCAGCCACACUUCAAAAAUAGGGCGUCUCACCCUGUGGAGAAAGCAUUUUUUGCUAUGAAUAAAAAUUCCACUGCGUAACAAAACAGGAGAUUAAUGAUUGAGUGAUAGCUGAGUUGUUUGCAAUGAGAGAGAUGUUUUUACUUUUAUUGAUAAGGAGUCUACAUAUGCGAUGUUCUCAUAGUAUAAAACUUCGCCGACAACAAUUAUAACUUGUUUGUGUUGAUAAAUUUUGAAUGACAUUAAUAUUGUCUAAUAUCUAAAAGAAUUUGGAUGGCUACAUUUUUUUUUUUUGGAAAACCUUUUAACCUUAUAAAUUGCGGGCUUCUUCCGACAAUUCCUAACUUCGUCACUGCUUCAGUCAACUCGAAGUCCUAGUGGUUCUUGUCCAUGAUAUCAAUAUCCCUACAAUAAACGGUGACUUCAAUAUGAGCUACACUCAGUCUAACAAAAAGUUUGUAUAGAGAAGAUAUGCAUGAAAAAAUGGCAAUGGUUGUGUUUGUGUUGCUGAACGAAUGAUACUGAAAUACCUAAACCCAAGUCAAGCUCCUUUAGUCCACGAAAACAAAAGUUUAGAAUACAAUAAUGUUUGCAUAUAGACUAGAGAAACGACAUACCGCAGGCCAGGAAGGUGCAGUGAAAGAGAGAGGAAGAGAGGAAAAGAGGAAAGAAACAAACAUGAAAUGACAAAGACUAUCAAAUAGAUUAUAACAAUGACUUCUUAGCGAUGGUUACAACUAUUUAACUAUCGAUAAUGCAUUAUUUUAGUUUGAAACGUGGAAGCAUUUGAGAAGUAGCAUGUCAACAACCAUUACACAAUAAUAUUGUCUAAUAUCUAAAAGAAUUUGGAAGUCUACAUUUUUUGGAACCUUUUACCCUUAUAAAUUUUGCGCCUCUCCUGACAAUUUCUAGUUUCGUCGUUGCUUCAGUCAACUCCAAGUUCUAGUGGUUCUUGUCUAUGAUAUCAAUAGCCCCACCGUAAAUGGUGACUUCAGUAUAAGCUACACUUAGUAUAAGUGUAUGGGGGACAUAUAUGUAUGAAAAAAUGGCAGUGGUUGUAUCUGUGUUGACUAACGGAUGGUACUGGAAUACCUAAACCCAAGUCAAGCUCCUUCAGUCCACAAAAAUCAAAAGUUUAUAAUAUAAUAAUGUUUGCAUAUAGACUUGAGAAAAGACAUACCGCCAGCCGGGAAGGUGCAAUGAACAAGAGAGGAAAAGAGGAAAUAAACGAACAAGAAAGGACAAAGACUAUCCAAUAGAUUAUAACAAUGACUUCUUAGUAGUGAAGUGAUUAAGCUAUUCCACUAUUAAUAAUGCAUUAUUCUUAGAUUGAAAUGGUUCAGAAAUUUAAAAGCCAGAAUUGACUUAUAUAAAAUCAAUUUUUAAUUGGGUAGAUGUAAUUUGUAAAACAAAAAUGUUUAUAAAAAAAAAUUUCUCUUGAAAAUGUAUUCUGGUGCCAGGAUUUAAACCUGGAUGAAAACUCUUAACCGUAAGACUUUUUGUAGUGAGCAACACUGGACUAGUUGAUAGACUAUGAUGAAAUAAACCAUUUAAAUGUACUCCUUACGUUAUGCAGUGCGCAUACUGGAUAAACAAUUAGUGCACAUAAUGUGGUUAUCUGAUUUGUGGGGAAUGGUGAUGCUCACCGCUGACUUUUGGUUUACUGACAGGCUCUCAAAGUUAAAUAUAUCAGAUUUUGUUUGACAUUCGUAACAUAUUUUAAUAUUUUCACCACAACAACAACAACAACAACAAAGUCUUUUCCCACUAAGUGGGGUCGGCUAUAUGAAUCCUAGAACGCCAUUGCGCUCGGUUUUGUGUCAUGUCCUCUGUUAGAUCCAAGUACUCUAAGUCUUUUCUUAGAGUCUCUUCUAAAGUUUUCCUAGGUCUUCCUCUACUCCUUCGGCCUUGAACCUCUGUCUCGUAGUCACAUCUUCGAACCGGAGCGUCAAUAGGCCUUCUUUGCACAUGUCCAAAUCACCGGAACCGAUUUUCUCUCAUCUUUCCUUCAAUUUCGGCUACUCCUACUUUACCUCGGAUAUCCUCAUUCCCAAUCUUAUCCUUUCUCGUGUGCCCACACAUCCCACGAAGCAUCCUCAUCUCCACUACACCCAUUUUGUGUACGUGUUGAUGUUUCACCGCCCAACAUUCUGUGCCAUACAACAUCGCUGGCCUUAUUGUCGUCCUAUAAAAUUUUCCCUUGAGCUUCAGUGGCUUACGACGGUCACACAACACGCCGGAUGCACUCUUACACUUCAUCCAUCCAGCUUGUAUUCUAUGGUUGAGAUCUCCAUCUAAUUCUCCGUUCUCUUGCAAGAUAGAUCCUAGGUAGCGAAAACGGUCGCUUUUUGUGAUCUUCGCUAGAUUACUCCGGUCAUUAGCGUGGAUAAGUAUAUAAAUGGAUAGAGAUAGGAAAGCAAACACAAGAUGUACGUGGUUCACCCAGAUUGGCUACAUCCACGGAAUAGAGGAGUUCUCAUUAAUUGUGAAGGGUUUACACAAGUACAUAGGUUCAAGCUCUCCUUUAGUGAGUACAAGUGAAUGAUUUAGUACAAAUGACAUUAUGAAAUAUUGUGGGAGAAUGAUCUCGUAAUCAUGAAACUUCUAAGUAUCGGAGUGUGGUAUCGUCUUGACUUGCCUUAUCUGUCUCAUAGGUAGAUGUGGCAUCUUCUCUGGAAGUACUCUUCCUCCAUCCAUGGGUGGUAUCUUUAACUGGUGGAGAUGCAUAAGGUAAUGUAUCAAUUUCACUUGAAGCUUACUUGUAGUUUCAGGCUUGGUCAAGCGCGAUACAAACCAUGUAGUAGGAGUCCCCCAAGUCGCCGAGCUAGGGGAUUUGCUGAAAGAGGUGACAGACAAGGUAAGCAAUCAGAGCUCCGGCUGAUUGUUCACAUUCUCCCUAUCUUGCAGGCAGCAUGAAGGAUAAAGAGAAGAAAAAAUGAGAAGAGAUGAUAUGGGAUACUUUUGCUUUUGAAGAAGUAACUUUCCACAGGCUUAUUCUUGAACUGAAGCUGGAGGGUUUUCUGGUUUCCUCCAGAGUAUAAGGCCGACUGAAGAAUUUGAGGGUCAAAACAAGUCCAUCAAAUCUAGAGUACGUUCGACCCUGCUGAUAUGGGAUACUUUUGCUUUUGACAGAGUAAUGGAUGUAUCGGCACGUGUGCUGUUACGCUUGUCUCUCCACAUGCUUCCUUGUAUCCUUCUCACUUGCCCUAUCUGUUCCUCAAGGCAAGAUGCGGUAUCUUCCCUGGAAGCAUAAGAUGUUGAAGAUGAGUACUCGAGAGCAAUGCCAGGUAAGUAAUCAGGUAAGGGGUUCCAGGCAGUCAGUUCCUAGCUGGAAGCUUGAUUCCAAGUGCUGACUGAUUGCUCUCUUUCUCCUUGUCUUGCAGGUAAAGAACAAGGCCAAAGGAAAAGACAGGGAAAAAGCAUGAUAUGGGAUAUACUCUUGCUUUUUAACCCUGAUGAUAUGAGAUAUUCUUGCUCUAGUAUAGCUUGUUUGUAGAGGUAUUAUCGGGGGGAAAGAAAGCUGAAUAUUUCGAAAGGCUUCGUUGGGAGUGCCCUCUCAGAUAUGAGAAAGGGUUGAGCAUUUUUGCAGGUCUGCCUGUCCGUUGGGGAUGGAGGUCGACAUAUAUAGGAGUCUCCCUAAUAACAAGUAGUAAUGUUAUUCCUUUACCCUGCUUGGUCAUAGCACGAUAGUUGGAGCUGCCAGCUUCACAUGUUUUAACUCUGUCAGAGCACUUUGAAAAAGUGGUCUGUGGUAUCUGGAAAGCUGAUGUUGCGUGUGAAGAUUACAGACAAGCUUUACCCAAGGAGAUUUGGUUCUUGAAGUUGGGAAAAUGGUGCCUUUUCGGUUUUCGAACAAGCAAUCCUAUCGGGGAUCUGGCUCUCGAGAUUUGGAGAACGAUGCCUCUUCGAUUUUUGAGAAAGCAAUCAUGCUGGGGGUCUAGCUCUCGAGAUUCGGAGAGCGGUGUCUCUUCGAUUUUUGAGAAAGUAAUCAUGUUGGGAGUCUGGCUCUCGAGAUUCGGAGGACGGUGCCUCUUCGAUUUUGGAGCAAGCAAUCUUGUUGAGAAUGUUUUCUCGAAUGUGAGUAAAGGUUGGGCAUGUUUGCUAGUCUACCUUGCCACGAAGCACAGAGGUUGACACACAGGGACUUUCCAAUUAUCCAGCAAUGGUACUGUUCCUUUACCCUCUUUUCGAUUUUUGAGAAAGUAGGCAUGUUGGGAGUCUGGCUCUCGAGAUUCGGAGGACGGUGCCUCUUCGAUUUUGGAGCAAGCAAUCUUGUAAUCUUGUUGGGAGUGUUUUCUCGAAUGUGAGUAAAGGUUGGGCAUGUUUGCUAGUCUACCUUGCCACGAAGCACAGAGGUUGACACACAGGGACUUUCCAAUUAUCCAGCAGUGGUACUGUUCCUUUACCCUCGUGGGUAAUAAUAUGGUAGCUAGACCUUCAAAAUUUAUGUGUCUAAACUUUGUUAGUGUUGUUUCUUUGCUAUUCUUUUACCCUUCUUGGUCAGAGCGAUGUAGUGGGAGCUGCAAGCUUCACGUGCUCAACUUUGGCAGAGAACUUUGGUAAAGUUAUCUGUGGUACCCAUGAGCUACUGUUGCGUGUGGGAAGUGGGUGAUUGAACAGUAAGAUUCAUGUGCCUUCUACUUCACCAGAAGUCUUCGACAUAAUGCCCAUAAUUUCCGCAAAGCUGAGUGUGCGUGUGACAGGUGCUGACAAGGCUGGAAAAGUAGGUGCCUCUUUGAUUUCUGAGAUCGACCCUCAUGGUCUCUGAGCAGCCCAGCUUUUGAGAAAGCAAGCGCCUCUUCGAUUUCUGAGAUCGGCCUUCGUGGUCUUUGAGCAACCCAGCUUUUGAGAAAGCAAACGCCUCUUCGGUUUCUGAGAUCAACCCUCGUGGUCUCUGAGAGUAAAGGUUGGGCAUGUUUGCUAGUCUACCUUGCCAUGAAGCACAUAGGUUGACACAUUCGGAGAGCGGUGUCUCUUCGAUUUUUGAGAAAGUAGUCAUGUUGGGAGUCUGGCUCUCGAGAUUCGGAGGACGGUGCCUCUUCGAUUUUGGAGCAAGCAAUCUUAUUGGGAGUGUUUUCUCAAAUGUGAGUAAAGGUUGGGCAUGUUUGCUAGUCUACCUUGCCACGAAGCACAGAGGUUGACACACAGGGACUUUCCAAUUAUCCAGCAGUGGUACUGUUCCUUUACCCUUAUGGGUAAUAAUAUGGUAGCUAGACCUUCAAAAUUUAUGUGUCUAAACUUUGUUAGUACUAUUUCUUUGCUAUUCUUUUACCCUUCUUGGUCAGAGCGAUGUAGUGGGAGCUGCAAGCUUCACGUGCUCAACUUUGGCAGAGAACUUUGGCAAAGUUAUCUGUGGUACCCAUGAGCUACUGUUGCGUGUGGGAAAUGGGUGAUUGAACAGUAAGAUUCAUGUGCUUUCUACUUCACCAGAAGUCUUCGACAGAAUGCCCAUAAUUUUCGCAAAGCUGAGUGUGCAUGUGACAGGUGCUGACAAGGUUGGAAAGGUAGGUGCCUCUUCGAUUUCUGAGAUCGGCCCUCGUGGUCUCUGAGCAGCCCAGCUUUUGAGAAAGCAAGCGCCUCUUCGAUUUCUGAGAUCAGCCUUCGUGGUCUUUGAGCAGCCCAGCUUUUGAAAAAGCAAACGCCUCUUCGAUUUCUGAGAUCAACCCUCGUGGUCUCUGAGCAGCCCAGCUUUUGAGAAAGCAAACGCCUCUUCGAUUUUUGAAGCUCCGUCGAGUGUAUAUUUUUAUAGGGGCUGGCAUUAAGUUCCAAAGCACACUUGAAUCUCCACCAGUAGAAGCUCCAUUCUUGUACUUCUAAGAUCUUGAUUUGUCCGACUUCUUCUCUCUUCAACACCUUUGAAAAUGUCUGGCCCCUCCGACCGUCGUUUUGACUUGAACCUUGUUGAAGAUGCAGCCCCGCCUUCUCAAGACAACAUAUGGCGCCCAUCCUUCGUCUCCCCUACUGGUCCUCUUACCGUUGGGGAUUCCGUGAUGAAGAAUGAUAUGACCGUUGCGGUGGUGGCCAGGAACCUUCUCACUCCCAAAGAUAACAGACUACUUUCCAAACGGUCUGAUGAGUUAGCUGUUAAGGAUUCUCUGGCUCUCAGUGUUCAGUAUGCAAGUUCUGUGUCUAAUAUGGCCCAACACCUAUUUGCUCGAACCCGUCAAGUUGAAUCAUUGGCGGCUGAAGUGAUGAGUCUCAAACAGGAGAUUAGAGGGCUCAAGCAUGAGAAUAAACAGUUGCACCGGCUCGCACAUGACUAUGCUACAAACAUGAAGAUGAAGCUUGACCAGAUGAAGGAAUCUGAUGGUCAGGUUUUACUUGAUCAUCAGAGAUUUGUGGGUUUGUUCCAAAGGCAUUUAUUGCCUUCGUCUUCUGGGGCUGUAUCGCGUAAUGAAGCUCUAAAUGAUCAACCUCUGAUGCCUCCUCCUUCUAGGGUUCUGUCCAGUACUGAGGCUCCGAAUGAUCCCCCUCCGGUGCCUUCUCUUUCUGGGGCUCUACCGACUGCUGAGACUUCUCCUAAGCAACCUUUGUGAAGGCUCCCUCUUGUUUGUUUAUUUUGACUCAUGUAUAUGUAUGUGUAGCUUAUCGGGGAUAUCAAUAAAUAAGCUUUCCUUCAUUUCAACAUAUUGUGUUAAAUACACCAAAGCCUUCUUCGCUAAGUUCUUUGAAUUUUCUUUUGUUGAAGCUUGUAUGUUGAAACUUUGUGAGUGGAUCAUGUAGGUUAAGGUAGUGUUCCCUUAUUUUCAUCAAUAUUGAUAUUUUAAACAAUGACAAUUCUUAGAAUACUGGAAUUCAUGUCAUUUUCAUAAACAAAUAAAUGGUUAAGAAAUGUAUAUAUUAGAAAAUUAAGAGCCAGAUUUAACUAAUAUUAAAUCGAUUUUAAAUCGGGUAGUAAAACAAAAUUAGGAAUCUGUGUCCUUUUCAUAAAUAAAUAAAUGGUUACAAAAUUUAUAUAUCAUAAAUUUAAAAGCCAGAAUUGACUUAUAUAAAAUCGAUUUUUAAUUGGGUAGAUGUAAUUUGUAAAACAAAAAUGUUUAAAAAACAAUUCUCUUAAAAAUGGUAUUCUGGUGCCAGGAUUCGAACCUGGAUGAAAACUCUUAACCGUAAGACUUUUUGUAGUGAGCAACAUCAGAUGAGUUGAUAGAUUAUGUAACGCCCCGCGCCCGAAAUAUUUAUUUUCAUAAAAUAAUUCCAAUGAUAAGCCUAAAUUAAAUUUUUUAUUUACAUUACAACCAAUAAUCACGAUUCCUUAUUUAAUUUUCUUAAUCCCUCACAAAAACUAUAACCCAUAAUUAACUUACCAAAACAUACGAUUAAAUUUUCAUAAUUUGUCACCAACUUCUACUCUUAAAACAACUUCCCAACUAAAGAUUAAAUCUCAAUUAUUAAGGCUACAUCUAACUCUUGUUAGACUGCCUACAUACCCUUUAGCGGGAUCAAGGCUUUCGUAGUUCAUAAAUCCGUUUAAAUCCAUUCUUAUAGCCGUUUCUGAAAAUAUUCUAGAAUUGGAAAUAUUCAACAUUAGCUUUCACAAUCGAAUCACAUCAAAUGAUUACCAAUUAUGGAUUUAAAUUGUCUAAAUUAGUAUUAAAAGGCAGCGUCGGCCCACUGGCCACGCGCCACCACGGGUGGCGAUCUCCAGUGAUCGGAAACCCCAAUUUCCGACAAACUCUACAAAUUACCAAAUUUUAUAGGGUUGUAGAGUUCAAUUAUAGGAACAACUUUCAUACUUGGGACGAAGUCCAAUUCGGCCAAGAAAAGCCCCAAUUUCACUCAAUUCCGUCUGAACCCUAGAAUUUGGGUGUCCUCAAUUAGUCAUCUCCCGUGCCCCGCCGCCCCAAACAAGGCUUGGUAGAUGUUCCUGGGUUCACAAGGAGUCUAACCAUGGUGGUAGUCAAUGGUGGUGGCUUCACAAACGGGAGAUCGCAGAAACGGACCCAUCGCACCCACCAAUGUAGGUUUCACUAAAUUAAAGCAUAUUUCCAUCGAAAUUGGGAUGGAAUUGGUGAAGGUAUCAAUUGGUAUCGAAGGGAGGGUUAUUUUUGGCACCGUUCCCAUCAUCAACGAUGGUCGGAAUAAAAAACAAUGGUCAGGUCGGGUCGGCGGGUUGAAGGAAGGUCUGGUUCCCUUCUCUCCUUUCCCUCCCUACCUCCCCCUCUGGUUGGUCCGUGUCUCUCGCCUUCUCUCCUUCCCUUUCCAUCACAGCCACACACGUGGCUUCUCAGAUCCUUGCUCCAGCAAAUCUGGAGCCUUUUAGAUAUUGGUCAAAUGACCAUUUUACUCCUAACUUCAAUUGUUAAUAACUUCUUCGUUAUAACUCCGUUUCAUGAACGGUUUUCGUCUACAUGUUCGUAGGGCCAUCCUUUAUCCAAAUAUAUCAAGAAAUCCGAUAAAAUAUAUGAGGAUAAAAUACAUCCUUGUAUAAUUACGUCAAACUAGUUAGGGCAUUUUCUUCUUUUCUACUUAACGAUAAAUUUUACUACGUAAAUUAUAAAAUUUCCGGAAACAAAACUUUAAAAGUUCACAAUUUUUUUUUCUUUCAUAACCAUAAAUUGAUUUAUUGUCGAUUUUUCUUCACAUAUUCAUAUAUUUAAAUUUUCAGGGUAUUACAGAUUAUGACAAAAUAAACCAUUUAAAUGUUCUCCUUACGUUAUGCAUUGCGCAUAUUGGAUAAACAAUUAGUGCACAUAAUGUGGUUAUCUGAUUUGUGGGGAAAGGUGAUGCUCACCGCUGACUUUUGGUUUAGAGACAGGCUCUCAAACUUAAAUAUAUCAGAUUUUGUUUGACAUUCGUAACAUAUUUUAAUAUUUUCACCGUUAUUGAUAUUUUAAACAAUGACAAUUCUUAGAAUACUGGAAUUCAUGUCCUUUUCAAUUUUCAUAAACAAAUAAAUGGUUAAGAAAUGUAUAUAUUAGAAAAUUAAGAGCUAGAAUUGACUAAUAUUAAAUCGAUUUUAAAUCGGGUAGUAAAACAAAAUUAGGAAUCCAUGUCCUUUUCAUAAAUAAAUAAAUGGUUAAGAAAUUUAUAUAUCAGAAAUUUAAAAACCAAAAUUGACUUAUAUAAAAUCGAUUUUUAAAUGGGUAGAUGUAAUUUGUAAAACAAUUUUUUUUUUAAAUAAUUCUCUUAUAAAUGGUAUUCCGGUGCCACGAUUCAAACCUGGAUGAAAACUCUUAACCGUAAAACUUUUUGUAUUGAGCAACACCGAACGAGUUGAUAGAUUAUGACGAAAUAAAAACAUAAUAAUUUCUUUCAAACUUAGUGAAUAACCUUCAGAAAAUAAAAACACCGAACGAGUUCAUAGAUUAUGACAAAUUAGUGGAUAAACACCUUCAGAAAAUAAAAACACCGAACGAGUUCAGCGGUGAGCAUCACCAUUCCCCACAAAUCAGAUAACCACAUUAUGCGCACAAAGAAUCAAUCAAAACAUAAUAAUUGAAUGAACGAGGAUUUCUUUCAUUUUUUCCAAAUUUUCUGAAGGUUUUUUCUAUAAGAACUUUUCUCUGACCAAUGCUUUCUAACAUUUCAUCAUUUUUUUUUAAAUUACACAAAUUCUUUGCAUACAUUGUUGUUAAAAAGAAAAUUUCUAUUAUUAAGGAGAGAGUUCGAAACUAUUGAAUUAUGGAAGAUGGACUUUUGAACUCGAGACACGGGUAGAAACCUAACACCUAUCCACUAGGACAUUAGAUCACCAGAGGUGGUCCUGGUUUUUUGGUGCCGACUGCCCAUGAACACUCAAAAUGUGCUUUUUUCCAGUACAACAUAAAUUAAACUGAAAGAUUUAAAAAGGGCUGGAGCCAGUCGAAGCUGUUGGGACAUUCUUCCAAAGAGGGAGAUGAAAUCGUUGAGGCUCUUACAGAUCCCACGUCACUGUCUUCAUUCAGCAGUUUUCCUCCAUCUACAUCAACAACUGCACGUUGCUCAAGAAGGUACUUCUAAAAAUUGAAAGUCAAACGAUAAAUUAUUAAGAAACAUUGAAUAUAAGCAUGAAACAAAGAAAAUGUUACGGAAUGGUGAUCCUCAUCCUCAAAGAUGAUUAAAAGCAAUUUGAUUCAAAAAUGACAUAUCAACUCUGGAGAAAUGGAAGACAAACAUGUGGUACCAUAUUCGCAACAGAGGUUAUGAAAGCUGAAAUCGAUUGUUCCUGUGUGCAUUGAUAAGUAAGACUACCGUAGAGAUUCACAACUAAGUAAAGACAGGUAUUCCACAGAACAACCCUGACCUCUUUGGAAACACAGAUCUAACAAAAACUAAAACAUUUUGGAUUAAUAUUGACUAAUCAAGAAUAAUGCAAGGGAGCAAAAGAGAUACUCUUCCUUCUAAUAACAAGAAGGCAUAAAAAGUAUACAGAGUUCCAACAAUUAGAGAACUUAAAUCAAACUAAAAAAAUCACCAAAGUAGACAGAAUUUCACUUCGCCAAAAAUUUGAAAAUAUAUCCUUUUUAUCCACUGAGAAUCAUAAACUACUACUACUACAUCAUGCCAAUAAGCAAUGCGUAAGAGGUGCUACAAUUUACCAAUAUAUUUACCCUGAGAACAAGUUUUGAAAUCAUCUCUAGUGUUAACAGCACCUUGCGUCCUUGGGUAAGCUGAGUCCUAGUAUCAAGUAAAGAGACCAAUCAGUACAUAUCCAAAAGAUCUUAAAUGCUUGUAAUACCAAAUAAGAAAGAAACAUGAGUAUAUCUUGAGUUAACCAUGCAAAAAUGUAAUGUUAAGGCAUCUUGUCAUACAGACCUCUUCAAGGUACCAGAAAUUUUUGCACUAAAGAUGUCACAAGCGGCUGAUAUGAAGCUGCAUUUUCUGUGAGUUGAGAUUUUGUCAAUAUAAUCGAUCACCUGAAGAGAGAGAGAGAGAGAGAGAGAGAGAGAGAGAGAAAGACAGUGAUAUCCAGAGAUGUGAGCCUAAAGGCUGAGUGUGUAAAAAAUAAGAUUAAAUGGAUAGCAAGAAUAUACAACUUUAAUGCCGAAAAGAACAUUAUAUGAUGCUCAUUCAUCAUUGCCAUUGAACGUGUACCUUCUUCUUUUCCUCUUUCUCAAAAGGAAGUAGACCCUUGAAGACUUGCCUAUAUGAUCCAUCAUCACAACCAGGCAAAGUCAUUUUAAUCAUAGCAACAAUGGCUCUAACUACCUGCCAUAAGAAACAUGCUACAUCAACAAGAUCACAGAGUGUACCAGAAACCGUAAUGUAGCAAAAUCUUAGAUAGAAUAGCUGGCCAAAAGGGAAUGGAAAAGCAAGCACAAAAAACAAUGAAAAGGACCAGUGAUGCCAAAAUUCAGGUGUUUAUAACUUUAAGUUCUACGUAGCAAAAACCACCUUAUGCACAACAAUAUUGGAAAAAUUAGAUACAUACAACUGAGAAGAUAGGUUUUCAUAAUCUGGACAAGUGCUAACUACCUUCUUCCUAUAAACUGCCACUCCAUGAACAUUAAAUGGUAUUUUCGUUUCACGCAAGGCUGUCUGGAAGACUUUUCCUGAUACCUGUAGUAUAAAAUACAAAAGAAAAUGUGACCAAAAUGUCUUAUAUGAUUCACCUCAUUCACAUUAGCACUAGGGCAAGCAAGCUUGACCUGCCUCCGGUAAAGGAUUGCUAUAUUUCCAUAGGAGCACCCUGCUUCUGACAGUUAGAUGCAGUCUCCAGGAUCUUGUCGACAACAAAGGCGCAUUAUGCAUCCUCAUUGUGACUUUCCUUGAUAAUUACCUACAUUUUGCCAGUAAAACCAGUGUCACUAACUAAAAAGACUGAAAAAUGACAUCAAAUUGUACUUGUUGGAGCAAGGAAAGAUUAGGUACAUUAGACCCAGAAGAAUUGUCGGUGUCAACAUUCUUUAGUUGGCAUCACUUCUUAUUGUUUUUUAUAACAGAAGAUGCAGCUUCCACAAUAUAGCGUGUGGACCGAUAGUUUUUAUUAAGCCUAAUCUGAACCAUAAAGUUAUGUCAAAUCCCACAGAACCCCAUAAAAUAAAACUUACUUUCCUGUAAUUAUACAAUAUAUUUGUUCUAUACUAUAUAUAAUGAAAAAAGACACUGAAUGACAUAAGAUAAACAUAGCAGUUAAGUGCGAAGGAACCUCUUUGUAAUUUGAAAAAUCUUUACAAAAAGAAUCAAAUCCAGAACUGUCCGCCCCGUUGAAACUGAAAAUGGACUGCAGCAGGAUAUAUGUUAUUUGAUUUAGAACAGAUAAGGGCUGGAUUAGAAUGAGCUGAGAGAGAGAGAGAGGGAGAGAGGGAGCAAUAAGAUUGGAUUUCCAUAAUAAAUCAACAACAUGCCUGAUCAUCAUCACCAACAAUGGUUAUGUGGUUAUGAGAGGCGAGAAUCCGCAAAAGACUAUACUGCAUAGCACUUGUGUCUUGAAACUCGUCUAUUACAAUAGCUUUCCAUGACUCCUGGCACUCCUCCGACACUAAUUAAGAGAACACCAUGUAUCAACAUUUAGCAUUACUUGUAAAACUAGAUAAAUCAAUUUAAUAUACUUAGAUGAUAGAGACCUUCAGGAAAAUCACUUAGCAGCUAAUUAAGUCAUGGUAGUCCAAAGCGUUGCACGAUUCCUAAGAAUUUCACCCUGAUUCAGAUUGAGAUCUAAAACUCAUAAGCAAUAGUUUCAGAGAACUGAAAUGAUAACUGAAAUUCUAGAACUGAAAUGAUAACUGAACAACAACAAAAACAACAACAAAGCCUUUUCCCACUAAGUGGGGUCGGCUAUAUGAAUCCUAGAACGCCAUUGCGCUCGGUUUUGUGUCAUGUCCUCCGUUAGAUCCAAGUACUCUAAGUCUUUUCUUAGAGUCUCUUCCAAAGUUUUCCUAGGUCUUCCUCUACCCCUUCGGCCUUGAACCUCUGUCCCGUAGUCACAUCUUCGAACCGGAGCGUCAGUAGGCCUUCUUUGCACAUGUCCAAAUCACCGGAACCGAUUUUCUCUCAUCUUUCCUUCAAUUUCGGCUACUACUACUUUACCUCGGAUAUCCUCAUUCCCAAUCUUAUCCUUUCUCGUGUGCCCACACAUCCCACGAAGCAUCCUCAUCUCCGCUACACCCAUUUUGUGUACGUGUUGAUGCUUCACCGCCCAACAUUCUGUGCCAUACAACAUCGCUGGCCUUAUUGCCGUCCUAUAAAAUUUUCCCUUGAGCUUCAGUGGCCUACGACGGUCACACAACACGCCGGAUGCACUCUUACACUUCAUCCAUCCAGCUUGUACUCUAUGGUUGAGAUCUCCAUUUAAUUCUCCGUUCUCUUGCAAGAUAGAUCCUAGGUAGCGGAAACGGUCGCUUUUUGUGAUCUUCGCUAGAUUGCUCCGGUCAUUAGUGUGGAAUGGAUAGUGAUAGGAAAGCAAACACAAGAUGUACGUGGUUCACCCAGAUUGGCUACGUCCACGGAAUAGAGUUCUCAUUAAUUGUGGAGGGUUUACACAAGUACAUAGGUUCAAGCUCUCCUUUAGUGAGUACAAGUGAAUAAUUUAGUACAAAUGACAUUAGGAAAUAUUGUGGGAGAAUGAUCUCGUAAUCACGAAACUUCUAAGUAUCGGAGUGUGGUAUCGUCUUGACUCGCCUUAUCUGUCUCAUAGGUAGAUGUGGCAUCUUCUCUGGAAGUACUCUUCCUCCAUCCAGAGGUGGUAUCUUUAACUGGUGGAGAUGCAGAAGGUAAUGUAUCAAUUUCACUUGAAGCUUACUUGUAGUUUCAGGCUUGGUCAAGCGCGAUACAAACCAUGUAGUAGGAGUCCCCCAAGUCGCCGAGCUAGGGGAUCUGCUGAAAGAGGUGACAGACAAGGUAAGCAAUCAGAGCUCCGGCUGAUUGUUCACAUUCUCCCUAUCUUGCAGGCAGCAUGAAGGAUAAAGAGAAGAAAAAUGAGAAAAGAUGAUAUGGGAUACUUUUGCUUUUGAAGAAGUAACUUUCCACAGGCUUAUUCUUGAACUGAGCUGGAGGGUUUUCUGGUUUCCUCCAGAGUAUAAGGCCGACUGAAGAAUUUGAGGGUCAAAACAAGUCCAUCAAAUCUAGAGUACGUUCGACCCUGCUGAUAUAGGAUACUUUUGCUUUUGACAGAGUAAUGGAUGUAUCGGCACGUGUGCUGUUACGCUUGUCUCCACAUGCUUCCUUGUAUCCUUCUCACUUGCCCUAUCUGUUCCUCAGGCAGAUGCGAUAUCUUCCCUGGAAGCAUAAGAUGUUGAAGAUGAGUACUCGAGAGCAAUGCCAGGUAAGUAAUCAGGUAAGGGGUUCCAGGCAAUCAGUUCCUAGCUGGAAGCUUGAUUCCAAGUGCUGAUUGAUUGCUCUCUUUCUCCUUGUCUUGCAGGUAAGAACAAGGUCAAAGGAAAAGACAGGGAAAAAGCAUGAUAUGGGAUACUCUUGCUUUUUAACCCUGAUGAUAUGAGAUAUUCUUGCUCUAGUAUAGCUUGUUUGCAGAGGUAUUAUCGGGGGGAAAGAAAGCUGAAUAUUUCGAAAGGCUUCGUUGGGAAUGCCCUCUCAGAUAUGAGGAAGGGUUGAGCAUUUUUGCAGGUCUGCCUGUCCGUUGGGGAUGGAGGUCGACAUAUAUAGGAGUCUCCCUAACAACAAGUAGUAAUGCUAUUCCUUUAACCUGCUUGGUCAUAGCACGGUAGUUGGAGCUGCCAGCUUCACAUGUUUUAACUUUGUCAGAGCACUUUGAAAAAGUUGUCUGUGGUAUCUGGAAAGCUGAUGUUGCAUGUGAAGAUUACAGACAAGCUUUAUCCAAGGAGAUCCGGCUCUUGAAGUUGGGAAAAUUGUGCCUCUUCGGUUUUCGAACAAGCAAUCCUAUCGGGGAUCUGGCUCUCGAGAUUCGGAGAACGAUGUCACUUCGAUUUUUGAGAAAGCAAUCAUGCUGGGGGUCUGGCUCUCGAGAUUCGAAGAGCGGUCUCUUCGAUUUUUGAGAAAGUAAUCAUGUUGGGAGUCUGGCUCUCGAGAUUCGGAGGACGGUGCCUCUUCGAUUUUGGAGCAAGCAAUCUUGUUGGGAGUGUUUUCUCGAAUGUGAGUAAAGGUUGGGCAUGUUUGUUAGUCUACCUUGCCACGAAGCAUAGAGGUUGACACACAGGGACUUUCCAAUUAUCCAGCAAUGGUACUGUUCCUUUACCCUCUCUUCGAUUUUUGAGAAAGUAGUCAUGUUGGGAGUCUGGCUCUCGAGAUUCGGAAGACGGUGCCUGUUCGAUUUUGGAGCAAGCAAUCUUGUAAUCUUGUUGGGAGUGUUUUCUCGAAUGUGAGUAAAGGUUGGGCAUGUUUGCUAGUCUACCUUGCCACGAAGCACAGAGGUUGACACACAGGGACUUUCCAAUUAUCCAGCAGUGGUACUAUUCCUUUACCCUUGUGGGUAAUAAUAUGGUAGCUAGACCUUCAAAAUUUAUGCGUCUAAACUUUUAGUUGUGUUUUCUUUGCUAUUCUUUUACCCUUCUUGGUCAAAGCGAUGUAGUGGGAGCUGCAAGCUUCACGUGCUCAACUUUGGCAGAGAACUUUGGCAAAGUUAUCUGUGGUACCCAUGAGCUACUGUUGCGUGUGGGAAGUGGGUGAUUGAACAGUAAGAUUCAUGUGCUUUCUACUUCACCAGAAUGCCCAUAAUUUCCGCAAAGCUGAGUGUGCGUGUGACAGGUGCUGACAAGGCUGGAAAAGUAGGUGCCUCUUCGAUUUCUGAGAUCGGCCCUCAUGGUCUCUGAGCAGCCCAGCUUUUGAGAAAGCAAGUGCCUCUUCGAUUUCUGAGAUCGGCCUUCGUGGUCUUUGAGCAUCCCAACUUUUGAGAAAGAAAACGCCUCUUCGAUUUCUGAGAUCAACCCUCGUGGUCUCUGAGAGUAAAGGUUGGACAAGUUUGCUAGUCUACCUUGCCAUGAAGCACAGAGGUUGACACACAGGGAAUUUCCAAUUAUCCAGCAAUGGUACUGUUCCUUUACCCUUAUGGGUAAUAAUAUGGUAGCUAGACCUUCAAAAUUUAUGUGUCUAAACUUUGUUAGUGCUGUUUCUUUGCUAUUCUUUUACCCUUCUUGGUCAGAACGAUGUAGUGGGAGCUGCAAGCUUCACGUGCUCAACUUUGGCAGAGAACUUUGGCAAAGUUAUCUGUGGUACCCAUGCGCUACUGUUGCGUGUGGGAAGUGGGUGAUUGAACAGUAAGAUUCAUGUGCUUUCUACUUCACCAGAAGUCUUCGACAAAAUGCCCAUAAUUUCCACAAAGCUGAGUGUGCGUGUAAUAGGUGCUGACAAGGCUGGAAAAGUAGGUGCCUCUUCGAUUUCUGAGAUCGGCCCUCGUGGUCUCUGAGCAGCCCAUCUUUUGAGAAAGCAAGCGUCUCUUUGAUUUCUGAGAUCGGCCUUCGUGGUCUUUGAACAGCCCAGCUUUUGAGAAAGCAAACUUCUCUUCGAUUUCUGAGAUCAACCCUCGUGGUCUCUGAGCAGCUCAGCUUUUGAGAAAGCAAACGCCUCUUCGAUUUUUGAGCAGACGCCUCUUCGAUUUCUGAAGCUCCGUCGAGUGCAGAUUUUUAUAGGGGCUGACAUUAAGUUCCAAAGCACACUUGAAUCUCCACCAGUAGAAGCUCCAUUCUUGCACUUCUAAGAUCUUGAUUUGUCCGACCUCUUCUCUCUUCAACACCUUUGAAAAUGUCUAGCCCCUCCGACCGUCGUUUUGACUUGAACCUUGUUGAAGAGGCAGCCCCGCCUUCUCCAGACAACAUAUGGCGCCCAUCCUUCGUCUCCCCUACUGGUCCUCUUACCGUUGGGGAUUCCGUGAUAAAGAAUAAUAUGACCGCUGCGGUGGUGGCCAGGAACCUUCUCACUCCCAAAGAUAACAGACUACUUUCCAAACGAUCUGAUGAGUUAGCUGUUAAGGAUUCUCUGGCUCUCAGUGUUCAGUGUGCAGGUUCUGUGUCUAAUAUGGCCCAACGCCUAUUUGCUCGAACCCGUUAAGUUGAAUCAUUGGCGGCUGAAGUGAUGAGUCUCAAACAGGAGAUUAGAGGGCUCAAGCAUGAGAAUAAACAGUUGCACCGGCUCGCACAUGACUAUGCUACAAACAUGAAGAGGAAGCUUGACCAGAUGAAGGAAUCUGAUGGUCAGGUUUUACUUGAUCAUCAAAGAUUUGUGGGUUUGUUCCAAAGGCAUUUAUUGCCUUCGUCUUCUGGGGCGGUACCGCGUAAUGAAGCUCCAAAUGAUCAACCUCUGAUGCCUCCUCCUUCUAGGGUUCUAUCCAGUACUGAGGCUCCGAAUGAUCCCCCUCCGGUGCCUUCUCUUUCUGGGGCUCUACCGACUGCGAGACUUGUCCUAAGCAACCUUUGUGAAGGCUCCCUCUAGUUUGUUUAUUUUGACUCAUGUAUAUGUACAUAUUUGUAGCCUAUCAGGGAUAUCAAUAAAUAAGUUUUCCUUCAUUUCAACAUAUUGUGUUAAAUACACCAAAGCCUUCUUCGCUAAGUUCUUUGAAUUUUCUUUUGUUGAAGCUUGUAUGUUGAAGCUUUGUGAGUGGAGCAUGUAGGUUGAGGUAGUGUUCCUUUAAUUUCCCGAGUGAGGAAAACUUCUCGGUUGGAGACUUGAAAAAUCCAAGUCACUGAGUGGGAUCGGCUAUAUGAAUCUUAGAACGCCAUUGUGCUCGGUCCCGUGUCAUGUCCUUCGUUAGAUCCAAGUACUCUUAAGUCUUUUCUUAGAGUCUCUUCCAAAGUUUUCCUAGGUCUUCCUCUACCACUUCGGCCCUGAACCUCUGUCCCAUAGUCGCAUCUUCUAAUCGGAGCGUCAGUAGGCCUUCUUUGCACAUGUCCAAACCACCAUAACCGAUUUUCUCUCAUCUUUCCUUCAAUUUCGGCUACUCCUACUUUACCCCGGAUAUCCUCAUUCCUAAUCUUAUCCUUUCUCGUGUGCUCACACAUCCAACGAAGCAUCCUCAUCUCCGCUACACCCAUUUUGUGUACGUGUUGAUGUUUCACCGCCCAACAUUCUGUGCCAUACAGCAUCGCCGGCCUUAUUGCAGUCCUAUAAAAUUUUCCCUUGAGCUUCAGUGGCAUACGGCGGUCACAUAACACGCCGAAUGCACUCUUCCACUUCAUCCAUCCAGCUUGUAUUCUAUGGUUGAUAUCUCCAUCUAAUUCUCCGUUCUUUUGCAAGAUAGAUCCUAGGUAACGAAAACGAUCGCUCUUUGGUAUUUCUUGAUCUCCGAUCCUCACCCCUAACUCGUUUUGGCCUCCAUUUGCACUGAACUUGCACUCCAUAUAUUCUGUCUUUGAUCGGCUUAGGCGAAGACCUUUAGAUUCCAACGCUUCUCUCCAAAGGUUAAGCUUUGCAUUUACCCCUUCCUGAGUUUCAUCUAUCAACACUAUAUCGUCUGCGAAAAGCAUACACCAAAGAAUAUCAUCUUGAAUAUGUCCUGUUAACUCAUCCAUUACCAACGCAAAAAGGUAAGGACUUAAGGAUGAGCCUUGAUGUAAUCCUACAGUUAUGGGAAAGCUUUCGGUUUGUCUUUCAUGAGUUCUUACAGCAGUCUUUGCUCCUUCAUACAUAUCUUUUAUAGCUUGGAUAUAUGCUACUCGUACUCCUUUCUUCUCUAAAAUCCUCCAAAGAAUGUCUCUUGGGACCCUAUCAUACGCUUUUUCCAAAUCUAUAAAGACCAUGUGUAAAUCCUUUUUCCCAUCUCUAUAUCUUUCCAUCAAUCUUCGUAAGAGAUAGAUUGCCUCCAUGGUUGAGCGCCCUGGCAUGAACCCGAAUUGGUUGUCCGAAACCCGUGUCUCUUGCCUCAAUCUAUGCUCAAUGACUCUCUCUCAGAGCUUCAUUGUAUGACUCAUUAACUUAAUACCCCUAUAGUUCAUGUAAUUUUGUACGUCGCCCUUAUUCUUGUAGAUAGGCACCAAAAUGCUCGUUCGCCACUCAUUUGGCAUCUUCUUCGUUUUCAAAAUCCUAUUGAAAAGGUCAGUGAGCCAUGUUAUACCUGUCUCUUCCAAAACUUUCCACACUUCGAUUGGUAUAUCGUUUGGGCCUAUUGCUUUUCUAUGUUUCAUCUUCUUCAAAGCUACAACUACUUGGAAAAAGCGUAUCAUACGCUCCCAAACAACUUUGAGUGGAAUCGUUCGAAAAGAAGUUUCUAUGGCCCCCUUGCUCAUUUAACACUGCAUCCGGAUGCUGAUGGAGAUACAGCGACCCUUGCUCACUUAUCACUGUGCUCGGGCCACACAGCGCGCCACUUACGGGUGACGCCCUAGAUUUAGCGCGAUUUCGUUCUGGAUUCAUUUUCAUAAGGAUUCGACGUGAUCAUGGAGUGCCGGCUGUCGACUACCUGACGCCCUCCCCCUCCUCCUUUAUCCGGGCUUGGGACCGGCAAUGUAAGAACAUAGGCGGAGUUAACUGAAAUGAUAACUGAAACAUAAAUAAAUUUAGAAUUCAAGACUAACCUGUGUAGCUAAUAUAUUCUAGCUUGAUUGUAGCUAAUAUUUUUUAAAUCGAAUGAAUGUUGUUCUUAAUCCACUAUAAUCUGAACAUUAAAUUUGGUAUUCAUGACUAACCUGUGUCACGAACUUUAGCCAUUUCUUUGAUGGAUCCUUAAAAUGAUGUGGAGAUGUUACGCCAUUACUCUUCCCCAUCUAUAGCAACAUUAAGAUUCGUUUUACUCUUUUCAUCUUCUGAUAACCGCACAGCUUCAAUGACUGCUCUUCUCUGUUGCCCAUGUCCAUAUAUAAAAAAUUCUGGUGUGCGCUCAAGUCUAAAACACAAGCCAACAUAACAGACUCAGCUAUACCACCAUAGGUAUGGUGUUCAAAAUCAAGGGAGGUGAAUCAAUAGCUUACUUCUCAGCAUGUGAUCGGCAAAGUUGCAAUGAAAAUGAAUGAAAUGUACUGAUUGUUAGUAGUUUUGCCGUUCCUUUCCCAGUCACAGAUCCAAUUCGAUCUCUCAUCUCGGAAGCUGCUGCUGUAGUGAAAGUCAUUGCUAGAAUGUUAGACGCGCUCAUGCCCUAAGAACACAAAAAAAAAAGGAAUAAGAUUUCGAUCAUAAACAAGAAAUGUAGAGAAACAGACAAUUAAGAAAGAAAAAGUUAGAGGGAAAGUGGCAACACCUCAUUGAGCAGCAUUAGAACCCGCCCAACCAUCGUUGAAGUCUUUCCACUUCCAGGGCCGGCAACAAUCAUCAAAGGUACUGAAAUAUCGCUGCAAGCUGCCUCCCGCUGCCUUUCGUUGAGAGAAAGCAAAUACUUCGAAUACUCAUCCGGCAUGUUAGGCAAUCCAUGGUUAACAGAAUCUGUUUGGUUUUCACUACUCAGAGGUGGCGCUGAUGCGGCAUUAACAUCGCUACCACAACUCCCAAUAUCAUCACGCUGAAUGUCCCCACUCGGUUUCUGCUCAAUUAAAGCGUCAAUUUCCUGCAAAAUACUCUCAUCGAAAUCAUCAUCCUCGAGAAUUCCAGACGCAGAGAAAGAAUCGAAUGAAGUCGGAAACUGCGGUUGUUUGAUUGGAAUUGUGAAAGAAUCCGAUUUUGACACGCUUGAUUCAGUCCGGCUAGCGCUUAAGCUCCCGGAACACGACGCACUGCCAUAUUCAGUCCGGCUUGUAGAAAUCGGAGGCGGUGUGUUCAUCGGUAGCUCGGCAAGAGGAGUUCUGUGAACUCUAUUGAGCUGAGCUGGCGUUUGGAUUCCAUUUCCGCCACAAAUUCUGGAAUUUGAAAAACACAAUUGAAUUGAUUUAAAUUGAAUCAAGAAAACAGCCGAGUACCAAAAAAGUAGUAAGAAGAUGAAAUCUUUGAUUCCUGAACGACUUACUUGGUAUGAGGGAGGUGAUGAUCAGUCAAAACGGCGUCGUUGCGGGGGCGUUUGCGAUCAAUGAGGGCCUUGGCGGCUCUGAAAUUCCCAGAGAUGCGGUUUCUUUUGAUAGGAUCACAGAUCUCAGGACCCUAUUCAACCUACAAGCAGCAAUAGAAAUGACAAAUGGAGAAGACGAAGUAGAAGGGAGCAGGGCUCCAAUAUAUUUUUUUGGUUUUGUAUUUCUGUUUGUAAAAUCUGAUCUGCUACAUUUGAGGGAGCUGGACUCCUUUUAUACAAACUCUACUUCUUAAAAUGCCAGCUGGCAUAUUUAACAAUUCUUAACAAAUCAAUUAAAGCAUAAAACCUCAGUAAUAAUUUGGGUCAUAACAAUACUUCCCCCUUGAAGAACAACCUUGUCCUCAAGGUUGAAAGUUGAAAAACUUAUUUGAACGAGUAGAAACUAGGAGUCUUGCAACAGAAGGGAAGCUGCAGGGACUGCAAAUACAAUCUGCAUGUAGCUCUCAACUUUUGGAGAUGAGCCUGACAGCACCCCUGUACUUGUUAUGGCAGCUCCCCACAACUUGGUAAGUGAGCACUUGUUACCCGUAGCCUCUUCAUAAAUUUCAACCCACGAUAUCAUUUCAACUUCCAUGCUAGUUGCCAAAAAGCAUGCAGCAUCAAAUGGAGAAAAUGGGCCAACUCCCAGGGAACCUGCCAGAGGAUCAUUCUCAACGAAUGCAGCUACUAAAGCAAUUGGACCCUUGCCAAGAAUUAUAACCUUAGAGAUGGUUAUGAGCCUGAUAUCCUCAAAAGCAAGACGAGCGGUCUGAUUGAUAAGAGACUGCCUAAGAUUAACUAUCCUCUUCUUAGGUCCAACACACCAUUCCUUGCUCCGAAUGUAGCCAUCCUUCAUCACACCAAACCGAGGGAAGCCACCCAUGGGAGUGAUGUCUUUCUCAGUCAUCUUCCCCUCAUGGAGGCACAUUUCAUAGUUUUUUUCAGUGAAACUAGGACCACCUAAUGUCGGAUUGUCAAAAAACUCCUGAAAUAAGCUGAUGGAUGGGAGCAGUCUAUAUUGGAUAUUGAAACUUGCAAUUCUUUCUGAAUCAUUGAAAUCACUGUACUUUAAACUGUCAUUAGCAACACCGAUAUUAUGCAUGGAAGAUUUAAAGGACCUGAGCAAACCCAAAGCUUCAACCAUGUCCUUCAUCACCUCUGUUAAGGUGUACAAUUGGCAUUUGAAUUCAUAUGAUGGCUCAAUAGUAUCAAGUUCCAAAAAUUUAAACAACUCAUUUUGCCAACUUACACUCACGGUAAGACAAACAUGCAAAAACCAUGCAAAGACAAAUAUGUUGGACAUCCUUUCUGAAGAACAGGCAAAGAAAUAACACCAACAGCAACCAAAUGAAAUAACACCAGCAGCAACCAAUACAUUGAUGUGUACCAUAUUGUCUAACAAAAUUACUUUAAGCUGAUGACUGACUUUGCAGAUACGUCCAUAAUCGUACAACCAUGCAUAAACACUAGCACCAUCAAAUCUUAGAUUUGGCCUGAAUACUAUUACCUCUUCACUACCAAAAGUGAGCAUCUGAAUACGUCUGCCGGUUUUCUUAUGAUGCAACUCCAGCUCUACCAACAUCCAUCUUUUACCAAUCACAUAAGAGAAAACAUAAUGACUUACACAAUGUUGCUCAGGUACAGUCAUAUAUGGUGUUGUCCGAGAUUUCCAUUGCUCCUUGAAAUGCAUUCCAUAAACCAAGAAAAAUAAGAUUGAAGUAGUAGUUGUUCCAUCCUCCUUGAAAGAGAUGAGAAUGCAGGGCCUCUCCAUCAACCAUAUUGUAUAAUUCCUCUGAUUGAAGACAACCCUUUGAGAAGAUAUAUUGUCACAAGGAUUAGUGAGAGUGUGACACCAACCCGGUUGCUGGAAAAUCUGGUCAUUCGCUACGCAAUUAGGAAAGAAAACAGUAUCGAGGUGUACAUCAACACUAUUACAUAAUUCCGGAUUCAAUUUCGAUAACAAGCUGGUGAGAAUAGAAUAGUCAAGCUGGGAAAUGGCCAUGACUGUUAAUGCACAUCUGUGUAACAGUGAUAAGCAGAGGAACUGCUUGAUAGCAUUGAUAUAACCCAAAGUCCCAUUCUCCUCAGUCAAACUAGCUGCAAGAUCUUUAGGCAAAGAACGACAAACAAGUACAACAAUAUCCAAAGCUUCCAGGUUGCUACUCAAUGACAUAUUCUCCAUAUUAUGCCUCUUAGACAUUUCAUCAAAUAGAUGCAAUGCAUAGAAAUUCUUCUUCACAAAUUUACCCACAAGGUACCAAUUAACCCAGCCAUACUUAGCAUUCAAAAAAACAUGAUAUACAAUCGCAUUAUGACCAGUAUAGCAUGCAAUUACACCAUACAAAAGCAAUACCUCAUGUCCACGUACCAUUCCUAACUCCCAUAGCCCACUAGGUAGCUGAUACCAAACAUGAAGUUUCUUCUUGAUGAAAUAUCCAAUGUUGUCAUCGUAAACCGACUGUGUAAUCUUCUCUCCCAGUCUCAUUCGACAAUCUUCCAGUGGCCUAAUUUUGGAGCCUCCACCCUUAUCCCGAAUGCCAUUGCAGUAGCACAUGUCACGAUUGAGAACAACAUAGCCACUUGAGUCUGGAAUUUCAUCAAACAGGUUCCAUGCACAAAAAUCCUCAGGUCCAUUUUUCGUAGUAUCAGAGAACGAGUGCUUAUGGAGUAGCCGCGGAGCAGAGGUCAUCGUCUUCGAUCCCGGAAGCAAAAUUGUAGCUGCAUCAGAGUUGUUCGAGUGUGGCUUCACGGGCGGAGUUGCCAGUGCUUGCAACAACGGUGAAGAUGAGAGUAACGGCGGAACGGAAUGGACUUCAAUUGGCGAUGGAAUUCUCGGUGGAUUGUCGUCUCCUUGAAGUCCGGGAUGAUCGAGAUUGAUUGAUUGAAUCGUUGGGGUAGGAUCGGAAACUUCCCCGACACCAAGAGUCAAGUGAUGGCGGAACAGAGCAAGGUCACGGCGGACUGCGGCGGCUAUUGAAUCUAUAGCCUUGUGGAAAGCCUCCUCCGUACGCCUGAAUGUUUUCCUUGGACAUUGCUUCGAAGAUUCCGACGGAAGAUUUGGCCUGACAGCCUGACCAGGCAACCCUAGAAAGAAGAAGGAGCGAAGAAGACCAAAUGUGUCCGUUUUUCCUUUGGUUUUUUUCCCUCCUAAUCGAGUUGUUCGAAAUAAUUGGGCCUGGGCCUAGUGGGCCCAAUUGUCAGGCCCAUUAUCUCCUGUCUUCUAGUUCUACUUCCAAUUUCCCAAGUUAACAACGUACUGGUUCGCUUUUAGCGCGAGAGAGAAAUGGAGGCCCUGAUUGCCUCGUACGGAGACUCGUCGUCGGACUCAGACUCCGAGUCGCCGGCUCCACCUCCACCGCCACCUCCGGAGCUCAAAAACUCUCAAGAAUCGACCACUGCGCUGCCUCCACCUCCUCUGUCACUUCUCGACAGCCCAAUUCCUUCGGUAACCUCUGAUUCCCAUAAAUAUUCUAUCUUUUAACUUUCUGUUGUGAUGGCUUUUUCCGAGUUGCCCACCAAGUGUUUGAUGUUUUGCCUCUAAAGGAUUUCUGGACUUCUCCCCAAGCGCCCAGCCGAGCAGAGUUCGGAACUUUCCUCACGUCGAAGGGAACUACGCAGUACAUGUAUACAUCCCAGGUAAUCAAAAUUCUCGAAAUUUUCAGCUCCAUUAGCAAAUGCGAUCCCUUUGCACUUAGAUUUUGCUUGUUUAAUUGUGUGGUUCCAGUUUAUAUACCACCAGCACCAAGGAAAGAGAUGGCCUUGUUUUUGAACAAGCUUGCUUCUCUGGUGCCUGGUCUCCACGCCGUUGACGUUGACGUCCCGCUUGACAUUCUGCGUAAGGACGAGCAUAAGCUUGAACAAGUUGCUUUAGGCAGAGAGUUCCAUAUAAGUCUCGGAAGAACUGUUCCGAUUCGGGUGCACCAGAUUAAUUCCUUGGUGACAAUGCUGCGGCAGAAGCUUCAGAUUCAGAGGCGGUAUGGUUGCAUUUACCUUCUCUUGUGUGCAUUGCGUGAAUUUAGUUCUGUUAUUUAACAUAAUUGUUUAAGCCUGCAGAUAUUUUGUCCAUUUUUGGUUUUUAACACAUUUGGUUAUUGUGGAACAGGUAUUGGAUUGAUUUUUGCAAGUAGGAGGUUUUUGUUAACGAUGAUCAGACCCGGACCUUUGUGUCGAUCGAAGUCAUUGCUGCUGGGUUAGCUGAGGUAUGAUUGCUAGCUUUCUCUCUUGGUGCAAUUCAAAAUGUUUUGAGUUGUUUAUGGACUUAAGAUUUAGCAAGUACUUGCCGAAGGUCAUGGGAUUUUGAAAUAUCGAUAUCUUGCUUAUAGAUUGUUUGGUCUUCGAUGCACUUGUUACCUGAAAAGUAAAAAUGUAAAAGAUCAUGAAAAGUCCAAACGAAACAUAAUGGAUGUAUGAUAUGCUCAUGCUUCUAACAUGUGUUGUCCUGGCAUAAAUUAUGUUCCAAAUACCGUCAUUUGCGUGUAAGCCUAUGAACUUAGAGCACGUUUGGUAUGCCGGGUAAGAUUGGAUUUGGUAUUUCAGACUGCUUAGGUUAGGAUUGGAUUGGGUAGGUUAGGUUUUUUGUCUAAUGUUUGGUGUAGACUGUCGCAACAACGCUCGUGAGCCUCCACAUCCAUUGCAAUCUUGCACCACUCUGAUGUCCUGGAGGAGCGAAACAUGGUUACUUGAAGCAUACCUGUUUUCGUAUUAAUACAUGGUUGAAUCAGCUUUCAUUGUCAAUCAGUCUGUAAUAUUUCAACUUCCAUUGAUUUCAGAUAACAAAGCAGAUUCAAGCUGUCAAUGAGGUGUAUAUGCUUCACAAUCUUCCUGAAUUUUACAAGGUUAGCAUUUCGUGUUUUUCAAACUUGAAUCACUUCCUGAACAUAUGACAAUAUAUUGGAGCAAAUGGUUGUGCAUGAAUACUACUCAUUGCUCAGAGGGUGUUGCUGAUCACAGGAUCCGCGUCCUCAUAUUUCGGUAGCUUAGGCAUUGGGUGACAUCAGCAAUUCCCUGAAGAAAGUGGUUGAAGAAGAAAGACGAAGAUCUACCAUCGGAGGAUCGUUACAGAAAUGUAUUUUUACCAGUAAAUUCAAUGGUAUCGAAUGUAGGAUUGGUAAUAAAACACACAAAAUAUGUAAAUUUUCUGAAGAAUAAUGUAGCCAUUUAACUAUAUUGUGAAAUUCCGAGAAUAUAUCGCUGAGCAUUGGAUGAGAAGACAUUUCUUCGUUGGUGUCGAACUUCAUGUUGAAGGUAUUGACACCAGUGUAAACGCCAUCAUCCAUGUUGAUGGUAAUUACUUCCCAGCUACUAAGGGUGUCGGAACAACCUUGCACGCAGCCUCCUGUGCAUUACUUAGUAUUGUCUCAGUUUCUCCAAACUUGAAUGCUCCUGUAAACCCACUUUUGACCUUUCCGUCAUCUGUGAUUACCGGAAUGCUGGCUAGGAUGUUGCCGUUGACCUCCCAAACUUAAAAUACCGGAAAGCCGGCUCCAAUGUAUGCGAGAGCUCCACCUCUAUUGUUGUAACAGCAUCUGAUGCGUACUAGUCCUUUAUUCCCGUUACUCUUUGCCAUCUCCACUUGGAACUUGGCGUAAUGGCUCCCGGCCUCCUCUCCGGUGAAAUUGAGCAACCCCGGAGCUGGCGUGCCAUCAAGAUUUCCGUCAUGUCUGUAGCGAAAGUAUUCGCUGUUGUGGUUUGGUUUCACCACUAUAAAUCUUGGCAGAGUUGGCAUUUUCAUUUCUGUUGUCUGUAUAUCUUGAUAUUACAAGUAUUUGUUGUGCAAUAUGCAUGCUAUGUUCAUGUUAUGCGUAUAUACAUAUAUAAGUGUUUUAACACUUUGCAAACGUUUUCUCCAAAAUUUUGAUUUUGGUGGUGUUCUAACUUUUGUGAAUGCUAAUAACAAUUCCCUCAUUAACUGUUAGGACGAGCAACAAAACAGUUUUGAUUCUGUGCACAAAGGCGAUCCCUCGUAAGAAAUUGAUUCUUCAACAGAAAGAUGUUUUAAAACAAAUUUGAAGGGAAGGAAAUAUUUGAAUCGCAUUCAGAUGUCUGGUCAAAUUCUUGAACAGUUGAUAUACACAGAAGUUCCUUGUUUAUGUCACUACUUAUGAGAGGAUGUACGCAUUGCAUUCGCAUCAAAAGAGAGAGAGAGAGAGAGAGAGAGAGAGAGAGAGAGAGAGAGAGAGAGAGAGAGAGAGAGAGAGAGAGAAGGUUGUCAGUGGUAAGGGAACGAAUAACGAUGGCGUUGCGCUUCUAAUCAAAGGGGUCGAUCCGAGGGUCGUGUUCACUUGCCAUCGCCAUUCCAGUGCAAAGGCAUGUAGGGCACAUUACCUGCCACAUUAAAAACGCGAUGUUAGAUAUACUCGCCAUUUGGAAGUCAACCCUCAAAAUUUGCUACUAAAUUAUCUUAAACUCCAUUUCCAGUCAAUUUUUUUUCUUCCGAAAUGUCUUUCACGUGCUUAGGGAUAGGCAAAUACCCAUUGGUUAUAGGUAAUCGCGGUUACUCGCCCAUUUAAAUUAAACAGUUACGGUUAUGGCUAACUGUUUAGAUAAAUAAACGGUUAUGGGUAUAACCGUUUACCCGUAAAAUUUAAAUGGAUGGUUAUGAGUAUUAACCAUGGUUAUAAACGAGUAACCGUUUACCCAUUUAUUUUAUAUAUGUAAAGCUAACACAAAUCAUGUUCUCCAUCCAAUAAUACUUAGCACCCAAUAAAUUAGCAAGGAAUUCAUCGAUCAUUCUCUCAAUAACACUACUACAUGAAUGAUGAUUCCCAUCAUCAAGGAAUUUGCCAAAUUAAUUUAAAUUCCUUGUGGGUAACCGUGAAAUUGACAGAAAUACUUUAACAAAAAUGUCUUCUAAACAAUUUUUGUAACCCAAUAAUACUUAGCAAAUAUUAUAUUUACCUUCAUUGGUAACAGUUAAAAAUAUCGUCCGUAAACUAUUAUUUCAAUUAUUGGAAUGGUAUAAAGACUUAAAAAAUUAAAAUAUAAAAAUGUAUGACGAAUGUACCUAUAACGGUGUUUAAUUGUCAAAAAAAAAAUUAUGACAAUUUUUUUUAAUUUUCAAGUUGUUAAAAAACAUGUAGACUGGUGAAAAAAAGGUAAUGGUAAAAAGAAAAGAUAAACGGAUUAAAAAUGAUAAAUGGUAUACGGGUAUUAAAUUGUUACGGUUAAAUGGCUAUGCGGUUAUGGGUAUGGUUAACCGUUUAUAAAUGGUUAUGAGUAUGAGUAUAACCAUUUAGGCAAUUACCCAACGGGUAAACGGUUAUGUAGGUAUGAGCAUAAACGGUUAUGGGUAAAUUAACCGCGGUUACCCGCCCGCAUAACCAUCCCUACACGUGCUCGACAAACACAACAGUCACCAAUCAUGUGAAUCAGCUAUUCCUCAAUGUAUAUGAUGAAACAAGUGCAUCCCAGAGGCAGGCACGAAGAGGAAUUUACUAUGCAAUAAACAUUCAAUGGGUACAAUUUUAUGUCUAACCUUUCCCGCUCCUGAGCAAUUUGAACAUCUUUCAGUUUUUGGCAGUGAAAGGGGCUGGUUUCCGCCAUCAACUGUUGAAAUUGGUUCGGUAAGAACAAGGGUUCCAGUGCUGGAGCAACGAGCACAAGCAAGAUAUCCUGCAUAAGUAUCAAAUACACCGGUUAGUUGACAUAUGAAGGAUUGGUUUGGUAUUGCUGUGCUUUGAAAAAAAAACUGCUGUGAGAAUAAGCGGCUGUGCUGUGAAAAUAAGCGGCUGUGAAAUAAAUCAGCAGAGUGUUUGGUAAACUUUUUUGUAAAAGUGUUUUUGGAAAAAAAAAAGUCUAAUAGUGGGUCUUUUCAUUAAAGAAACACUGUAGCUCCAUGUGCUUUGAAAAAAACCAGUUUUCCAAAGCUACAAAUAGCAGCUUCAGCUUUUUCCUUUGAUUUCAGCUUAUUCUCACAGCAGCUUCCAAAAUAAGCCUUUUUUUUUUCAGUUUACCAAACACCUAAAACCCUCACAGCUUUUUUUCAUGGGUGCUUUUUUUUUAAGCACCUCACUCCCAAACUUGGUUUGGUAUUGCUGUGCUUUGAAAAAAAGCUGCUGUGAGAAUAAGCGGCUGUGAAAUAAAUCAGCUAAGUGUUUGGUAAAUUUUUUUGUAAAAGUGUUUUUGGAAAAAAACAGUCUGAUAGUGGGUCUUUUCAUUAAAGAAGCACUGUAACUCCGUGUGCUUUGAAAAAAAACCAAUUUUCCAAAGCUACAAAUAGCAGCAUCAGCUUUUUCCUUUGAUUUCAGCUUAUUCUCACAGCAGCUUCUAAAAUAAGCCUUUUUUUUUUCAGUUUACCAAACACCUAAAACUCUCAUAGUUUUUUUUCAUGAGUGCUUUUUUUUUAAGCACCUCACUCCCAAACUAGGUCAACCAAUCCAAACAUCUCCAUCGUAUAUAUUUAAAGCUACGGUACAUAUGACUAAAAGUGAGAAACAUAGGACAUUAUCACACCAGUUCCAAGACAAUAUUUGCAUCGCUUAUGCUCCUGCUGUUUCACAUUGCUUAUUUCAACUACCAUCAAUGCUGAGAUCACUCCGACUGCUCCUCCAGAGAACGAUGCCACUAUGGGAUCAACUUGACUGCAGAUUGAAAGUAUAUGAGAUCAAUAAACGAAACUGAUAACAAUGUAGUAUUAACAUUAUUUAGCUCCAUGUCAAGAUAGACAACACAUCCUAGAUUUUUCUAAUGUGUAAAAUUUGAGGACCCUCGUAAAAUUUGACCACAUCGGUUCCCAAAGUAAAAUUUAGUACCUUUGGUUCCUACAUUACAGACCGAAAAUAGUAACUACCGAAUUUAAAGUUCAUAUCAAGAUAGAGGAUACAAAAUUUCGAAACGAUAAUUGCUAGAGAACAGGAGGGUUAAUAGCCCGAGAUAUGAGCCAUACCUCAACUGCAACGGCAGAUGCAUAUUUACUAUAAAAUCUUUAUACGAUGUGCCUCCUAUUCCCAGCUUCAACUCCAACUGAAAGAUGUAAACGUAAUUGUCGGCAGAGAGUUAGAAACAUAACCGAAUCCAUGUUUUAUAAGCAGAAAGUACACUUAUUUGACAUGCUUCCUCAUUUUUUUACUUGCAAAUUCAAAACCGUAUUGUCAGACCAGUAAAAUAAAAUAAUGUUUACUAAUAACUGUUAAAACUAAUCACAACAAGUUAAUGCAUAAAGAACUUACGGAGGGUGCUAUGAGGCCACCGAAAAGGAUAAACCCCGCAAUAAUUGAAUAACAUACAGCAUAAUACUGCUUAAGGUUGUCUGAACUCUGCAAGCAAUGCAUUCACCUUGUGAUUAAUACUUUUGCACAAACACUAGUUUUCGCAAUUUUUUAUGAACCGACAAAAGGCUACAACAAAAUAUGGCUAAAACAUGUCGGGGAUAUGAAAAUACAUGUCUUCACAGGGGCAGCAGCUUACCAGGGGAGGCAAAAAUGGAAUGAAUGAUGGAAAACUUGAUCUUCAUUUACCGCUCCAAGCUCUGCGCGUUUAAUCCGUUUAAUCCGCUGUUGUAUCCUCAGCCUGCGAACCUACGCAUAUCGAAGCUCAUUCUUAAAGAACACAUUUCUAAGGGCAAUUGGAGAGUAAUUUGAAACAUGCUAAACUGAGAAAGUGGCAGCAACUAGCAAUUGCUCUCACCUCCUCCGUAUGCAAGAAAAUUUUGUUGCGCCGACUCCGAAUAUUAUCUUGAAUUUCCUGCAGCUCCAUUGUCGCAAAGUCCUGCACUGUUUCAGGCCCCUCUAUGAUACAAAAUCUGCACAAUUAAGCAUGUAACAACUAAAACUUACAGGCUACAAAGCAAUUUCCGUAUCAUUUUUGGGUUAAUUAACAUCAACAGCAGAUAAAUCACAUGAGUUUUUCACAUGAAGUUACAAACCUUCAGAGACCAGUAAGCUCUCUGCAAUCUCAUAAAUUUCACUGUGCAAAGUAACAAUCCAAAGCUUGGAACUUUAAAUUUCCAUUUUCUGUUAUUUUCCUAGAGAGAGAGGGGGGAGUACCCGGCGGGGUUUGUAUCGGCGGCGGGUUUAGGAUCAGAAUCGACAGACGGAGCGAACGAGGAGGAGUCGGGCUCCGAAGCCAUGGCCAGGGAUCGCCAUCUGGAGCUGCUUGUUGAUAUGGGGCUUCUUGCGUAGCUGAAUUUGGAGCAGCGGAAGCUAUGCAGUUUGUACGGACCGCACCGAUUUACGGGGAAAGAAACGGCCAAAAGUCUGCCGGAGCAGAGCAUCUCUCUCUCUCUCUCUCUCAAACCAGAAGGCAGAGCUUUCUGUUUCUCUUGAGGUUUCUUUCACUGGUAAAUUCCAGACAAGCAGAGAAGGCGGCUCUCUGAGAAAUGGCGAUGGUGCAAGUGGAGACAAAACAAAUGUAAAUCUUGAAGCACCGAACAUGUGCAGAACACUUGUCAACUACCGAACUCUAGGAUUAGGAGAGAGAGAGAGAGAGCGAGUGACCGGCCAAAAAAAAAUGGAGGGAAGUGGCUGAUUCUUCUUUUUAGUGGACCUGGUGUCCUUCGAUUCGAGUACUAUGUCAUAUUUAAAAUUUAGGGUUAAUUUUGUUUAAGUUUCUUAGUUUUCAACAUUUAGUACAUAAAGUUUUUUUCAUCUCAGAGUGGUACAUAAAGUCAUAAUUUUGAGACAGUCUAAUACAUCCGUUAAGGUUGCUGUUAAAUCAACCGUUAAAUAGUGACGUGGCGUCUAGGUGGAUAUUGACUGGACGACACGUAUCAUUAUGGGUCCAUGUGGAUAUUAAAAAAUUAAAAAAAAAAAAUUAAUGGGCCGUUCAACCCCUCCUCCCUCGACCCCCUCCCUUCUCUCCUCUGCACCCACCCUCCCCACGUCUGCAACCCAUCCCCACGUCGUCAUCUUCUUCUUUGCCCAGAUCCCGCAAGAAUCUUCUUCGUCGCCGACAACUCAGCCACCAUCUCCAUCUCCGCCUUCCCCUCCUCCGAACCCGACUCCUACCCACUUCCAGUUCCAAUUCACCCUCUCCCAAUUUGCCCACUUCUUGUCCGAUUUUCGCGCCACUAUUGAACCCGAGCCCGACCCACAAAGAUGCUUAGAUUCUGAAAAAGAGAUGACACAAAUGCAAGAAAUGGAAAGCAGUGUGGUUUAGAGGUUAGAAACUGAGCAAUUUUUGGAUUGCUUUUUGGUUUGAUCAAUUUAAAGAAAUGAAAUUCUGAGUCGAAUUUCUUGUUCGUUAUAUUCGAUCUCCGCUUGAGAAUUUUAAACUUAAUAAUUGCAAAUCAAGAUACAAAAUUGACAUGAAUUUCGAAUUGGGGUUUUGGGAAAUUUGAGAAGUUCUUGGCGAUUCAUAAGAAACUUCAACUCCCAAUCGUUUCUUCUCGCUCACAACCCGAGAUUAAUAAUUUUAAAGUUUGAGCUUGAAUGUUCUUUGUAAUUAAAGAACAGAUGUGCAUCCCUCUGAAUGGCAAGAGGGUGAAUAGGAAGCGAAAAUCGGUGUGUGGCAAAUCGGAGAGGGUUAGGGAAAAAGUUUAGAGUCGGGUUCGGAUGAGGGGAGGGCGGGGUUAUAUUUUUUGUCGAGGCGAAGAAGAUUCUGCGGGAUCUGGGCGAAGGAAGAUUGACAUGGAGGGUGGGUGCACAGGAGAUAAGGGAGGGGGUCAAGGGAGGAGGGUGAACGGCCCAAUUUUUUUUUUUUUUUGGGUCAUUUGGACCAUCUCACUCAUCACCUAAGACGCCACGAUCUAAUAUUAAUUCCGGUUGACUUUGUAAAUUGGAUGUAUUAAUUAACAAACAUAGAUUAGGACAUUGAUGAUUUAAAAUUUGGGGUUUUGUUCUUCAGAAAUUUGGUCGAAAUAAGAAAUUCCCUAAAAGUUCAAUUCAGAAGAGUUACUUGCCUUACAAACAUUUUUUAAAUACUUACUAAGAAAAAGAUUUUUGUGGGUGGGUACAGUAUGGGGUUUAACUCAUUGUGUUUUAGUUUAAAUCUUUUUCUCUCUUCUUUAAUAAUAUUUAGUAUAUUAUCAAUUCGUAAUAAAAAAAUUUUGAUUAAAAACUCUCAUCUAUAUUCUAGCCAAUGGAAAAAAAUGAAUAGUGAUUUUGAUGUUGCUUUAACAAAAUAUUUUUUAAAAACAAUGGACGGCUUUCAACAAAAAAUUUGAGUAAGAGGGGUUUUGCCUUAAGUAAUUUUUGAAAUUGAAUUCAUGGUGGUUUUUUGAUUUUAUUAAAUUAGUCCCUCCCAGCAAAAAUGUGAUCAAUUUCUCUAUAAAAGAAAUAUAAGAUAUAAAUGAGAUAAUAAAGGGGUCAUUAAUAAAGAGUUGAUGAUUGUUUUUUUUUUUUUACAAUUCACACUAAGGGGGAAUAAUUGAUUUCUUUGUUGGUGUUCAAAAGCUUUUAAAUUUAUCUCUUUAAAAUAGUUUUAAUAAUCUUUUAAUGUGUUUAGUUGCCAAAAUUUUAUUUUUUUAGCAAUGAUAUUAUCUCAAUUUGAUUGGGCUUAAAUUUCUCUUAUUUUUCAUUAAUUUUCAUAUUCAAAACAUCUUAAAUGUCGUAAAUGCCGAUCAAAUAACUCUUUUCUUUUUAAUUAAUUAAUCUAAAAUUAAGUAAAAAUGAAAUUAUUACAGAGAUUUUCGAAAACCAAAUUUACAUUAUUGAUUUUUUUAACCUUUUUACAAACAAUAUAUCUAGUCUUUUUGUUUUACAAAGUAAUAUUGAAUUUUUUCACAAGAAGGCUAACAUAUCACAUUCAUUGAUUCAUGAUCAAUAUUUAAAAGUCAAAAAAAUAUUAGUAACCAUUCUCUAUUUUAACACAAUGUUCCAAGAAACAAUCUAGGGAUUAUCGGAUUUAAUGACCAAGAGGUUGGAAUUUUCCCCGUAAAUAAAUGAAUUGUUAACAACAAACAUAAAAAACAAAGCAAUAAAGAAUUCAGAUAGUGAAUACCUACUAAACCAUGUGAACACAAGCAAAAUACUUCAGAAUCACAUGUUGUCGAAAAAAUACGACUAUUUCUAAUCAGAAUUACAAUAUACCACGUUUUGCCCAUCACAUAAAAUCCAAAAACUAGUUAGGGAGCUCAAAAAGGGAGCGGGUUUGGAAACCACUGAUACACGAAGUAAAGAGGUGGUACUGUUUUGGUAAAACACAAAAGGUGCGAAACAAAGUAAACAAAACGGAAGGAAGAUGUUAUAGUCAUUCUCAGCAACAAAAUUCGAGCUUGUUGUCGAAAUCACAACAGGAGACAAUUUCGAUUAACAGCCUUUCCUGCCAAACUCAAUUUCCAAAAUCCUACAUCACAUCAUAAAUCCAUUGUUUCAUUCCCACGCACAAUCCCUACCCACUGCACAGGAGAACAAUUGUUUCUGCAAAGAAAAAACAGUUAACAAAAAACGGCAUGCAUAUCGCAAAAUCGGGAUAGGAAGCAGAAGCUUUCCUUGUUUUCCUUAAACACCAAGCUCUACAUUCCAAAAAGAACAUGAAAAAAUAAAAUUAAAUAAAGAGCCUUUCCUGCUUAUUUUGAAUUAAGGCGGGGAGGUCGAGACACGGCUGGUGUAUUUUUGUUUUUUUAAUUGUCAAACUGCCCAGGACACGCUGGGCAUUUUUUUUUUUGUUUAAACCUGGGCCCAAAACGACGCGUUUGCCAUUUAAAAAAAAAUUCCUUGGGUCAUUUACCAAUUCCUUUUUUCAAAAAAAAAUAACUGGCCCAGCGCCUUCGUCUUCUACAAAGGCACAAAAGCCCAAAAACCCCGACGAACCUUCCGUUUCACAGUUGGUGUGAGCGAACGGUGGUCGCACCAGGGGUCGCACCACCAGUCCAAGGGUCUUAAAGUUGCUUCAUGCUCUCCAAGGUCCGCGACGUGGUUGCGCACCCCAAUUGAACCGCACAGGAUCCGAAUGGCUUCUUCCCAUACAUGCCAUCGAAAUUCAGCAAAAGCAAUAACCAGCGAUUUCUUCUGGAGAAUUUAAGCCACCCCAUUGGACCAACAAUUCAAUCAAAAGAAACCAGUAACCAAGUUCAAUUGAGUUUAGAAGCAUUUACAAUGUUCCCACGGAUGUUCAUCACUUUACCCAAUAGUUCGUUUCAAGAAGGAAAUUCCAGCAGAACUGAAACUUCAAAACUUCAGAAGGCACCAAAUUUUUGAAGUAAAUUCAUUUCAAGUUGAAAUAAUCAACUUAGGUGAGGACCCAUAAAAUUAGGAGGAACAUGAAAGAAAGCUUUAUCUUUUUCCUCUAAACUCAGGCGUUACUAAACAAACGGACAUUCACAUCCCCACCAGAUGCAUUUCCUUUCACAUCUUCCCAAGUAAAUCAGUACCUUCUUUCGUCUGAAUCUUAAGUCUGAAUUCUGGAAGUGAAAAUACUGGAAAAAAGUGGGCCUUUAUAAAAGAAUACCUCACGUUUUAGUCAAUGUAUCAGCGCACUAAGAGGACCAGAGGCAGGAGUGAACGACAGCAAACAAUUCAUGUAAUAUUCAGUCGAGUUUUGGGUGAUUUCUGCAGCGAUUUCGGAGGCCAAGAGCCUGAUAAGAAAGCUGGGACGGAAGGGCAGUGGUCUGGAAGAAAAGGCUCGGGUCACACUGUCGCGAUUCGCGAAGGAGAAGUGGCCCAAUACAAUUUCGGCCUGUUUGCACUGGACUGUUUUGCACAGGGCCAAGGCCGACCCUGAACCAGAUAAAGCUUCUCCAAACAGUAUAUAUCAGGUGCUAGAAAUUCUAUAGAACCAUUCAAUCUUAGAGCAACAGCUUAGCAUUAGUUGGUACAAAAAGAUUUCCGAUUAUCGCUUUUAUUUAUUCCUCCUCUGAUGUGUCCUUUUAGACUGCAACAGACGAUUUAAAGAAAUGAAAGUUAGCAGAAUAAAUGGCGCACAAAGGGAUUUAAAAUCCUGACAUGUGUAUUUUUGGCAGAUUUAUGUGAGCAUGCAACUAAAACUGGCAUCACUAUCAAUGGUGCACGAAGAUUGGCGGAAAAACGUAAAGGGAAGCAAUCACAACACAAAAUGUACGACGUAAUCUGUCCACAUGUUGGAAGGAGCUAUGAAAGUAUGGCUUUUCACUAAUCAGGCGUCCAGAGAAUCAAUAUUUUACUCACGGAUCAGUUACGGAGAACAAUCCCCACCAAAGCAAUCUCAAUAGUCCUCCACAUCUCAAACCAAACAGAAAUCGCACUAACAAACACGACUUCUAUACUAUUAGUCCUUCCCAUCUCAAAUCUAGUAAGUAACCCAUCUUUCGUCUGAAUCUGGAAAACAAGCAGCAGUGGAUUUAAAAAUCUGGGUAUCUCAAAGUUACUCACUUUAAUCACAAAUUUAACAAUUAAACAUAUAAAUGGGCAUUUUUAGUGAAAUAUUAGUGUAGUACUCACUGUGUGCUAGGAGCAAGAGUACCCAGAAAGCUCAAUGAGCUGCGCACAGAGGACUGCAGCGGUGAACGAUAGCGACCAAUUCUGUAAAAUUCAGUCGAGUUUUGGGCAAUUUCUGCAGCAAUUUCGGAGGUCAAGAGGCUGAUAAGGAAAGCUGCGACCAAAGGGCACUGGUCUGGAAGAAAGGCUCUGGUCACCGCUGUCGCGAUUCGCAAAGGAAGAAGUGCCCCAAAACAAUUUUGGCCCUGGGCAGGUGCACUGUUUGCACUGGGACAGGGCCGGCCCUGAAUCGCGAUAACGUCCUUCUCCAAACAGUAUAUAUACAGAUGCUAGAAAUAUCUACCAGAACCAUUCAAUUCUAGCGUCUACAGCUUUAGCAUCAGCUGGUACAAGGGACAUUCUUCCAUAGAGGGAGAUGAAAUCGUUGAGGCUCUUAUUUAUUCCUCCUCUUGAUGUGCCCUUUUAGACUGCUAAUUCCAGACGAUACAAUCUCAUGCAUCUUCCCUGAAAAAGGGUUGCCACACAUCGAGAUCAAAUUUUUCCAAUAAAAUUAACUUAAAAAUCAAACUCGUUAGCAGAAUAAAUGGUGCACAAAGGGAUUUAAAAUCUAGACAUAUGUGUAUUUUUGGCAGAUUUUAAGUGAGCAUGCAACUAAAACUGGCAUCACUAUAAAUGGUGGACAAAGAUUGGCGGAAAAACAUAAAGGGAAGCAAUCACAAAGCAAAAUGUACUAAGUAAUCUGUCCACAUAUUGGGAAAAAUUUUUAACAGUUUGAUUUGUAACUUCUCCAUUGUAUUAGUUAAAGACAAGACGGUGUCAACCAUGCAAUUUGCUGAUGAUUUUACUGAUGAAUGCAGAGUUAGCUGAUGAUACGACAAGCAAUUGAAAAUCCCAUCAUUAUACCCCACAUAUACCAAAAAAGCAAGUCAUUUGCACAAAUUCAGAAGGUUCAUCCACUGCAAUUUGCAGAUAUAGAAAUGUUAAGAUAAAUGGAAAUACAAAGUACCUUUCACCCAAAUUGGAGGAACACCGGUGGCAUUAGCAAGUUAGCAUCGGGAAUUGACAUUACCAGUAUCUUCACAGUUUCUGCGGUGGAGUUAUGUACCUCUCCUUGGAAAAUGCCACCAAAGCCGCCGCAACGCGGUGUAGUGUCCGAUUGAUUGCUUCAAAACAAAGCUUCGUAUCCAUGUGUUUAAUCAGCACAGAGUACCCAAAACCCCUGAAAAUUAUUUCUUUAUUCAGACAAUAAAAUUUCCCAAAUUUCGAAUUUUAAUUCCAAAUCAAAAAUAGGGUUUGAAUUUUGAUUACCUAGAAAUUGGGGGGUUGGGGUGGAGAGGGACCCGGGCCAGGACGGAGCUAUGUGUAUAUGCUAAGGCGUGCCAAAUUACAUAGAGUGUCAGGAAUGUGUACAAGUCUUUUGCAAUUUAUCAGACUUAAAACCUGAAGCCCCGUAAGGCGUUCAAUCCAGGGGGAAAGCUCUUUGAUAGAUGUUCCACCCAAGAAAAGCAUUCUUAAUCCUUCCAUAUUUUCUUCAAUGCUUGGAAACACCUCAAAUUUUGUACAAUUGUAAAGAGAGAGACGGUAAAAGGAUUUGAGUUGACAAAUGCUGCUUGGAAGACUCUCAAGUUCCUUGCAAUUCAUCAUAAGCAAACACCUCAAUCCCGUGAGAUUAUUAAUUGACAGGGGUAGUUCUUUAAUUUUUGACCCAGAUAAAUCAAGCUCUUCUAACCCCUCAAUAACUUCUGAAAUCUCUGGAAACAUCACAAGACUCGAGCAACCAGAAAGAUCAAGGGUUUUGAGAGAUUUCAUACGAAUGCUGCUUGGAAGACUCUCAAGUUCCUUGCAAUUGUUUAGGUCCAAAUAACUCAACCUCGUGAGAUUAUUAAUUGACAGGGGUAGUUCUUUAAUUUUUGACCUGGAUAAAUCAAGCGCUUCUAACCCCUCAAUCACUUCUGAAAUCUCUGGAAACAUCUCAAGACUGGAGCAGCCAGAAAGAUCAAAGGUUUUGAGAGAUCUCAUACAAACUUUGCUGGGUAGAAUCUUAAGUUCCAUGCAUUUUGAUAGGUUCAAAUGACUCAACCCCGUGAGAUUAUUAAUUGACAGGGGCAGUUCUUUAAUUCUUGACCCGGAUAAAUCAAG